RNAcentral lists this long non-coding RNA (97454 nucleotides) under Gossypium raimondii (Peruvian cotton). Its description in RNAcentral is "long non-coding RNA (GRAI_LNC008644)". The stretch from base 13393 to 13515 matches the Rfam family "MIR7504 microRNA precursor family". Lineage: Eukaryota; Viridiplantae; Streptophyta; Magnoliopsida; Malvales; Malvaceae. The record is from RNAcentral.
AUUUGCAUAUACGUACAAUUUCUUGUAACUAUGAUAAUUCUAUAAAAACAGUUUUGAACAAUUUUGAUUUUAAAUUUUAUAAUAUUAUCUCCUCUCUUUAAAAAAAUUGGGGGCCUGGCAUGAACGGUUGUAGGUGAGUAAAGGGUAGUGCCUUUUAUUGAAACCUUCUAAUUUAACGACGGAUCUACAUUCCCAACACUAAUAAAGUAAUAAAAGAGACUUUUAUUUAAUUUUCAUUUAUUAAUAUUAGUAAGAAACUUUUUGUAAGCCUGUAAUAACCCAACGCUUGGCCACCACCAACCUUAUUUCAUGACCCCAUUCAGAAAAAGAAAUGUACGUGCAAUUGUAAGUGACUGGAUAUUCAACAGAAACAUGUAAAGACAUUAUUGCUAGUGAUGUCAUGAGUUCCUGAAUUUGACGAUGCGCUCGCGUUACCUUACAUGAUUGAGCAACCAUUUGGGUUCUCGUCGCUAAAACAUUCACCGCGGCUCGUGUAACAGUAGCUAUACCCGCCGCCGCCGCCCCAGCUGUCAUAAACUGGCCUACCGUAAGUCUGGUAACAUGGGCGUAGGGGUGGAGGUGGUCCACCAUAAUAGCAAGGUCCCCCACCAACGCCAUGAUAGCAUUCCGUGCAACAGCAUCCGAUGGGGGGAUAAGCCAUUGGUGGUGGAGGACAAGGUUCUGGAACCUUUGGUGCUGCUGCUGGCGGUUUCGGUGGUGGUUCUUUUCGUUUCUCAGGUUCCUUAGGCUUUUCGGGUUGUUUAGGUUUCUCGGGUUCUUUGGGUUUUUCGGGUUCUUUCGGCUUUUCGGGUUGUUUAGGUUUCUCGGGUUCUUUGGGUUUUUCGGGUUCUUUUGGUUUUUCGGGUGCUUUAGGCUUUUCGGGUUCUUUUGGUUUUUCUGGUACUUUAGGCUUCUCUGGUUCUUUGGGUUUUUCAGGUUCUUUGGGCUUUUCGGGUUCUUUAGGCUUCUCAGGCUCCUUGGGUUUGGGAGGAGGAGGUGGAGGUUUGAUCUCAAUGCUCUUGAUUGAUCCAGCACCCUUGCAACAUAUCUUGUCCCUCAGCUUCUCAGGAUUGCAGCAUACCACAGUAAUGGUCACGGUGUUGGCUUUCUCAUUGUAUAUCUGGUCUCGUAUUUCUCUUGUUCGCAAAAACCCAUCAUCAAAAAAUUAUCAACUUAAACCAUAUAAAAAACUACUUUGCAAUUAUUAAAAUGCUAAACACAAAAAGGACAAGCAUAAAAAUCAGGAAACAGGAACUCACGAGGGAAUUUACACAGCACUUUCUUCACUUUCUUGUAGCAUCGCCAGCACUGAAGGUCCACCUUCAGCACCAUUACAGUCACCUGCAUCCGUACACACACACACACAUGUAAAGUUAUAAAUUAUUAUGUAUCUUGUGAAUGAUGGAAGUCAGAUAGACAGAGAAAGUAAAUAAUUCCAUAUAUCAUCAUUAGCAAACAAAACAGACAAGGGAAAAAAAUAGGAAAGUACAACAAGAUUCGGGUUCUGGAAUGGAAGAAUCAAGAACGAUCAAAAAGAUCACAAAAAAAAAAAACAACGAUAAGAACGAAAUGGGUAUUAGGAGUUGAGAACUCAAAAAGGGAUAAGAUUAUAAGAAACCUUCUCGGCCAUGGCUUAGAACUGAGAGACCUCAGAUCUGAACAAAGAAGAUAGAAGAAGCAAAGGAAGGGCGAUGAAAUGAAGAACCAAUAUUUGAAAGCGAGAUCGAGGAUUGAAGAGAGCCUUGUAAUUUAAGCUUCCAAUAAUUCUAUUAAAAGGUAAGGCAGGCAGACUAGGCCCUAGUAAAGCCCAAUUAAUAGUUGACACGUGGAAUUUGAGUAGAACUUCAAUAGAUGGGGUUGCUUUUUGAUUGCUGACUCUACAAUCUUUCCUCUUUCUUUCUGGAUGCGACGGCUGGCGCUAAUGCAGUCAGCUAGUUUAACAUUUCUGGACUAAUUUUGAGUAGGGGGGAAAUUGUGAUUUAAAGAAUUAAAUUAAUUUUAAAAUUAAUAUAUAUCUCAUCAAUUAAAAUUAGAUCACUCAAUAUAAAUACAGGGAAUUAAAAUUUAAAAUGUAUUCAAACUUUCUUUCAAAAAAAAAAAAAUUCAAACUUAAAUUAAAUCAAAAUAUAUUUGGAAGGCAAGUGGAAUUUAAAGGUCAAAUGCUGCUAUUAGACCCUGUAUUAUUUUUUUAAAUAAUACAAAUGUGUUAAUAUCUAAUUACAAAUAUAUAAUGGUUAUAUUUAAAUAUUUAAACUGCUUAUAUAUUCUAAUUAAAUUUUAUAAAUAAUUAAUAUUUUUUGCUUAAAAAUAUUUAAAAUUUAUAAUUCACAAUUUAAAAUGUUAACAAGUUAUAAUAAAUUAUUUUUAUAUUCUUAUUAAAAUAUAAUAAUAUUAAUUAAUUUGAACUUUAUUUAAAUGCAUAUUUGUUACUUAAUAAUUUCAUGUCUAAAAUAGGCAUUUUAUUUCUCAAAAACACUUUUUGACAUCAAUGCUAAACACUCAAAUCUUAAACCAAACUUUUCAAAAGUACUUCUUAAAAACACUUUUUCACGAUACUUUUCAAAAGUAUUGCUAAACCAGCUCUUAGUCCACAUUCACCAAUUGGAUCAUUCUUAGUGGCUAUAUAUAUAUAUUAAUUUCGAAUUUUUAAACUUAAUGCAAACGAUAUAUUAGCUGAUUUUUUGCAAGUAAUAUGUGAAAAAAAAAAACAAAACUUAACUUAUUGAAUUUAAUAGUUAUCAUUUGAUAAGGAUUAUUCAAAUUCGAAAAACAUAAAACCAAAAAUGAUCAAAUGAAAAUACAAAUAUUAAAUCCAUAACUUAUACAAAAUACAAAAAAAAAAAUUGACCAAAUUUAAACCCAGAGAAAACUAAACAUUCAAAGUUGUAAACUCUCUUUUUUACCAACAUUACCAAAGCUUCAUUGACAAUUGAUGUGCUUCAAAUUGUCAAAGUAAUUAAAUUAUUUGACAGAAUGGGCCGAGUUUAGACAAAAAAAUAGGUGCAAAUAUGGGGGAUGAGGUUGCAGGUCCAGAUGCACACACGUGUAACAAGAAUCCCAUUGGGGUUGCAUCCAUUCUGCUGGUUCACAAUUUAUAGUAAUAAAUGAGAUAAUAUGAUAGUUUUUACCCUCUGCUGAAUUGGGACUCUUUCGAUGAAUGAAAUUCUUGACUUAUAUCAUAAUAAUUUAGAAACGGAAGGAACUAAAAUCGGCACCAAACUUGAUCCGACUCAAGGUUUUUUAUUUUUGGGUAAACAAAAUAUUUGUAGCCUCAACGUCGAAUUUUAGGUCGGCUCCAAGAUUUUGGUGAUGAACCCAUGUCUCCUGUCAUUACAACCCUUGCUUAUGUAUUCGUCAUUAACAGUAGCGGAGCCCCGAGAGAGAUACCGACCCCCUCCAAAUAAAAAAGUUCUUUUAGCUUCGCCCUUCGAUUGAUGUCCAUAAUCACUGUAGAAGAGUCAUUACUUUUUUAGUAUCUAGAAUCAAAAUGUAUAGUCAUUAUAAAUUAAUCAAAAGUUCAUAAACAAUGAAAAAUGAUCUUUUCAUACAAAAAUAAAACCCCAAAUUAGAUUAUCCAAAUAAAAGAGAGAACUCAGAGAAAAAACAAAGCUAAACAUAUUUAGGAAGUGUUGGCAUAUAUUCAUCAAUUUAACAAAUCAAAAAUACAAGUUAAAUAAUUUGAGGUGUGUUGUACAUUGUCCUUAAGAAUACUUUGCCGUAUAAUGUGUCCAUAGGGUUCAACAAGCUUUUUCAUUAUAAAACGAGAACAUGAAUCAAUAAUAGAUUAUAAUAGAAAAUAUUUACUAAACUCAAAAGGAGGAGGAGAAAAACAAGGGGAGAAUGGUAUAUUUUUUUAGAUGUAUUUAAAGUGAAAAUGAGUCAUGGGAGUUUUACUGCUAAAAAAUAGUAAAGAGAAAUGGAUUUAACUUAGUUUAAAAUAGUUAAAAGAAGGUUUAACAAAUUUGGGCUUGCCUAAAUAUAGUUUUACUCAAUUAAACUAUUUUUAUCUUGGCUAAAUAUAUGUGUUACUAGUUAAAUAGUUUUUUUUUCUUAAACGCUAACAAUUUUGAAAAUGAGCGAUUAAGAACAAUUAAUAGUGGCGUUACUAUUUUUCAUCCAUUUUACCUAAUAUUGAUUAGUAUAAUAACAAAUUUGACCGUCAAUAUUUAAAUAUUUUGUUAAUUUAUUCUUGAUUCUAACAAAUUAAACUAGUUUAGCCUUCAAUAUUUACAGAUUUUAUUAAAUUUAUCAUGUUUCUAGAAAAACAUAUGAAAAAGUAAAUAAAUAAAAUACUUUUUUAGAAAAUCUAAAAAUUUAAAAAGAAUGUAUAAAAAAUAAUUUAAACUUCCUAAAAUAUAUAUGAUGUAUUAAAGGGCCAAUCAUAUUGUGCCAUGUGUAUUAAAAAAUUAAUCUAAUUUUUUUAUUUUCUUUUAAUUUUUAUUAAUUAAAAAAUAAAUAAAUAAAUAAAUUUAAUUAAUUAAUUAACCUUUUCAAUUUUAUUUCUUUCCUUUUAAUCUUUCUUCCUUCCUCCUCUUUCUUCUAGCUUCAUCAUCAUCAUUGUCACCAUUAGGGGUGAGUAUUCGAUCGAGUCGAGAUGAAUUGAGUAAAAAAGUUUCGAGUCAGUCGAGUUGACGAAUCCUAUUUUGUCAACCGAACUCAAUUUGAAUUUUUUUUAAUCGAGUCGAAAAAUUUCGAGUCGAGUCAAGUUAACGAAUCUUAUUAUUUAUACUUAAUGUUGAAUUUACAUGGACCGAUUAUUUAACUAGUAGACGAAGUACAAGCUUUUAGAUUAAUUUUGAGUAAAGGAAAAAGGGAAAGUGGGGCGAUUUGGGAAGGAAAGUAAGACUAUUGGGUAAACAUUUAUCAAAACAACGUAGUUUUACCUUUUAACUUGAUAGUUUUGACUUUUAAUUUUAGAUAAAGUAAACAUUUAUCAAAACGACAUAGUUUUACCUUUUCUUAUUUAGAUUUUUGAAUAAUUUGAAUUAAGUGUGUGCGUUCAGUCAAAUUGAGUGAAAUUGUUCGAGUGAAAUUAGAAAAGUUAAUAAUGUGAAAUUAAAAUCUUGUUAUAAUAUAACUAUUUUCAUGUUAGAGCACAUAAAUUUGAAACCAUAUAUAUUUGAAGACUUUUUGAAAGCAUAACAAUAAUAAUAAUAAUAAUAAUAAUAAUAAUAAUAAUAAUAAUAAUAAUAAUAUUUUAGUAUGAUAAAUUUGAAUCAUUAAUCACUUAUUUAGAUUCCAAAAUUAUUAUUUUAUAAAAUUUUUAAAUUUUCAAAAUUUUUUAUAUAUUUUUUAGAUUUUAAAAAAAAUAGAAUUUUUUUAAAAAAUAAAAAUUUUAUAAUUUUUAUAAAUAUUUUGAAUUUUAAAAAUUAUUUUGAUUAUUUUGUAAUUUUUGUUAAGAGAGACCAAUUUGCUUAUUUUCAAAAUUGAUAGAGACCAAAAGGGUAUUUAUAGUAAUCUGUUAUUCGAAUUAUUCAAGUUAUUCGAAUUGUAAAAACUCAACUCGACUCAAACUCGAAAUCCAAAAUUUCUUAUUCGAGUUGACUCAAAUAAUUUGAAUAGCUCGAUUAGGUUAACUUGAAAUUUUUUUUUUAAAUUUUUUCAAAUCGAAUCCAAUGCUUAACUUUGUUCAGCCCACCGCCACCUCUGCUCAAGCUCUGACCCAGCGUCGUUCACACGCCUCUACCAUCCUCAUUUUCCAACCGAAGCUGCAUUAACACCAAAUGGUAAAAUAGCAAGCAAUGUUGAGUCAAAGCUUGAGCAACAAUGCAUUGCAUCAAAACAGGCUUUUAGCGGCGUUUUUUUAGGUCUAUAGCAGCGCUUUUAAGCGACGCCAACGCCGCUACAUUUUGUAGCGUUUAUGUGAAAUAAAAGCCGCUAAAGAGCAUGACCUUUAGCGGCGCUUUUAUCUCAAACGCCGCUAAAGAAUAUGACCUUUAGCGGCGCUUUUAUCACAAACACCACUAAAGAUCAUGACCUUUAGCGGCACUUUUAUCACAAAAGCCACUAAAAAUCACGACCUUUAGCGAUGCUUUACCCAGAAACGCCACUAAAAAAUGACCUUUAGCGACGCUUUUAUCUCAAACGACAAUAAAAAAUUAUCUUUAGCGACGCUUUUUUCACAAACGCCACUAAAAGUACCGUUUUCAAUUUUCAUCCAUAUACAACCCUUCCUGUAGCAUAAAAUCCAACCAAAAACAGCAAAUCUAAAUGAUACUUUAAAUUCAACGAAAGAUAUAUGAUAUAAAUUGAUAACUGAAGUAUAAUUCAAAAUAUUCUUACAAUAAUGUUAAAAGUUACACUAUUAAAAAUAUUCUUACAGUAAGAAAACAAAUGUCUAAGAUGGAGGAUUUUGCGACUACUGAAACAUAUUCAUCAUAUUAAUUUGUCCAUAGAAUUCCGAUAACCACAAAUAACAGUAACUAGGAAGCUCAAGGUCUUCAUCUCCAUGCCAAAUAUGGUCACUUGGCUGCAUGAAAUAGUAAUUCCAUUCAGUAUUGUAACUCACAAAUCAAUAUGAUGUCAAAAAUACAAUCAAAAUCUUGUUAGAUGAAACAUAUUUCGGCAGAUCUUUAUGGGAGAAAUGAAGGCAGUUUGUCAUAAUUUUUCAGCAAGCCAGGCAGUUUGCCUUCAAUAAUGAAUUUUUUAUGUAAAGUCUAAUUAAAGGUUGUGCAGUGGACACCUAGCUAAUUUCCAUUUAUGUAGCAAAUUAUAGUAGACUAACGCAUGCUUCAGCCCUAACAAACUUUUAGAAGACAUUUAUAUAAUGCAUUAAACAGGUUUUUAAAAAGGCAUGACCUUUAUUUUCAGAUAAGGUAUAUAUCCCAUAUAAGUAUGCUCAACUUUUUUAAGGAUUUUCAUAUAUUUGGAGGAUCAUGUUCAUGUAUCCAUGUCCAAAUAUGCAUCAAACACAAGUGUCAAACAUGAGCACUUCAGAAAAAAUGAUGAGUUAGAGUAACAUAGAUAUAGUAGCACAGAUCCCCCAUGUCAACACUCAAUAAUGAUUAAUGGAUAAGAAGGAAAAAAAAAGAAUUAGGUACCUUAAUUUCAGAUAUUGUGCCUUUUGUCAGAUUCAACUGUUCUAGAAUGAAUUCUUCAACAACCUCCAUUGAUUCCUUAUCAGUCACAACUGAGUAUCUGGCCAUAGAUGAAAAGCUAGAAGAAAAGAAGCUCAAAAAAUCCAGUAGCAGCUGCAAAAUUAAGUUUACCAAGAUAAACAGAACUUUUAAGAUAAUAAGAGAUAUUAAAGCAGUUUCAGAACUGAAGAAAAUAUCUUUACAAAAUUAAUGUUACUAUAGGUGAAUAUAUAUAUAUAUAUAUGAAACAAUCAUGAUCAUAAUCAUCAAAACUCAUAGUUGACAGCAAGUACUCUUCAUUUUGUUUAAAACAUCAGUGUCCAACACAUAUGCAAACAAAGGUACUGAGAUAUGAUCCUCCAAGGACAUAUCCAUGUGGAAAGUGCACUAUCACUCUAGAAGAUGUCCAUCUACAAUUGGGAUUGCCGGUGGACGGGUACCCAGUUAUCGGGUCUACCCAAUCUAGCAAUAGGGAGGCGGUGUACUACGAGCUUUUGGGCGCUAUUUCGAAGAAAAUGGAGGGAGGUAAGGUCGAGCUGGGCUGGUUACGUGACACAUUCCCUGAUCCGAAUGAAGAUUCAACCGAAAUUUAAAGAAUCUGAUAUGCUCAGGCAUAUAUUCUACAAUUAAUUGGAGGUUAUCUGAUGCCUGACACGUCAUGGAGCCGCGUACAUCUAAGAUGGCUGCUGAAACUUGUUGAUUUUAGAGCAGCCGGUAAAUUUAGUUAGGGGUCUGCUGUCUUGGCAACAUUAUAUCGGAAGAUGUGCGGGGCGACGCGACCGAGGAGAGUAGACAUCGGAGGUUGCCUGUCACUACCGCAGUCAUAGGCACGGUUUCGCUUUCUAUUUCUACGUCCUCGGGUGAACCACCCAUAUACAUUCCCACUCAUAACGAGGUAAAUUUUAUAUUACAUUUUACAAUUAUUAUGUAGAUUUUUAAAAAUAAAAGUAUGCUAAAAAUUUAUUUACUUAGGUGGAAACAUCCGGCAAGUUAUGCUCGAUUAUCGUCCUCACUUGAAGAUAUACGGCUUCUAUUGGACCAACGGUCGGAAGCAGAAGUAAGUAUUAUUGAAAAUAGAUAUUUCGAUACAUUCGCUAGUCGAUUGAUAUUUAGUAUUUAGUAUUUAGUAUUAUAAAUAUAAUUAAUAUUUCUAUCAUGUUCAUAUAGUUUCAAUGGACACCAUACGAGGAUCCGGCAAUUCGGGCAGUAAUCCCAGAAAAGUUUUUACAAAAUCCACAAGUUUGGCACGUGAAAGUCGUGUUGAUCAACUACGCAACCGUGGAGCCGCACCAGACAGACAGAGUGUUACGACAGUUUGGAUGUAGACAACUGAUUCCGGUGGAUCCUGAGGUGUUUGACGAGCAACACAAAGUCGACCUUCGGUAAUUGAAUACGGAUUGGACGAGAUACUGGUCUGAGUACAUGAAAAUGUGGGAAGAUCAGUAUGAAUAUCUACAUACUCGGGAACCAAUCAUCGUUUCGGAGUUAGCGUGCGUUCCAGAAUACAUGCCAUGGUUUAGGAUCCAUGGCAAGCCGUAUUUACUGACGCCAGAGGAGAGGCAGUGGCAAAUACGUAGCGAAAGGGAAAGGCGUGGGCCUCUAAAUCCAAGACGACAAGACAACGAAGGCAGCCCUUCAACGAGGCUCAGACAUUCACCCGGCUCAUCAUCAGCAGCCAUGCAAUCACCAGGCCCAACGAGAGUACCGACGCAGUCACCCGACACAGCAGUACAACCGAUGAUACCCACGCAACCGCCUUUUCAAAUAAUGCCAGGUGCGUUUCCUAGCCCUUAUAUAUACCCUAACCCUUAUAUGUAUCCUUUUCCGAGUCCUAUGGCAAGUUGGAGCCAAAUGCCUGGUUCAGCUCCAUUUCCUGUUAUGCCGAGUAGACCGCCGAUGUAUAGGCCAGCUCCAUUUAUUACAUGACCUACUGUAGCAAAAGCGCGUCCACGAGGCCGUGAUUUCACAAAUUCUUCUCAAAUAGUAUCAUGCUAAAAGCGAUAUUAUACUAUUUGCUCAGAAACGUAAAAAAAAUAAUUAUUUCUUCCGUGCCCUACUGUAGCAAAAGCGCGUCUACGAGGCCGCGAUUUCACAAAUUCUUCUCAAAUAGCAUCCUGCUAGAAGCGAUUUUAUACUAUUUUAUCAAAAACAUCAACUCGAAAUUAUUUCUUCCAGGACCUAAAAACUCUAAAAAGCCUGAACCCUAAAAGCCAAAAAAACCUAACGUGGAAAAACGGCGAAAUCGCGUCCACGUCAGCGCGAUGUCAGGGUACGCGCCAGGAAAUCGUGUCCAUGUCAGCACGAGUUGCUGACGUGGACACGAUUUCCUGGCGCGUACCCUGACAUCGUGCUGACGUGGACGCGAUUUCACGGAAAAUGGACCAUUCCAGUAAAUAAUUAAAUAAUGGGCCCAUUUCGGUAAUUUUUGAAAAAAAUAGGCUUUUAUUGGUAAAUUACCCGUUCUUUUGUUUAGGCUUUUUAGGGUUUUUUUAGGGAAAAAAAUAAAGGGAAUCGGGGUAGGGGAGAAAUGGUUUGGGAAAAAUAAAAUGGGGAAAAAAUAAGAGAUUUCAGGGGGGAUGGGGGAAUCGAUUUUGGGAAAAAGAGGGGGAAAAAAGAGAUUUCAUUUGAAAUUCUGGGAUAAAAAAAUAUAAUUACAAAACCGCGUUGUUUUGCAGAAAUAUAUUUGUGGCGUUUGGAAAAAAAACGCUAUUAUUGCUCGACUUUUAGCGGCGUUUGGACCAAAAAUGCCACUGUUGCUCAACUUUUUUAUGGCAUCUGCAAAAAAAAAACUCCGCUAUUGCUUAUCUUUUGCGGUAUUUUUUUCAUAAACUCCGCUAACGCUCGACUUUUUUUACAAUUUUUAUAUUGAAUUAUUUUAUCUUUCAUAUAAAUUUUAAAUAAAUAUUCUUUUAAAAUUUUAAGUAAUAUUUAAAAGAAUUAGAUAAAAUUAUAAUUUUUAGUUUUUGUAUUUCAUUUUUAUUUUUGUAUUUCAUUUUUUUUUGUUAUAAUUUAGUCCUAUCCAAAAUAGAUAGUUACCUAUCCAUAUCAAUCUGUUACAUUUUUUAUUUAUUUAUCAAUUUUUUUAAAUCUAAUAUUUAAAUAUAUCAAAUGAUUUAGAUUAAAUAUUUUUAAAUAUAAAAGCAUAAAUUGAUUGUAUAAAAUUUCAUCAUUUAACAAAUCUCAAGUAAACCUUAAAUCCUAAACCAUUUAAUAUAUAUAAACUUUAUUAUUAUCUCUUAAAUAAUUUAAACAAUAAUCAUUAUUUUAAUAUAUUAAAAUUAAUACUAUCUCUUUUACAAUUAUAUAAGAAAUUAUUUAAUAUAUAAAUUAAAAACACUAAUUAAUUUAAACCCUAAACCCUUGACCUUUUACCUCUAAACCCUAAAUCAUAAAACAUAAAAUCAUAAACCUUAAACCCCUAACCCUUAACCCUUAACCCUUAACCACUAACCACUAACACCUAAUCCCUAAACCCAUAAUCCAUAACCCUUAAAAUAGUAACUCUUAAACCAUAUACCCUAAACCAUAAAGCCUAGCUAAAAUAUAAUGACAAUUAAUUCAAUAUUUUAAAAUUAAUACUAUCUCUUUUACGAUGAUAUAAGAAAUUAUUUAAUAUAUAAAUUAAAAAACACUAAUUAAUCUAAACCCUAAAGCCCUAUUCCGUAAACCCUAGAGCAUAAAACAAAACCCAUAAAUCCUAAAACACUAACCCUUAACCCAUAACCCAUAACCCCCAAACCUUAAACCCCAACUCAUAAACCAUAAUCCUUAAACCAUAAAGCUAGAUCUAUAGCGGCGUUUUUCAAAAAGCGCUGCUAAUGCCACUAAAGCUCAAUGACGGUGCUUAAUUUUUUUGCGGCAUUUUUCAAAAAGCGUCGCUAAUGCCACUAAAGCUCAACAUAAAACGACGACGUUGUGCUUAAUUUUUUUGCGGCGUUUUUUAAAAAGCCCCGCUAAUGCCCGAUCUAUAGCGGCGUUUUACAAGAAGCGCUGCUAAUGCUCUAUCUAUAGGGGCGUUUUUCAAGAAGUGUCACUAAUGCCACUAAAGCUCAACAUAAAGCGACGACGUUGUGCUUAUUUUUUAUGCGGCAUUCUUUAAAAAGCGCCGCUAAUGCUAUACCUAUAGCGGCAGUUUUCAAAAAGCGCCGCUAAUGCUCAACCUAUAGCGGCGUUUUUUAUCCAAACGCCGCUAAAAGUGCCGCUAAAAACCUGUUUUGCUGUAGUGGAGGUUGCUUGGACGGAGUUCGACGGCGGUGAUGGUGAAUGACAAUGGUGAUGAAGCUAGGAGAAGGAGAAGAAGCAAGAAAGAUUAAAAAGGAAAGAAAUACAAUUGCAAAGGUUAAUUAAUUAAUUCAUUAAAGUUAUUUAUUUUUUAAUUGAUAAAAAUUAAAAGAAUUUAAAUAAAAUGUUUUAAAUACACAUGGCACAAUAUGAUAGGCGCUUUAAUACAUCAUAUAUAUUUUAUGAAUUAUUUUUAUAUAUUUUUUAAAAUUUUUAGAUUCAAAAAUAAAAUAAAAUAAAAAUCAUGGUUAUUGGACAAUGGUAGGGAUUCCAAAAUUCGUACAGAAAAACCAACUUCUGCCAUUCUCUUAUUGACACACUUUCAAGAAAAUUAGGCUAAAGUACUGCAAGAUUUGAAAAACAAGUAAAGGUUUUAUUAAUUACUCAAAGGAAUCAUGUAAAGACCUAAGAGUCACAGGCUGGGAAACUCCUCCUCAACCAACCACAAAUGAAGAAAAUUCAACCACAACUCCACUCAUCCAUUUUAUUCAUCUCCUCCCCUGCUUCAUCAUUGCAAAUAGCAAACCCAAAUUUCGUAAUAAUAAAGAAAAACAAAACGUAAAAGAACAAGCCAAGGCAGGCACUCAAUGGAAUAGAUUAUACAUGUUAUCCACUCUCCACCUCACAUGGGUGUACAAUAACCUGACGUUUUAUGUUCAGUCCCCCCAUAACAACGGCCGCAACUCCCACAACCACAUGAUCCACCACCACCACCACCACCACCACAACCCUUGCACCAAAAGCUGCCGCACCCCUUACAUGAAGACGAAAUAGAGCCUUUGCAUCCGCCGCAAGAAGUGCUGUUGCACCCUCUGCAACUCCAGUUAUUGUAGUAUCCGUAUCCGUAUCCGUAUCCGUAUCCACCACUACCACUACAACCCCCACCACAUGAUCUGCUGCCGCAACCUGUGCAACACCCUCCACAAGAAGAGCUUCCACACCCGCUGCAUGACCAGGACGACCAGUUGCUGCAUCCGCUACAAGAAGAGCUGCCGCAACCUUUACAUGAAGCCUUGCUGCUGCUACAAGCACCACAAUACCAGCUGAUCCACCCAUGACCUAAGCAGCUUUUGCACCCACUGCCCCCACAACCAUUACAACACAUUUUUUUCCCGCAAUUCUCAUUGCAUGCCUUUGCCAGUGGGAGUGGAAUAUAUAUGGUCUGGUUGCAUGGACCUUCAGGAUGCCACGUGUUGCAUACCUUACAAAGUAUCCAUACUACUUUUGUCUCAGGUUCCUUCUUAGGAGGCUUAUCUUUUUCUGUUGUUUUUUUUUCAGGCUGUUUAAUCUCAAUGCUUUUGAUGCAACUGCCGGCCUUGCAGCUUAUCUUGGUCUUGAUACACUGAGGAUCGAUGGAGACCACAGUGAUGGUCACCGUAUUUGCCUUCUCAUCGUAUUUCUGGUCUCUUAUUUCUGUUCAACACCAUUACAUCACAUUUAAUCGGUUUUCAUUUAUGUUAUAUGUUUGUUCAUGCAUAUAGUUUAGGCACAAAUUAUAAUGAGAAAAGAAAAGAUCGAUCAAACUUGCCCGGAUAUUUGCAGAGCACUUUCUUGACCUUCUGAUAGCAACGGUAGCACUGAAGGUCAACUUUCAACACCAUUGUUGUGCCCUACAACAGUGCUCUUAUCAAACAAUGUGAUAGGUAAGAAAAGAAAAAAAAGAAGUAUAUAUAUAUACACAUAUAUAUAUUAUCAUACUACUAGAAAUUCUAUCACACAUAGAAAUCACAUAUUUAGAUUAGAAAAGUGUAUUUAAAAAUAACAUACAAUAAAUAAUUAAAUGUAUUAUUUACAAUUAACUAAUAAUAACACAUGAAAUUUUUUUAUAUUAAAAUGAAAAGUUAAGAUUAGAUUGUGAGUAAAACGAAAUUUAAACACAUAAAUAUAUCAAAUUAAGAAUACUAAAUGAGUACAAUCGUAUAUAUUAUAUUAAAAUAAAUAAAGAAUAAUAGUUUAGAUAUACAAUUGAUAUAGAUAAUAUAUAAGAGAAUGAACGAUAUAAAACAGUAAUUUCACUUCAUCUUUAUUCCUUUUCAAUAGGAAAAUGACAAAGUAUAUUUUUCCUCUUGAUUUUUAGCAUUUUUAGUUGAAUUUAAAUUUUUUUAAGAGAAAAAGGUUGAAAAUCAGGAGAAAAAAUCUGAUUUGUCAUUCUCAUAUUAGAAAAGGAUAGGAAUGACGUGGAAUCACAGUUUCAUACAAUCAUUUCUUAGGUAAUAAAAUAUGCAUAAUAAAAUUAAAAUGCACAAAAUAUUUCAACUUAAAACUUUGUUUGAGCGAUAAAUGGCAUGAGUUCAAAUUGUAUCACAUGUAAUUUUUUUUAUUGUUCUUUUAAGUAAAAGAAUAAAAUACCCUCAAAUAAAUUAUUUAUUUUAAUUACGAAAAGAUAUUUCCAUAAUUUUUCUAAUUGAGUUAGUAUUCGGUUGACUCAAAAAAAUAACUCAAUUAGGGAUUUAAAUAAUUUAAAUUGUUACCUAUUAAAUAAAUAUUCACUUUCUUCGGUAAUAGUUAGGAUGGAUUCUCAUUUGUAAUAUAUAUAUAUAUAUAUAUAUAUCUAUAUAUCUAUAUAGAUAUAUAGAUAUAUAGAAAGAGAGAAUUAAUUGAAAUGCACUGUUGAGGACUUGGAUGUCCUCCGCUGUUAUAUUAGGGGGAUUGAAGUCUGCGGCUCAUGAUUCACGAUUUCUUCCGCUUAAGCAAACAUAUGUACACGCACAUACAUACAUAUAUAUUCCGUGCGUGGAAAUAUCAUAUUUAAGAUAUAUAUAUAUAUUUAAAAAUAAUAUAUAAGAAAUAAUAAAAUAUAAUAUUUAAAAUUAAUAAUAAUAAUAACAAUACAUAUGCAAUAUGUACAAAAUUAAAAUGGAAAUUAGUUUAAAUUGUGCUUAAAAAAAUUUAAAUAAGUAAAUAUAUCAGAUUAAGAAUAAUAUUAAAUGCAAUCCAAAUUUCAUUUUUCAUGAGUUGGUCAUGACACCAACUCACUCAAUCAAUGACAUUAUCAAUAUAUACAAACAUGUGGGUGAAAUAAUUUGUAUAAUAAAAUUAAAAUGUAUAAAAAUAUAAAAAUAAAGCUUUGAUCAAAGUGGUAAAAAAAAAGUAUCGAUGUUGGUAGCAUGAGUUUAAAUCUCAACAGUUUCAACUUUUUUAUUGGUUUUUAUAACUAAGAAGAAGACAAAAGUAUCCUCGUAAUAAUAUAGCUUAUUUAAAAUAUGUAAGAUUAUUUUAAUAAUUUUCUUGACUGAGUUCCAAUUCAGUCACACACUUAAAUUAUAAACUACAAAUUUUACCCAAAUAUAUAAGUGUGAAAAUCACAUAUUUUGAAUAUGUGUGCAUUUAACAAUAAUAUACAAUAAAUAAGGUAAUUUGAAACUAUAUAUAUAUAUAUAUAUAUGAUACCAAGUAUUCGCGAAGAAUAUAAAAAUUAAAGGUGGGUUUAAAUAAAUGGUGUAAUAUGUUUAAUUUAUUUUCUGUUGCACAUUAUAAUAUUAUUAUAAUAUCUAAUUUUACUGUCAUUAACUACAUUUAAUCCUAUUUUUCAUCAAACUCACCCCAAAUCAUAAAACCUUUCGUUAUUUUGGAAACAUAAAAAUGUAGCGUUAAUGAAGUCAACACAUAACUAUAUAAUUAUAUAUACAUAUCCGUAAAUAACAGACAGCACAUAUGACAUAGUAAUAUUAGAGAAAAUAUAUAAAUGGUGAAAUAAUGCCAUACCUCUGCCAUAGCAGUGGAUGAUAGAGCCAAGUGAAACAGACAAGGAGAGAAAAAUCAAGAGAUGGGUGUCCUUCUUACACUUCUAUAUCAACCUAAGCGGCUAAAUUGCGUCUUAAAUAGAGCGAAAGACUUUGACUCGAUGCACUCUCGACCACCAAUCGUAUCCAUCCGGCACAGUAUGUUUUUCUUAUCACGAGUCACGACAAAGAUUGUCUUCAUAUGUGUUUAUUGAAUGAUUGAUGGCAAAUUUUUUAAAUUAUCACCACCAAGGAACUUAACUUUUGAUUGGACGUAGAAGCAUCAAUACAACAACCUCGUUUUGGUAUGAAAAAGGUAUUUCAUCCUCCCCAACUACGUUAUUUUGUUAUUUGAUAUUCGAGCUGUUGUGGCUGACACAUCCAUGGUAUUAAUUAUAGAUUUUAAUCUCCGGUCCCGGAUUUAUGCUCUCUUUCGUGGACCCAUCCUCAUUUCUAGGCUUUAUAUUAUAUUGGCAUGAGAUGUUUGGUACACAAAUCUUAGUAAAAUACAUUGUAUCCCAACUACAUUUUGAGUUAAGUUAUGAUUUAAUAGUGAAGUUAGAAAAUUUUUUGUAGGAGUCAAAAUAAAAUUGUAUAUUUUUAUAAUAAUAAAAGUAAAUUUUUUAUCAUUUUAAUGGGUUAUAAUUUUAUUAUUUUUAAAAGAUUAAAUUAUUUUUUUUCAUUUUUGGGAUUAAAAUGUAAUUUUAUCAUAUACCAAUUUAAAGUUUUUUAAAUUAUAAAAGGAGUACUAAAUGUGAAACUUUCCAUUUUAGGGAGGGUCGGGCCCUGCCAAGGCCCCCUUAGCUCCGCCCCUGUUACGACUAGCUCUUUAACAAUAAUGCUUAUCAACAAUGGUACCUUUUUAGCUUUGUAUCUCAAGUAACUAAAAGGAUUUAUAUUUGAAACAUUAUCUUUGUAUUAAUAUUACUUUUGGUUGGAGUAUUAUUUUCAUGCAUGUUUUAAUAUAUAAAUUAGUAAUAAAUUAAUUAAAUUGGUAAUAUUUAACCAUUCUCAUGACUAGGAGGAAAAUUUUUCUCUUAAUUUUUUACAAGAGUUUUUACUUAUCUUUCUUAUAUCAAGUUUAAAUGUCUACUAAUUAUUAUUUGUUUUAUUUAUAACUAUUGUAAUACAUAAGUAAGAAACAUGUUUUUUUCUUAUGUUAUUACAUUAGCAACCAAACGAGUUUUUAGUUAGGCAUGACAAUGGAGCGGAUUGGGAUGGAUGUUGGUAAACCCACUAUUGCUCCAUCGUUUGCAUGCUCUAUAUUGUCAUCUGUUUUGUUUCAUUAUGGAUGUGUAAUCUUAAAAAUUACUACCAAUUCCAUUAAUGUUGGAAACGUCCAUUCCCAACCUCGUCUCACCUCAAUUUAAUUUUUGCUAGUUAUUUAUAAUAUCUUCAAUUUAAAAAAACAAUAAAAUAUUCAAGCAUAAUUCUUCAAAACAAAAUUUUCUAAAAUUCUCAUUUUGAUUUUUAGUUUUGAGAAAUAUGGGUAAGGAAGAAAGUGAAAGAAUUUAGGUUUUUUUUUUAUGUAAUUCAUUAUUACAUUUUUACACUUUUAAAUUUGAAUAAUAUAAUUUUUGGAACUUGGCAAUUACAUACACUUUGAUAUUUUUAUUUUUGGUUCACUUUGAUACCUAAAUUUGCAACUAGAAUCAUUUUGGUCCCUGAACUUGGAUUUCGUUAAGAUUUGAUGAUAUGAUCAGUGUUUUUGGAACAUGACUAGAUUGAUUGGUCAGACUGAUUGGAUUGAGGAUCGACCAUACACUAGUCCAAACAUAGGGGUUGGGUUGAUUGAAGUGAAAACUGCUUGAAACCGAUAAAAAAUAAAGACAAAAACCAAUAGUUGAAAAGGUUAAUCCGAUUUAAUAAAUUUUUUAUUUUUUAAAAUUUUAUGAAUUAUGAAUUAUUUACGUAAUUAUUAUUGGUAUAGUUGUAGACCCGGUCCAAUCAAUUGAACCAAGAACCAAUGGGCUGACUAGUUCAACCACUAGUCCAGCUUUUAGAACAUUGUAUGUUACACUCUAAUAUUGUACCACAUCAUCACCUGAAAUUUUAUAUAUAUAUUUUUUAAUUUUCAAGUGAUGAUGUGGCAUGAUCUCAGAGGGCCAUAUCAUCAAACUUUUAUAUUUUUCAAGUUCAAGGACUAAAACAAAUCUAGUUGUCAAGUUUAGCUACCAAAAUGGAUAAAAAAAGUACAGGUAUCAAAGUGGACCUAGUUGCCGAGUUCAGGUGGCAAAAAUUAUAUUAUCCCUUUUAAUAUUUAAUAGUUAUAGGCAUAAUGUAAAAUUUAGCCUUUAAUGUUUACAUUUUUUUGUCAAUUCAAUUUUUAUUUUUUUAGCUAAAUUUGACCCUCGACCUUUUAAAAAGAGUCUAAUUAAUUGUUUUAAAUGAAAAUAUUGACUAAAAUGUUAAAAUUUUAAACAUGGUAGCCCGUACGACAACUAACAUAUACUCCAUCCUAAUUUAUUUAAUUUUUUUUAAUUUUUAAAUUUUUUGAAUAUUUUUAUAAUUUUAAAUUAUUUGUCAACAAUGAAGUAUACACUUUAGGUAAACAUAUAUGUAUGUUUGCUCACAAAGCACGAAGAAUAAUUGACUGAUUCAUUGACGUUCCUACAAAGAAACACUUAUGAAACUAGAACUCAUGCCUCAAAGAUGCAGUCAUCGAUUCUCCCGAGAGGCUACAAUUAUCACAAGAGAACACAUUAAUUUAAUGACGAGGAGCACAAUUUUCUAUGCUACUAAUAUUUGUACUUGCUCUGCUAUUCUGCCCAAGCCUUGUUGAGGAAGACUUAUAGGACAUAAAACAAAAAAAAACAAUGCUUAUUUUAUUUUGUUUUGGCAGGUAAUACUAUAUAUAAAAUAGAAAAGUAAAAAUAUAUGAUAAAUAAUAAAUAAAAGACCACUCCAUUUUGGCAAAAGACCCACGCUCAAGUUCCAUAGCUUUGGGUCCGCUAUCCCGAUCAUUAUUUUUCUACCCCUACCAAAGGGAAAGGUCCUUCCUUUUUGGGCAAGGAGGGAUUUCAACCCUCGACACCAUGGUUUGUAACCAUGUGCUCUAAUGCUCUGAGCUACAAGCCCACCUCGUCUCCAAUGGACGUGUUCCUCGGAGUACUCUAAAAAAAGGAACUUUUCCUCUUCCCAACCAUUUUGGGUUAAGAAGAUGUGAAAGUGCAUCUCUAUAAGAAUAGUGCGUCCCAAUACAUGAAGUGGGAGAGAGGGGAUUUCAUAAUCGGGGUUUUGAGUAAGGCUACCUUUUCAUAUCUCAUUCUUAUUACUUUUUGUGAUAUGAGAGAUCAUUGUGUCAUGUCGGCAUGGAGCACAUGUAGACUAACACGUGAAUUGUCACGCCACCAUCAUUAAAAAAUUAAUGUUUUAGUUAAGAUUUACAUUAAAAAAUAAUUUAACUUUUUUUUAAAAGGUUAACGACCAAAUUUAGCUAAAAAAAGAAUAAGAUUUAAAUUGAUAAAAGUUGUAAACGUUAAUGAUUGAAUUUGACAUUAUACUAUGGUGAUUUUAUACAGUAAGACGAAACAAACAAUUAAAAUAAUCAAACCAUACUUAUUAUAAUAAAAAAAAUUGCUUCCUCCCACCCAAAAUCCAUUUAAAAAUAAAAAAUGUGAAACAGAUACAUUCAAAAAAUUCAUUAGGAAGAUUAAGUUUUGUCAUCUAUUAAUAAUGUGAUAAUAUUUGUUGAAAUAUAAAUAUAAAGAUUUUAAUUUUGAAAAUUCUUGGUGAGGUGAGAUUCACUAAUAUUACACAUAUUUAUAUCCCUAGAGGAGAUGGAAGAAGAAAAUAAGGUUUGGCGACCAAUGGUGAUGGUGUAAGGUCAAAAUUAGUUUGCUGAAUGCAUGGAACAAUUAUUCAAUUAAGAUCACGGACCAUCCCAACAAAUUGGCAUCUCUCUGACUCCGAGCAAUCAAAUUGACCUUGGACCAAGGAUGACCAAUUAAAUGAUUAAGGUGUCUCGUGGUUAGAAUAUUAUUCUAUUUUAUCUAUUUUUUAUUUUAUGUAUAUUUAUAUCAGGUUAUAUCUUUAUCUACACUAUUAAUUUAAGUCAGUGAUUGAGUUAGUGUCACGAGUUAACUCGACACUAACUUGAUUAAAAAAUAUUUAAAUUUAAACUCAUGCCACCAAUAUCUAUAAAAAUCUUGUCUUUUAUCACUUUACCUAAAACUUAUUUUAUGUCCAAAAAAUAUAAAACUUAUUUUGAUACUUUUAUUCACACUUGCAUUUUAAGGUGGUUAAGGCCUUAUCCAUGGAGGAGUCAAUGGACUCUGAUAUUACCUUGCUCAAAAGAGUUAACCGGUUUUUUCGCUCUGAAGGCCAGUGGGAAAUCAAGUAUGUUCUUAGGGAGUGUAAUUUAAUUGCAAAUCAAUUGGCAAGGAUUAGUCUCUCUUGGCAGACUUCCCUUCAGAUCUUUGAAGUACCUCCUGAUUUGGUGGUUACGGCUAUUUAACAAGACAAAGUUUUUCGAGUUUCUUAGUAGUUGUUGAGUGGUAUUUUUGUUUAUCUUUUUUUCACAAAAAAAAAUCAUUAUUUCCACAUGUAUUUAUUUAUUUUUAAUGAAUAAUUCUAUUGGUUUUAAAAAAUAUAUUUAUUCUUUAUGGCUGAUAUGCAUGUUCACUUUUUAAAUUGUUUAUUGUUUUUAAGAUCUCUAAUAUUAAUUUUUUUAGUGUUGUUUUAUCAUUAAAACCCACACUGGUUUAAAAUAUUUCAAUUUAUAUUUGAUUUUAAAAUAAAUCAAUUUACUUGUGAUAUAUUCUUUUACUAAAACUAUUCUAUUACUAUCUAUAUCAUAAGUUGGUUCUACUUUUUUUUAUUGUUGUUAAGGAAUUAUUUGAUCACAUAUGAAUAUAUUUUCAAAUAUUACAAACUAAUAAAUAAAGUUUCUAAAUAACUUAAAUCAUUCUAUAAAAGUUUUUUAGUAUCACCAAGUCCUUUAAAAUAUUUCUAAGCCUUAUUUUUCAACUUGUCCAACAUUGUCUUGAGACUAUUUGAGUAUUGUUUUGAGACAGACCAAUAUCGAAGCUAAAAUUCCUUCAAGGGUGCCCUAUCUUGAGACAAAAGCUCAUUUGUCUCAAUACAAUACCAAAUCAAAGCUAAAUUUCGCUUUAGGGGUGCCUAGCAUCGAGACAAAAGCCCAAAUGUCUUGAAAAAAUCUGAUACCGAAGCUAAGGUUUGCUUCAGGGAAGUUGUGUCUCGAGAUAAUCAAGUAUUUAUCUCUAGACAUAUGGGUAAUUUUCUCAAGACAAACCUAUUGUGCCUCGAGACUAUAGGCUCCAACGAUCAUACUUUUUGUUCUUCCUCUCUCAACACAAGGGUUUUGUGUCUCAAGACACAUUGCUACAGGUUACAUUAAAUGCGCAAAAUGAAUGCUAUCAAAGGUUAGAAACUCCCUCCCACAACUCCAAACAUACAUAAUUCAAUGAGAAGAUAUAAAUAUGAUUCAAUGAAACUUAUAUGAAGACAAGAAACAUUUUUACAAAGAUCAAAAGCUAAAAUUUAAUCAAUUCUCAUUAUUAUUCUUAUUUUCACUUUACACACUUGUGGGAUUAGUUGUGAUUCAUUCUUUCAAGUGUUGUCUUGAUUUGUGAGAGGGCUUAAUUGUUGUUUAACUACCUUCUAAAGGUGAUAAUCCAUUCUCGAUUUUAUUUCUCAUUUUUAUGAGGAUUUACUUAAAGUUUUAGUUAGAAAACCUUAAGGGGAAGUGACCUUGCCUAUUGAAUAAUUAGAGAUUGUAAAGGUUAAAUAUUGUCCUUGAAAGGUUCAAAUUAGUAAAUUUGGGAAAUCCUUAGUUGUGGUAAGGUUUAAAGUUUUGUGAGGAUUUUCUUUGCUUUUCUUAGUUCUAUAGUUGGUAGUUAAGUUAGUUAUCACUGUAGCUAGGGUUUAUUUUCUUAGUUAAACCUUCAACCUGUUGUGUAUUUAGAUUCUAAUCCCAUGUUGAUGUUAUUCAGUUAUCUUUAAUUUCCUUCGUUAAAAAUCAUUUGUUUGGUGUUUUUGUUUAUUGUUCUUGCCUCCAUUGUUAUGCUAGCCCAUUAGAAGCAAACAUCCUUUAAGCUCAAGAUUCAUAUCUCAUGCUUAGACCAUCAAAUUUCAUGCAAUCAUACACAUAAAUCCAUAAAUCAUACAUUACUCAUUAUAAUCAUCACAUCAUACUCAUCUAGGUUUCGUUUCAUGUUUCAUUCACUAUUCACAAAAUUUUUAAGAACACAUAUCAUACAUGCAAGAGUUGGCUUAGUGACUCACUUGAUAGACCCAUCAAACAUUGACACCGUUCGAGACUCGACACUUGAUUCAUACAAACACACAAACUAUUUCACAUCUUAUCACAAAUUUCCAAACAUACUCAUACAACCCUAUUUUAAUUUCAGGAUUCACUGUAAAAAACACACAUCAUACUCAACAAACAUUCAUACAUUCAUAGAUGUAAUUCAUCAUCACAAACACCCAUACAUUUGGGCUCUUCUAACCUUCCAUCAAAUUACAAGUCUAAGUUAUAACCUUACUUACAUACUCAUUAUUCUACUUUUCAUUCACGAAUUUUUACACACAAUAACUUUACUUCUACGCAAUUCCCUUAUGUUUUACUUGUUUAAUCAAUACUCAAGUUUUGUCAUUAGUUAAUCAUUUAUACUCAUAGUUCACAUUUCACAGUAUACAUUCCAAACGAACACAUACAUGGUCAUGAUUAAAUGUCAUAGCAUGCAUGCACAAACUAGACUCAUAAGAUUCUUUAUCAAAUGUUCUUACUAUCUGCAAUGAUUAUUUAUUAUUUUCGAAACUUAGACUAUAAAUAACUUAUCCAAAAGAUUCACAGGAACCCAUAUAAGAGAAUUCACAUUCAACCAGACUACUUAUUCCUUAACUUAAUCUUAACUAAAUACUCAUUCCGUCAAAAAUUUAGAAUCACUAGGCUUCAUACCCAAUACACAUACCACCAAUUUCAUAUAGAUACAUUUCAGUAUGAACAAAAUAUAUACAUAGGUCAGUGAAGAAACUCACUCGAUCUUCACCUAAAGUAGCGGCACACCAAAUCUAACCAUCUCACUUGCAAUUGAUACUCAAGGAACAUAGAAACAUCAUCAAAACUCGUUCACGUACAUUUAACCACUUUCCCAAACAUUAACAACCCCGUAUAAAGCCCCUUUCUCUUUAAUCUUAUUGUUCAACCAAAAUUAAUAAGCUUGUAUACACCCAUUUUUGUCCGAGCCCAAUUGGAGGCCCAUUUGCUCCCUUUAAAUUUUUGUUCUCUCUUGGGCCUGUUCGAAGUCCACCCAAUUCUAGUCAAUUAGAGGCCUUUGUUUUUCUUUCCUUUUUGGGCCUAUCAAGGGCCCAAAUUAUUAUUAAAUAACAUUAUUAUCUUUUUUUUUUACAAAUAAACAAGAUUGAAAAGCAAUAUAUACACAUGAAAUGAAAUGGAAAAAAAAUGAGGCUUUUCAUAUUCUUUUUUUAAAAAAAAAGGUAAAAACAAUAACAACAACAAUCAUGCUAUUUCUUUUUCUAUUCUUUUUACCAUAGACAUGUUAUGAGGGAUCGGGUUUUGGGCUCCGAUGAAGGGGACAUCAUCCGACCGUCGGUCCUCUGCUCUUAGGAGCCCCAAAAAUCUCUUUUUUUUUUCCGUUCCCCUUCUUAAAAUAAAUGUUUUUGUUUCAAAUGGCUUGAUCUUGAGAAAAGUUCUGAUUUUUUUAAAAAAAAGAGAAAAUUUAGAUUUUUAAAAAUAAAAUUUAUUUUUUAGUCAUUUUAAAGGAAAGUUUAAAUUUUUAAAAUAAAUUUUUGAUUUUUUUCAACUAUUUCGGAAUAAAAGCUUUGAUCUUUAAGAAAAACGGUGAUUUUUUUUAAAAAAAAUAGAAAGUUUAGAUUUUUAAAAAUAAAAAAAAUGUUUUUUAGCCAUUUUAAAGGAAAUUUUAAAUUUAAAAAAAUUUUAAUUUUUUUUCAACCAUUUCGAAAUAAAACCUUUCAUCUUUAAGAAAAGUAGUGAUUUUUUUAAAAAAAAAAUCACAUAUCCAAUAAUGUAUGACAAGUAUUAAGCCCCGUUUGGAUAAAUAAAAUUCGAUGGAUACAGUGUUCCCGAAUUAGUUGUGGUACUGCAUGUGUUGCGGACAUACCACGGCUCGAAAGAGCGUCCUGUUAUUAACUCUCAUAAGCUUCUCGUUAAUAGCUCUUUGGAGCAUCCGAUUUGGUUGUGAUCCUAUAUGUGUAGUGGACACACCGUAGCUCUUAUAAGCGUCCAGAUAUAUGACUCUUCGGAGCUUCCCUAUUAAAGGCUCUUUCAUGAGCUUCUCGAUUAAUGGCUCUCCGGAGCUUUUCGAUAUUGGCUCGCUUGAACUUCCCGAUAUUGGCUUGUAUGAGCUUCCCAUUAAUGGCUCUUCAGAGCUUCUCUUUACAUGGCUCACAAGAGCUUCCCGUUUAUAUGCUCGUAUGAGCAUUCCCGAAUAUAAAUUGACAAAUUUUAGAUUUGUACACUUCGUGUGUACUACCCAUGUAUCCAUCGAUAUUUUAGAUGAUUCAAUGGGCCAAAUCCUGACAUGAGAAAAUAUGAGUUCGAAAUGAAUCAUUACCCGUAUAUGCACAAUAUACAUAGAAUUGGUAAAUGAACAUGAUAAGUGGAAAUUAUGAACAUGGAAUUUGAUAUUUGAUGAACCCAUAUAUGAUUCUUGGUAUUCAUGUAAAAUACAUGACUAACAUGUUAGAUAAGGUUAUGUGUCUUGGUUAUUAGCCAAAUUGCUUUGGUUGUAUUAUGUAUGCUUACCUUAAAUGCAAAUGUAUGGUAAGUUAAUUUCUCAUUAUACGAACUUACUAAGCAUUUAAUGCUUACUCUGUUUUAUUUUCUCUGUCUUAUAGUACUCUGAAGCUCGUAAAGGUUAGAAGCUAGUCGGAGCUACAUCACACUAUCUAUCGGCCCACUUCGGUAUAAAUAGAAAACUAAUUUUGAUGUAACUAGCCAUCGGAAUGGCUUAAGUUGAACAUAUUUUUAUGUGUAUAUGUAUGUGUGGCUUAAUUUAUUUGUUGUGUUUAAUGUGGUUGAGCAAUGAAUAAUUAUGAAUAUAAUAAUGUAUGGUUUGAAACAAUAUAUGAUUGGAGAAAUAUGCAUAUAGGUUUACAUGAUCAAUUAAGAUUGAAUACUUGGACAUAUGGGGUGUCAUGAUAUGUGUUAAACUUGGUUUUAGAUUGAUUUAAAUGUCUUGUAUUGGUUGGUGAAAGUGUUGAAGUGUUGAUGUAGGUGGAAGACAAAUUGGGUGAGAAAAGUGGCCCUGGAAUUGGCCUAUUUUCAUCCACACGGGCAGAGACACGGACGUGUGUCUCAGCCGUGUGUGAUACAUGGCCUAGCACAUGGGCGUGUGAUCUAGUCGUGUGUCUCAUACAUCUUAAAAAUUGGGAAACAGAAUGCUCAAAAUUAUCCACAUGGCCUAGCACACAAGCGUGUUGCUUGGCCGUGUGACCCUUGCACCUAUUAAAUGCAAGUCAGUAUACUCACACGGCCUAGCACACGGACGUGUGGCUUGGCUGUGUGACCCAAGUCAGUGAGCACCCUAAAUUUGACACGGGUUGGGUCAUGGCUGUGUGCCCCUAUUUCGAAUGCCCACAUGGCCUGGCCACACUGACGUGUGGGACCUGCACCUUAGAAAAAUUUUGACAUUUUGUGAAAAAUUCUCUAAGUACCGAAUUUAGUUCCGACUUCUUUCUAAUACGUAUUUUGGGCCUCGGGGGCUCAUAUAAGAGACAAUGUGAUUGAUUUUUGAUAUGGAUGUUAAAUGAUAUGAAAUGUCUAUAAUUGAUCUAUAAAUCCUAAUAAUACUUCGUAACCCUAUUUUGGCGACGAAUAAGGGUUAGGGGUGUUACAUUUUAUUAGCAUCAGAGUUACGGUUUAACUGAUUCUUAGACUAACGUAGCAUAUAUGAGUCUAGCUAUACAUGCCAUUAUAUAACCCGUGAUAUUGUGAUAUCUCCUAAACAUUUUAAAACAUGUUUUUCAUAUAGUAAUAUCGUCCAACCGAACUGAAUCCAAAGAAGUUGAGAGCAAUGCUUAAGCUUCAGUUCAAAGAGCAACUUUAAGUAGUAGAAACCUGUAUCUGAGGGCCGAGGAAAAGAGGCUAAAGAAGCCUUAUUCUAAAUGAUGAACGAAUAGUUUACAGAAUUUGUAAGAACAAAUCCGACUGUACAACAACCUCCACCCCUUCCUGUUUUUCAACCAGUUCUAGAUAUGCCUCAAGCUACAGAACUUGUUAGAAUUGGUAAGCCUCCUGUAGAUAAAAUUCAUAAAUAUGGGUCAGAAGAAUUUAGAGCUAUAGUCGAAGAUGAUCCAAACAAUGCUGAAUUUUGGUUAGAAAACACUAUUAGAGUUUUGGAUGAAUUGUCUUGUACGUUAGUUGAAUGUCUAAAAUGUGUUGUAUCACUGCUAAAAGAUUCAGCGUACCAGUGGUGGAACACUUAAUUCUAUUGUACCGAAGGAGAGGGUCACUUGGGCCACAAGACUGUAUUUGAGUAUGAACGAAAAUUUUUCCGACUGAGUAAAUAUGCCAAAGAGUGUAUUCCAACUGAAAUCGCCAUGUGUAAACAGUUUGAAGAGGGAUUAAACAAAGACAUAAAGUUGUUAGUUGGGAUCCUCGAAUUAAAAAAAAUUGUUGUACUGGUUGACCGAGCACAUAAAGCCGAAGAACUGAGCAAAGAAAAGAGACAGGUUGAGAUGGAAGCCAGAACUUCAAGUAAAAAAUUUAAGGGAAAGCCAUAUCAGUCAGCCUCAAAGAAAUUAAAGAAAUAUCAUGACCAUUUAACCACCUCUGCAGGGUAUUCUGAAAGAGAUAGAGGUUUUCAACACUCCAAUCUGAGAUCUCAGGCUACAUCUGUAGCAAUGCAGGUAUGUUGGAAACCCUAAACCCAGAUGCAAGCACUGUAAUAAACUACAUUUUGGUGAGUGCUGCAUGAAAAACAGAGCCUGUUUUAGAUGUGGUUCCUUUUACCACUAUCUCAAAGACUAGCUAGAAAAGCUUGAAAAAGAUAUCGUUCACACUUCAAGGUCAAACAACCCCGCUACAAGAGGUAGACCACCUCGUAAUCCUGGCAAUGUGAGUGGUAGCUGGGGUACGACAAAAGAUUCAACCAUCAAAUCUAAAACACGAGCACCAAUAAGGACAUAUGCUAUUCGUGCACGUGAGGAUGCCUCUGUACCUAACGUUAUUAUUGGUACUUUUUCUCUUCUUGAUACUGAUAUAACUGCUUUAAUUGAUCCUAGUUCUACCUAUUCAUACAUCUGCACGAAUUUAGUGUCUAAUAAAAAUUUACCUGUCAAGUCCACUGAAUUCGUGGUUAAAGUAUCCAACCCUCUAGGCCUGUAUGUGAUGGUGGAUAAAAUUUGCAAGAAUUGUCCGUUAAUGGUAAGGGAUUACUAUUUUUCGGAUGAUUUGAUGUUAUUACCAUUUGAUGAGUUUGAUGUGAUUCUAGGCAUGGACUGGUUAAUUCAGCAUGAUACCGUGGUAAAUUGUAAAUAAUAGCAUAUUGUGUUGAAAUACUCUGUAUUGAAUCUGAUAAUUAGAUGGGUUGUUUAAUGUGAUAUCAGCCAUGUCAGUACAGAAAUGUCAAAAAAGGGUAUGAUGCUUAUCUUGCUUAUGUGUUGGACACCAAAGUAUUUGAAUCGAAGAUUAAAUCAGUGUCAACGGUUUGUGAAUAUCCUAAUAUGUUUCCGGAGGAGUUACCCGGAUUACUGCCGGUCAGAGAAGUGAAAUUUUCAAUACAUCUUGUUCCAGGAACAACACCGUUAUCUAUAGCACCAUAUAGAAUGACACCUAUAGAAUUAAAAGAGUUGAAAGCACAGUUGCAAGAACUGACUGACAGGGGUUUUGAUUGACCGAGUUCAUUAUAUUCGGGUGCACUGGUUCUGUUUGUUAAAAAGAAUGAUAUAUCUUUGAGAUUGUGUAUUUAUUAUAGACUACUCAAAAAUGUCACAAUCAAGCAUAAGUAUCCACUGCCUCGUAUUGAUGACUUGUUUGACCAGUUGAAAGGUACUACAGUAUUCUCAAAGAUAGAUCUCCAUUCUGGCUACUAUCAGUUACAAGUGAAAGACUCAGAUGUACCAAAAAUAGCAUUCAGAACUAGGUACGGGCACUAUGAAUUUCAUAUGAUGCCAUUUGGUUUAACCAAUGCACCUGCGGUAUUUAUAGAUUUGAUGAAUAGAAUUUUCAGACCAUACUUGGAUACAUUUGUGGUGGUAUUUAUUGAUAACAUCCUGGUAUAUUUCUGAGAUGAAAAUGAACAUGCUGAUCAUUUGAGAAUUUUUCUGCAAACUUUGUGUGAGAAACAACUAUAUGCUAAAUUUAACAAAUGUGAAUUUUGGCUUCCCGAAGUUGGUUUUCUUGGACAUAUAGUAUCUGUUGAAGGCAUUAGAGUGGAUCCGAAUAAAAUUUCAACUAUUGUUAACUAGAAACCACUGAAAAAUGUGCCUAAAGUUAGAAGUUUUCUAGGAUUAGCUAGUUACUAUCAUUGAUUUGUAAAAUGGUUUUCGGUGAUAGCUUCGCCGAUGAUAAGACUACUAUAAAAAAAUGUGAAAUUUGAGUGGACAGAUAAAUGUCAGCAAAGUUUUGACUGGUUGAAAGCCCUGUUGACUGAAGCAUCAGUUCUGGUUCAGCCUGAAUCGUGUAAGGAAUUUGUUAUUUACAGUGAUGCAUCAUUGAAUGGUUUAGGCUGUGUCUUGAUGCAAGAAGGCAAAGUAAUAGCCUAUGCUUCUAGACAGCUAAAACCAUAUGAAAAUAAUUACUCGAUACAUAAUUUAGAAUUGGCAACUAUUAUUUUUGCAUCGAAAAUUUGGCUACAUUAUCUGUUUGGUGAAAAAUGUCAUAUAUUUACUGAUCAUAAAAGUUUAAAGUAUCUGAUAUCACAAAAAGAUUUGAAUUUGAGACAGUGCAAAUGGCUUGAAUUGUUGAAAGAUUAUGAUUUGGUAAUUGAUUAUCAUCUGAGAAAAGUAAAUGUGGUUGUUGAUGCUUUGAGUAGAAAGUCUCUGUUUGCCUUGCAAGCAAUGAAUACCCGAUUGUCAUUGUCUGAUGAUAGCUAAUUUUAGCCGAGUUAAAGGCUAAACCGGUGUUUCUACAGUAGAUUUGCGAAGCCCAAAAAAAUGAUGAUGGGUUACAAGCUAAACGAGUACAAAGUGAGUUGAUUUUCGAUUUAAAAUUUCAGAUUGGACCCAAUGAUUGUCUGUUAUUUCGAGGUAGAGUUUGUGUACCAAAAAAUUCGGAGUUGGUACAGAAAAUUUGGCACAAAGCUCAUAAUGUUACUAUGUUUGUUCAUACGAGGAGUAAUCAAAUGUAUAAUGAUUUGAAAAAGAUAUAUUGGUGGUCGGGAAUAAAACGUGAUAUUUUUGAAUUUGUAUCUAAAUGUUUGAUAUGUCAGCAAGUUAAAGCUGAACAUCAAGUACCUUCAAGAUUGCUACAGCCAGUGACGAUACCGGAAUGGAAAUGGGAAAGAGUUACUAUGGACUUUGUGUCAGGAUUACCCUUAUCUCAGGAAAAGAAAUAUGUCAUUUGGGUAAUUGUUGAUCGUUUGAAAAAGUCUACACAUUUCAUUUCGGUACGUAUGGAUUUUUCCCUGGACAGAUUAGCAGAAUUAUAUGUUUGUGAUAUUGUCAGGCUACAUGGAGUGUCGAUUUCUACUAUUUCUGAUAGAGAUCCUCGAUUUACAUCUCGAUUUUGGAACAAGUUACAAGAAGCUCUGGGUACGCAAUUACAUUUCAGUACCGCAUUUCAUCAUCAGACCGAUGGUUAAUCAGAGUGUGUAAUUGAGAUUCUUAAAGAUGUGUUUCGGUGUUAUAUUUUGGAAUUCAAAGGCAAUUAGGAGAAAUAUCUGUCUUUAGUCGAUUUCGCAUAUAAUAAUAGGUAUCAGUCAAGCACUAAAAUGGCACCGUACGAAGCUCUAUAUGGUUGUAAAUGUAGAACUUCGUUGUAUUGGACUGAACUUAGUGAGAAAAAGAUACAUGGGGUUGAUCUGAUCUGCAAAACCGAAGAAAAAGUGAAAGUGAUUCGAGAUAGUUUAAAAGUAGCUUCUAACCGUCAGAAAUCCUAUGCGGAUUGUAGGGCCCAAAUUUUGCCCGGAGCCCAAAGUGAACAAAAGUCCACAGUCCAAAUACAUGGGCCAAACGUGGCCCAAAUUAUUUUAACCCAAUGUCUAGCCCAAAAUUAUAACUAAACCUAAAUAAACCCUAACCAUCAGCCCAAAGUUGACCCAAGCCUAACACAAAGAAUCAGAAACCCUAGCCCUUUAGCAUCACUUCUCAGCGCCGUAGCAGGAAAGCCCCUUCACACGAGUCACGCCUCUGCACGCCACGUCCGCACCACGUACUCGUACGAUACCUGCAAAACAAGCAGACGACAACGAACGCAACAAACAAACAAAAACACACAGCAAGCGCAAGCAAACAAAUACGGACAGAAAAUACACACGAAAAACACAGCAAAGAAGCAGAAAAAUGAUGUAUUUAUUUAUUUAUUUUUGAUUCGGCUAUAAAUCCAUUUUGAGAAUCUGUAAGGAGGGGGAGGCAUAUUGGAUCACGCACAAUAUCAAUAGAAAAAUAAAGUUUUUUAAGGUGAUUUUUUCAUUUUUCUUCACAUUUCUUUAUUAUUUUUCUUGGCUCUUUUAUUCGUUAGCAAGAAGGUAAUAAAAGAGAAAAUAAGGUGAGAGGGCGAGGGGUUUUACCUGUUUGACCGGAUCUUCGUUUGCUCUGUCGCGAUUGGAGUCGGACGAUGGUUCAAAGGCCUCUGAGCCAACCUUUUCAGAGCGGCGCAAAAGGAGGGGGGAGAAGCAAAGCAUCCUCUGUUGUGUCUUAGUGGCCAAAUAACCCUGUUUAGGGUUUUAAAAUUAGUUCUUGUGGGAUGUCAAACGGCAGCGUUUGGGGCCUGAGUCAGUGGCCACCAAAACAGCACCGUAUUGGCUCUAUAACCCGCGCGUGCGACCCGACCCGAGGGGGAUCCACUCAAAUUUUUUUAUUUGGUCCAUUUGCGCGACAGGUCCUUCUGUGUUUUAGGUUGUUUCAAUUUGAUUUUAUUUAAUUUCUUUUAAUUUGCACCACAUAUUUGAGUUCGAUUUCAUUUAGAUCCAGGGACAGACGGCGUCAUUCUCGCUAAUGAUUCAAAUUCUUGGCUUUGUGUUAAAUUGGUGUAUUGGUCCUUUUGAUAUUAAUUGGCUCUCAUUUUGGUCAUUUGCGCAUUAUUUUCAAAUUUACCUUAAGAUUUUUGUUUUAAUUCAAAAUUUGUCCAUUGUUUUGUCUUUUUAUUAUUAAAUAAACUAGCUUAUUAUCAAUUGUUAUUAUCUUUAUUUUUUUUAUAAUAACCCUAAUUUUGUUAUGAUUUUUAUUAUUUUAUUAUAUGUUAUUAUCUUAAGUUUUGUAUAUUAGUAUUUAACUUCUACAAAUAUUUUAUUUUGGACAUUUAUAUAUAUAUUCAUUUGAAUUAAAAAAAAAAUCACACAAUAGCAUUUCAUGAUCCUUUCAUAUAUGUAUAUAUAUAAUUUAUAUUAAAAUGAUUUUAUUGUACAUAUGUAUAUAAUAUAAUGUUAUUAAUUUCAAAUCAUACUUUUUUAUGCACAAAUAUUUUAUUCCUUUUAAAUUUGCUAUUCUAUCUUCCCUAUUUUAACUUAUAUAUAUUAUGACUAUAUAUAUUAUUAUUUAAAUUAAGAUUUUUCACUUAUAAAUCAAAACAUAUAUCAAUUUUAGAAUUUAUUCACCUUUAUUUUCUUACAAUUUUUUUCUUUAUAAUUUACUUAAACAUUUUAUUCUUAGUUCCACUAUUAAAUUGUUUGAAAUUUUUAUAUUAAUUAUUUUUUUUAAAAUUUUGUUUAUAUAUAUAUUUUGAAUCCUGAAUUCAUUUUUAUUUUGUGAAUACAUUUUAUUUCCCUUUUUAGAUUAAUAAUUCUUGAAUGUUAAUGUUGAUAUUUACAUGUGAUGUGAAAUUAUUGUAUUUAUGUGCAUGGUAUUUGUUUAUUGGUAUUCAUUUAUUAUUAGUGCUUAUUAACUUAUAUUGUGGUUUAUGAAUUAUCACCUCGCGUCGUGCAUUGUUAUUCCAUCGCGCUUUAUUCACUUAAAAGGUUAUGUUUCAUAUCAUUUAAAUAUCAAAAUUAUUUCAUUCAAAAGUUUUCAAGAUAAAGCAAAUGUUAGGUAUUUGGAAUCUUCGAAAGAAUAGAGCCCUAACGUAUUGGGUUUCAAUUCUCCUUGUUCAAUCUAAAUAAUCGAGAAUACCCCUUUUAAUGAGGACAUAAAUAAAAAAACCAUUCUCGGGAAUUCGACAUGUUGUGUCCUAAUGCAUUGGAUAUGACAUGUUAUUUUCUCGAGACGAGGAUUUUAAAAAUAAAGGCAAUGUUCGAUAUUUAGGAAUUUUGUGAAAUCGAACCCUAACUUACUGGGUUUUGAUUUUCUCAUUUGACCCAAAUAAUCAGAUAUCCUUCUCAAAAUGCAUAGGUUUUAAAAAUCAAAGAAUAAGCUUAAUUUUGAGGAUUUGAAACGUUGCACUCUAACUUACUGAGUGUAACAAUUUAUUUCUUUAAAAUAAAUGAGCUUUAUCUUCCAAUUCAUUUUAUUCAAAAUAAAAGGAUCGUAUUUUAAAAUCUGUUCAAAAUUUUGACAUUAAGACAUUAAACAAUCAAUUCGGUACCAAUUUUGGGAGUCACGAGGGUGCUAACCCUUCCUCGUGCGUAACCAACUCCCGAACCUGUUUUCUCAAAAUUCGCAGACCCAAAAUUAUUUUCAAGGUGAUCCGAUCACACCUCAAUAAAAGAUCGGUGGCGACUCCCAAUUUUCAUUUUCAAAAUCGAUACACGUUUUUUUCUAUUUUCAAAAAAAUUAUUUCGACACGGAUCUUAAACGUAAAGAGAUAGAAUUUCAAGUUGGCGACAAGGUAUUCUUGAAAGUUUCAUCUUGGAAUAAAUUUCUUUGGUUUGGUCAUAAAAGAAAACCGAGUCCGUGAUUUAUCGGGCCGUAUGAAAUAAUUAAAAGAACCAAACCUAUUGCGUACCGAUUAGCCCUACCAUCGGAGCUUGUCAGAAUUCACAAUAUUUUUCAUGUGUCUAUGUUAUGAUAAUAUCGUCAGACCCUUUACAUGUUAUUUCUCUGAUAGAUGUUGAAAUUCAGCCUAAUAUGACAUACAGUGAGGAGCCAAUCAGAAUUCUGGCACGUGAGACAACAAAUUUGAUAAAUAAAAAUGUAGCUCUAGUAAAAGUUCUCUGGCAACCACAUGGGAUAGAUGAAGCUACUUGGGAACCUGAGGAAACAAUGGGAAAAAAAUAUCUGAGAGGACGAAAAAUUUUAAGGGGGAGAGUUGUAAUAGCCCGUUUUCAGUGAAAUCGGAAUAGUAGUUUCGGGACCACAAAUCCGAGUCCAGAAGGAAAAUUAUUUUAAUAUUAUUACAUGGUUUGCAUUAUGAUAGUAAUGUCAUAUGAAAAUUUCGUUAAGAAAAUUUUACCGAUUAUAUGUCUAAUUAGAUGGAAGGACCAAAUUGCAUAAAAUACAAAAGUUAAGUUCUAAUAGCUAUAAGUAUCAAGUAGCUAUGAAAUUCAAAAUUGGAGGUCCUUAUAUGGCAAAUAGACCAUUAAGAGGAGUUAGUAGAUAAGUAUGAUGAUUCAUCAAUGGAAAAUUAAAUAAAGAAAAUGACUAAAUUGAAAAGUAAAAGAUAAAAAGAUGAUAAAUAAUAAAAUAAAGAAAAAUAUCAUCAUCUUAUCAUUUUUUCUAAAACAAAAAUAUGGAAACCCUAGCCAUGGAAAUUGGAUUUUGAGCAAACUUAUUUGGCUCAAUUAGGUACGUUUUCUAGUCCCGUUUUUAGUAAUUUUUAUAUUUUCAAGAUCGUAAUAGCUUAAUCUAGCCAUCUCGAGGAUUAAUUUGUAAAGUUAUCAAAGUACUAGGAUUUUUUCCAAGGAUGAAUAUAGGUGAAUUAUGAAAUUUUAUGGUAGAAAAUGAAAGGUUGUUGAUAGAUAAACAACUUUUGUAAAGUGAAUUUUAAUGAAAUUGUGAUUUAGGGACUAAAUUGUAAAGAUGGAAAAUUUAUGGAAAAUUUCUAAAUUUUGUGAUAUAUAUGGGCUGCUAAUGUUAUAUGUAAAAAUCAGCUAGGCUUGGAAUAAGGAUUAAAUUGCAUGAAUUUCAUUUUUCGAGCCUAGGGAUGAAAUCAAAAUUAACUAAAAGUAUAAGGGCAAAAUUUCAUGUGAAUUGGAUUAAAUUGAAUAUGAAUUGUAUUAAAUUAAUGUUAAACUCAUUCAUAUAAAUCCGGAUAGACCAAAUAUGGUGUUAGAUCAAGGAAAAGAAAAAGUAUCGGAUUAGUAGAUUUUGCGUACACGAAUACUUGUUGAGGUAAGUUUGUGUAACUAAAUUGUAUAUUUAUAUUUUUGAAUUGAAUGUUGUGUAUGAGAAUUAAAUUGUGCAAUUGACAUGUAUGACAAGUAUUAAGUCCCGUUUGGAUAAAUUAAAUUCAAUGGAUACAGGGUUCCCGAAUUGGUUGUGGUUCUGCAUGUGUUGCAGACAGACCACAGCUCAAAAGAGCGUCCCGUUAUUAGCUCUCAUGAGCUUCUCGUUAAUAGCUCUUCGGAGCAUCCCGAUUUGGUUGUGCUCCUACAUGUGUUGUGGACACACCACAGCUGUUAUGAGCGUCCAGAUAUAUGGCUCUUCGGAGCUUCCCGAUUAAAGGCUUUUUCAUGAGCUUCCCGAUUAAUGGCUCUUCGGAGCUUCCCGAUAUCGGCUCGCUUGAAGUUCUCGAUAUUAGCUCGUAUGAGCUUCCCGUUAAUGGCUCUUCGGAGCUUCCCGUUACAUGGCUUAGAAGAGCUUCCCGAUUAUAUGCUCGUAUGAGCAUUCCCGAAUAUGAAUUGAUGGAUUUUGGAUAUGUGCACUUUGUUUGUACUACCCUUGCAUCCAUCGAUAUUUUAAAUGAUUCAAUGGGUCAAAUCCUGACAUGAGAAAAUAAGAGUUCGAAAUGAAUCAUUACCCGUAUAUGCACAAUAUACAUGGAAUUAAUAUAUGAACACAAGAAGUGGAAAUUAUGAACAUGGAAUUUGAUAUUUGAUGAGCCCAUAUAUGAUUCUUGGUAUUCAUGUAAAAAACAUAACUAACAUGUUAGAUGAGGUUGUGUCUAGGUUAUUAGCCAAAUUGCUUUGGUUGUAUUAUGUAUGCUUACCUUAAAUGCAAAUGUAUGGUAAGUUAAUUUCUCGUUAUACGAACUUACUAAGCAUUUAAUGCUUACUCUGAUUUAUUUUCUCUAUCUUAUCGUACUUUAAAACUCAUAAAGGUUGGAUGUAACACCCUUAACCCAUAUCCGUUGCCGGAACAGGGUUACAGAGCAUUACCGAAUAUUAUAGAUCAAAUACAAAUAUUUCAUAUAAUUUAACGUUCAUAUCAGAAAUCGGUCAUAUUCAAUCAUAUUGUCCCUUAUAUGAGCUCUCGAUGUAACACCCCCAACCCGUAUCCCUGGCCGAAACCUGGUUACGGAGCAUUACCAGAGUUUACAAAUCAAACAGACAGAAAUUUCAAACAUUUCAUAUCAUCAAAACAAGUCAUCAAAGCAUCAUUUUAAUCCAAAUUAUAAACAUACUAAAUCCAAAUCAAUUUGCACCUAUCUAUAUUUCGUUCAAUUUAUCAUGCCAUAAUAUGGCCUCAAAAAUAAACACAUAUUUAUAUGUAUAAAACUAAUCAAAAUUAAACUUAUAACCUCAUUUACAAUCAAACCACAAAAUAACUAUUAUUUACACGCUAACACAAAGGAUAAACAUCAUCACAUUUGAGUUCGGGAUCGUUGUUGGAUGCUGAAUCGGCGAUCAAAAGUUAAGUACCUAACCUGCACAGGGGAAAGAAAACCUUACGCUGAGUAAAACUCAGUGGUAUUUUUAUAAUCCGAAUAUUUAAAGAUAAGAAAUUACAAAUAUACAAUUGAAAUAUAAACACAUAUUAAUAUUUAAUUAUUACAACAACCAUAUUAUAUUUCAUUUGUUUCACAAAUAUCUCAAUUCUCAUACUUGCUAUAUAAAUAGCUUUUCACAAUUUAUUUCACAUUUCAUUAUACAAUUGCAAUAUCCAUUCCAUAGUCAUUUCAUGAGUAUAUAACUCAUAUAUUUCAUAUAUUUGAAACAUAUUUCACAUUCUAUUUUCAAUUCACUAUUUCACUUCCAUUUCUCAUACCAUACAAUUUCAAUAUCAAUUAUAAAACUUUAUUAUUCAUUUACCCCUAUUAACAUGAUUCGAACUCGGACGGAUACAAUGAUCCAACCAAAACACACCAGUUUGGUACUAGUACCUCAUCGGAUAAUUCGAAGUAAUAAGUUGACAUCCAGUGUCUCAUCGGCUAAACCGAAGUAAAUUGGCAUCCAAUGUCUUAUCGAAUUAAUCCGAAGUAAUAUAUUGACACUAGAGGUGCUCAUGGGCCGGGCGGCCCGGCCCGGCCCGACGGCCCGCCCGAAAUAUGGGAGGGUUUGGGUAAAAAUAUAGACCCGAAAUAUGGGCUUGGGCAAAAAAACGAGGCCCAAUUAAAAAAUGGGUCGGGCCUCGGGCACAACUUUUUUGGCCCGGGCCCGGCCCGAAUAUAAUAAAUAUUUUUAUUAUUUUUAUUUUAUUUAAAUUUAAUUUUAUUUUAUUUAAUUUAAUUUAAAUUUUAAAUUUUUUUUAAAUAUUAUUAUUUAUUAUUAUUAUUAAAAUAUUUUUAAAAUACUUUUUUUAAUUUUUGUUUUAAAUUUUAAAAUAAAAUUUUUGGUAUUUAUUUAAAAAAACGGGCCGGGGCUCGGGCUUAUGAAUUUUUUCCCGGGCCGGGCCUGGGCAAAAUUCUAGGCCCAUAUUUCGGGCCGGGCGUAGGACCCGGGCCAAAAUUUUUUUUGGGCCCGACCUGAACCCGGCCCGGCCCGGCCCAUGAGCACCUCUAAUUGACACCCAAUGUCUCAUCGACUCGAAGUCGAAAAAAUCUCUAAACUCUUCCAAUCCUAUGGCAUGCCAUCUAUAUCCGACUAAGCCCGAUACAGUUAAUAGGAUUUCAAUUCACUUUUCAAAUACAACCAAUAUUCAUUUCAAUUCAAAUAAUCAAUAUAUUCAAUAUAUAUACCAAUUCAAUCAAUAUAAAUUCAAUAACUCCUAUAUUAACUUAUUUAAUCAAUUCAAUGUUUAGACUUUUCUUGGAAUGCAUCAUAACCUACCCUAAAUUUAUGAGCUUUCGUGAGUUGAAAGGUAUGGUUACUAUCUUAUUCUUGUUAACUUACAAUCUAUUCAUUUGUUUAUAUUAUUUGAUUCUUUAAAUGCAUAUAUUUCUAUUAUAUGCUCUUUUUGCACAUAUUUUUUUGUAGGCAUAAUACAAAUGGAGAUCUUUUGGAGAGAAGAAAUAGAUACAAAUGGAGAAUAUUAAAUAGUUACAUUGUAAUUAUGUGUUAAUUUCAAGACUUAAGUAGUAUUUUUAAUUAUGUAGUGAUUCAAUACUUUAAUUUCGAUUAUUUCAGAUAAUUCGGUUAUUUGGUUAAUUUGGUUAAUUUUUUAUAUGUUUUAUAAUUGUUUUAACCAAAAAAUGAAAAACAUAUAAAUUUCAGUUAAUUCUGUUAAUCGACCAAAUUAACGAAAAAGUUUGAUUUAGUUAAAUUUUUUUUAAAUUCGGUUUGAUUAACAGUUAAGGGUUUAAAAAGUUUGAUUAAUGGUAGUUCAGGUCUAUUAACCAAUUGAACACCCCUAACCCUAACCAGAAGAGACUUAAUUACUAUCUUUACAAUCCAACUAACCUUUUCACUCUAAUACCAUUGUGUACUACACCUCUAGCAAGUACUCCUUUAGAAUCAUCUCUCCACCUGGUUGUUAUCUCAUAGAACAAUAAUCGGAUUCUAGGACUUUGUUGGGCAGGUUGUUACAUACUCUUAACCAUUUAACACAAACUUCUCCUUAAUAUAUAGCAGAAUACCAGGAAAUCAAGUUCUUACUUACUCUUGUGGCGGUUACUAAGCAUCCAUAUGUACAAGCCAAAUAAUAAUAUAGGCGUAUAACACUACGCCAGACAGACUAUUUACUGCUAUGCAUCAAACCGUUAAACCCUCCAAAAUUAGGGUGUUACAUUAGCAUUCAUUUCUUAUUCAAUGAUCCAGGUUGCCCCGAGCUUAGGAGUUUUUACUCCUUCAACUUUAGUGAAGGGAUGAGUCCAUCUAGUUAAAAUAACUCUCCAUUCUUGUUCAUUAGUUGACUUAAUGAAAGCUUGAAACAUCCCUAGCUCGUAUCUAUUGCCAAAAUAGGGUUACAGAGUAUUAUCAAAAUUUACAGAUCAAAUAUUAGACAUUUUACAUCAUUUAGUAUUCAUGUCAGAAACCAAUCAAAAUCAAUCAAAUUGUCCCUUAUGUGAGCCCUCGAGGCCCAAAAUACACAUUAGAAACAAGUCGGGACUAAAUCGGGUACUCAAAUAAUUUUUCAAAAAAUAUUGAAAUUUUUCAAAGUUACAGGGGACACACGCCCGUGUGCUCAGGUCGUGUGGCUCACACGGUCAAGAGACACGCCCAUGUCUUAGGCCGUGUAUGUAUUCGAAAUAGGGGUACACGAUCGUGUCCCAGCCCGUGUCCAAACUUGGGAGCUCUCUGCCUUGGGUCACACGGCCAAGUCAAAUGCUCAUGUGCUAGGCCGUGUGAGCAUACUGACUUGUAUUAUUAAAGUGCAGGGGUCACACGACCAAGCCACAUGCCCGUGUGCUAGGCCGUGUGAAAAAUUUUAAGUAUACUGACUCGUACAAUUUCUAAAUUACAGUGGACACACGACUGAGACACACGUCCGUGUCUCUGCCCGUGUGGACGAAAAUAGGCUAUUUCCUAGCCACAUUUCUCACCCAUUUUGGUAUCAAUCUAACACAACAUUUUAACACAUCAAUAAACCACAAGAAAGCAAUCAAAACAAGUCAAAAUCAUGUUUUAUACACAAUAUAUCAUUACAUGUACCCUAAAUACUCAAACUUACCUAUUUAAUCGAUUUAACAAAUUUACUAAAGUUUACUAGUAAUUAAAUUCAUACAAGCUUAUAUCACUCACACCAACAUCACAAAUUUGUUUCAUUUCCAACCCAAUAUAUAUAUAUAUAUAUUUAAGUUGAUUAUAUAAACAAAAUACCACUCCUAACAUUUGCACAAGCCAAACUUUGAUCAAAUCCACACCAACCCUAUACAUGCCAUAUAAACCAUAUUGAAUGUUUCAAAAACUUCCGGAAUAAGCUGGAUAGUGUGACUUGAGUGUUGAUCUGAUUGCCCAACCUUCCAAUAAUCUACAAAGACAUUAAACAACACACAUAAGCUUAAUGAAGCUUAGUAACUUUGAUGGGUUAAACAUAAAUCUUACCGAACCUACUAUAACAAACCAAAUAAAUAAAUUCAUUCAUGUUAACUCUCUGUCAGUCACAACUUCAGUCAAUGAAUACACUUGUUUCAGAUUAAUACCAAUAAUAAAUAAUAUGUCUUUCAAUUUCAAUACAUAAAUCACCUUACCAAAUCUUUCCCAAAUCGAAGAACGGCUUACGGAUAAGAGUACAUUGUUUUCAGAAGCCCGAAAGCUUAACAGAAGCUCAUGAGAGCUAAAUAGAAGCUCAUAAGAGCUAAACAGAAACCCAUAAGGGUUGAUCAGAAGCUCGUAAAAGCUUAACAGAAACUCAUAAGAGUUUAACAAAAGCUCGUAAGAGCUGAACAGAAACUUGUAUGAGUUGAAUAGAAGCUCGUAAGAGCUGAACAAAAAGUAAAACACAAGAGUUCGCAACAAAUGCUGAACUCCGAUUUACUUGGGUAAUUUGCCGUCAUUUUCCUCCAAUGCCGUUAUGCGCCACAUAACGAAUGUACUCAAAUCCCACAUUCCAUUCAAUCUGAAUAUUCAAUUCAAAAUUAUAACUUCAACAAUAAUUCAUUUUCAAUAAUAGAAUAAAUAUAAUACCAUUCAUAAAAUCACAUAAUUAUUAAAUUUUAACCAUACGAACUUACCUGGGUUAAAUUGUAAUAUUUGCAGAAGUUUAGGGAUUAUUCUAUUAAUUUUCCUUUUUCACUAGUAUUUACGGGAUCUUGAUCUAAAAAAUAAAAUUACUCAUUCAUUAGCAUAUAUUUCAGUUCCAAUUCAUUUCACAAUCAAUGCCCUCAAUUUUUUAAUUUACACAAUUACCCCAACCUUUUACAACUUUUGCAAUUUAAUCUUCUAACUAAUUUAUCUAUUAAAUUAACAAAUUUUCCUCAAUUAAUAAUUUAUCUAAAUACUCUAGACCAUCAUACAACCCUUAAUAAAAUAGAAAUUUACUAUCAAACCCUAAUAUUUUAACAUUUUCACAAUUUGAUCCUAAAAUAAAUAUUUAACAAAAUCACUUUAUAAUAUCAUCAUACAACAAAAUUAAAGCUUUAAAUUCAUUUUAUUCAUCAAAAAAAUCUUAUAUUGAUCAAUGGAAACUUCCAAAAUUUUCAAUAAAAUCAAAAACUAAGAUAAGACUUAGUUGGACUUAAUUGUAACAAUCUCAAAAACAUAAAAAUUACAAGCAAAGGGUAAGAAUUGAACAACUUGAAGCAAAAAUAUGAAAACCAGCUUAAGAAACUCUCCUAUGGCGUUUUUGGACAGAAAAUUGAAGAAGAAUUGCCUAGAAACCUUUUAAUUUCUAAUUUGGUAUGUUUAAUUUCAAACAAUUUACCAUUUUGCCAUUAAUCACAUUAUUUUAUUUUUUUUUCUUACUUAUGCCGCCUCAUCCAUUUACUUAGGGUUAUUUAUUCCUUAAGUUCUCCCUUGUUUACUAAUUAAGCCAUUUAAUCACAUGUUUCUUAUAAUUAGCAAGUUUUACACCUUUUUUCAAUUUAGUCCUUUUUAAUUAAUUAACUACCAAAACGAUAAAAUUUUCCAACGAAACUUUUACACUACCUUAAUGACACUCUGUAAAUAUUUAUAAAAAUAUUUAGGGAUUGGUUUAUAGAAACGAGGUCUCGAUACCUCAUUUUCUAAAACCACUUGACCUAAUAUUUUACCACUCGAAUCUAAUAAUUCAUUAUAAAACAUAAAUUAUCAAUUCAAAAAUAUUUUUAAACCAUAUUUGACUCGUAAAUACUAAAUAAUAAAGUUUACGAGCUUACUCGUUGGAUUUGGUGGCCUCGAAGCAUUGUUUCCGACACCACUGAAAAUCGGACUGUUACAAAGCUUUCACCAUAACUUUACAGUAAGCAAAAUUUGCUCCAUCAUGCAUAGGGGGCACAAGACUGAAGAUGCUUCCAUUGCAAGCAAGUAAAUCAACUAGGAUAAUCACAAUUUAGAACUUUCAACAAGGGGAUAAACAAGUACAAUACAUAAAAAAAUUUUAAUACUUUAUUUAAGUUUCUAUUGCUUUUGCCUUUAAUCCUUAGUUUUUUUUUUUAAUCCAAAUCAAGACUUAAAAGAAAAAUAUUUUUUCAAUAACCAAAAUGAAAGUGAAUUAAAAGUUGGGGGACCAAAAUGAAAUUAUAAACAUGAUUUGGCGCGUCUAUUCAACUGUCGUUAAUGAUUUAAUGCUUAGUGACUAAAAUAAAAGCGCCCUAAAAAUUUGGUGACAAAAUUACAAUUUUUUUUAACAAAAGAUACUUAAAAGUUGGAAAACUAAGUGAUAAUUUACCAUAAGAGAAAGUAAAAGAAUUGUGAUAAAAAGUUAUUCUUAAAAUUAUUUUGGAAAAACGAAAGUUUAAGCAAAAUUUCAAGAAAAAAGAGAGAGAGAAAAUAAAAACUGGAUGAAGAAAUAGAUAAAAGGAAAUUUUUUAUUUCAACAACCUAACUUUCAUUCUGUCAUAGAAAUUUAAUCCCCUUUUUCAAGAAGCAUAUUAAUUUUAUAGAGGAAGAAUUAUAUGAAAUUGAGAUAUUAGAUCAUUUGUAUUUCUUUUUAAUAAUUUAAUGUCAUUUUAGUAUUUUCACUUUGAAAAAAAAAUCAAAUUUAAUAUGAUGUGCUGAAAUUUAGGAUAAAAAUGUUGAAAUAGCAUUAAAUUAUUGAAAAAUGAUACAAAUGACAUGGUAUCCCAGUUUUAUACAAUUCUUUAUCUAACUUAGUGGAAACAAAAUUUCACUUUAUUAUAUAAAAGAAAAUGGCAUUACUCUAAUUUUUAUUAGGAUAAACUAUAAAAAUAGUCGUUGAACUAUGCCUUUGAUUCUAUUUUGGUCACUCAAUUAUUAUAUAUUUAGAUUUAGUUACUAAACUUUCCGAAAUUAAAUAUUUUAGUUUCUCUCCUGUUAGUUGCGUUAGAUGAGUGAUGGAAAGUUGACGUAAGUUUUUUUAUUGGUCUAAUAACAAAUUUAGUCCUUAAUAUUUACAUGUAUUUAAUCCUAAAUAUAUAAAAAAAUUCAACGAAAUUUGUCAUUUUAGUUCAAAUAUAAAAAAAUUUAAUAAAUUUAACUUUCAGCAUUUAUAAACUUUCUCAAUUUAUGUCUAAUUCUAAAAAUAAAAAUAAAAACAUUUUCUUAAAUAAAAAUUCAUUUUUAAUCCUUUAGCCCACCCUUUGAAAUUUUUAGGUAAGCUAAAAUGAAAAUCAAAAUCAAAGCAGGAAGCAUGUCACUGAAGAACGUAUUCAGUCAUAUAUUUUCGUUUCUGAGUUGAGGUAAUUUCAUUUUGUUUUGUUCCCUUAAAAUUCUCAUCAGGUUCAAUUCAUUUCUGCUAAUUUUUCUUAUGUAGUGAAAUUUCAUUUACAAUUUAGUUCAUUUUGUGAUUAUUCUUUGAAACUUUCUCUUCUCUUUCAUUUUUUUUAAUUUUUAAUUACUAUAUGUUAAGUAACAUAAUUGAGGUCAAGGCAGUGUUGCCACCAUAGAUUUGUCGUUGAUUGUAUUCUUAUAAUGUUUUUAGAAUUAAACUUGUGGUUGAAUUGAUCAGAUUAUUGACUUACUAGUCAAAUUGAUUCAGCAGAUUUGAUAAAAAUUUUAAAAAUUAAAAAAACAAACAAUUUAACUAGGUUUUUAGCUAGUUCAAUUGAUCUGUAUCAAUUUAUUAUUCAAUCAACUCAAAGCCUUUUUCUAGAUCAAUACCCCAACCGAUUCUCGAUUCAAUCCACUUCAGACAACAUUGCAUUCCCCAACUAACUAGGGCUUAUUUGCGGUGGAAUUAGGGAAAAGAAAAAAAGAAAAAAAAAAGUGUUAUAUUAGGUUUCUGUUGGUUGGCUUCAAAGGUUCUAAGUGAGUGCAGAAAAAUUAAAAGGAGAUCUAAAUGGCUAAAAAUGAUUUUUUUUAAAUAUAUAUUGUUUAAAUUUUUAGAAUUAGAGAAUAAAAUUGACAAAUUUUGUAAAUGUGGCUAAAUUUAUUGAGUUUUUUUAAAAUUCGAACUAAAAUGACAAACUUUAUAAAUGAUAAGGGCUAAAUUUGUGAUUAGACUAAGAAAAAAUGCUCACGUCAACUUUUCAUCAUUCAUCUAAUAACAACUAAAUUAAAAUAUUUAAUUUUGAAAAGUUUAAUUACUAAAUUAAAAAAUGAAUAAUUGGAUGAUAAAAAAAAACUUAAUUGAGUGAUAUUUUAAUAAUUUAAUUUUAUACAAAAACAAAGAAUAAAAUGUCAAUUUUGGUUCUUUUAAUAACCCUCUUUCUUCUUUUGUUUUUUCAACGUAAAUUUUGAUAUUUGAACAGAUGAACAAUAUAUUUUAGCUCAAUAAAAAGAUUAUUUGUGCAUUAUUUAUGUUGUUUGCUUGUUAUUAUACAUUGUUACAUCAUCUCCUCGUGUAACAUUCAGCCACACAUUUUCUGAUUGCAAAGGAGGGAUAAUCCUACUCAUAAAUUCAAAGUAAUAUUGUAUCAUUUGAGAAGGUGAAAUUGUAUAUAUAUGGCCAUUCAAAGGAGGGAUAGUCCUAGACGAUUGCACUUUCAAACAACCUCAAAACCAGACCUGUAUAUAUAUAUAUGAGCCACUCAACUGUGAUGCCCUAUCUCGCUAGUAAAAUCCCCAAGAAUCUAAAUACACACAUUCAUAAAGAUUAUGGAGUAAUCAGAGUGGUUUUAAAAGGUAUCAACUGUUGGUGUUUGGAGUUUAGAGCAAACACUAAUUGUGCACAUUGUGGAUUAGAGGUUUCUUGAGUCGGAUCGGAUCGAGUUUAAGUAUGGUAUUAGUAUAUUUUAUAUUUGUUUAAGCUUGGCUUUACUCGGCUCAAAAUAUGGGUUUAAAUUUUAUCUAAAUAUGUUUCAUUUUUAUAAAUGGUUAACCCAAACUCAUUUUAGAUAAAUUCAUAUUAUAUUUUUAAUUUUAUAAAAAUAUAUUUUUUUAAUUUAAAAUUUAAUAAUUAUGUUUUUUAAUUUAUUAAAGUUUAAUAUAUAAUUAACUUAACAUUUUUUAUGUUUACAUUAUACUAUUAUAUAUUACUAUAAAUUAUAUUUUUAAAUGUUAUAAAUUAUAAAAUAUAUAAAAAUAACAAAAUAUAAUAUUAGAAAAUUAAAAAAUUAAGCUGGACUCAUGGUUAAUCUAUAUUUUAAAUGAGCCUAUUUUUUACCUAAAUCUAUAUUUUGGACUUAAUAUUUUUAUUUAAAUUUCGAAUAGACAUUUGGAGAAUCAAUCACCCAUAAUAUACUAUUCCUCAAUGAAAGGCUGUAACAAAAUAGCACCCCAGUUGGGCUGUGGUCAAUAUACAAGGAACCAGUGUAGGAAUGGGGUAUUAGAGUAGUGGACCACGGAUCCAUUAGGACAGGCCUAAAUUGAGUCUAGCACACGAUAGCUAAAAGCAGUGUGGUUACGUCAUAGUCGAUGAGUGGAAUUUGGAAGUGGGGACUGGGGACUGGGGACCCCUUCAGUUUCUCAACUUUUGGUUCAUGCAUCACAAGACAAGGUGACCAAAAAUUAAUUUUAAAAUAUAUUUUAAAUUUAAAUUCACUUAUUUAUUUAUUUUGAAUUUAUUGAAUUACAAAUUACUAUAUGUAUAGUAUGGGAUGACAUUACUGUUUAAUUUAUGGAAUAAAAUUUUGGAUUAGUAUUUGGUAUAUUGGUAAUAUACGUUUUUAUUUUAUAAGUAGUCUUAAAAAUUUGUCAUGUGUUUUUCUUUCUUAAAUAUUUAUUUUUUUUAGUAUUUUACUAUGCCAUUACAUAUGUCAACCCAAUGGCGGAGCCAAGGGAGGUUGGUAGGGACCCCGAUUCUCCUAAAAUAGAAAAUUUUUCAUUUAGGCUCUUUAUAAUUUAUAAAAUUUUAAAUUAAUAAUUGUAAAAUUGUACUUUGGCCCCCCAAAAAUAAUAAAAAUUUGAUUUAAUCUUUUAAAAAUUAUGAAGAUAUACACUAUUAAAAUGGUGAAAUUACAUUUUUACUGUCGUAAAAAUAUGAAAUUUAAUUUCGACCCCCAACAAAAAAUUUCUGGCUUCACCACUGUGUCAACCCUUUGGCUCUACUUGUGGAAUCUAAAAACUCUAUUGGUGGUGUAUCAGAUACUAUUCUGUAAACGUUUUGCUUGUUUAUUUUGAGUUUGUUUAAGGACAUAGGUAUAUUAUAUGAAGCUUAUAAAAUAAAUUUUAUAUAAUUUAUGAGUAUCUAUAUAUAUAUACUUCAGUAUUGUAAAUUUUAUUUAUAGUGAGAGUUGAAUUUAUGCCACCAACAUUUUUAAAUAUUUUAUUUACCACCUUAACUAAAGCUUUAUUUUUGUAUGAAUAUUUUCUAUUUGAGAUUUAAUUAGUCUCAUUAUUUGAUAUUUUUAAAUAUUUUAUGGGAGAGGGAUCCACAUACGUCGGUGUAAAACUAAAGUGAUUUUACACCUUUCUAUAAUUUUUUUAUACAAUUAAUAUUUUAACAAUCGAACUGUUAUGUUUCAUGCUACACUCAUAUUGGUCAUUUAUGUUAAGUUUGGUGUAAAUAAAAAAUUUCUAACUUUUUGUUUUAUGUAAAAGAGCUUUAAAUUUUCAAAUAUAUAUCAAUAUAGACAAUAUUUUAGAUCGAUAUAAUAAAGAUACCAGAUCGAUAAAUUCAACGGUUGGAUUGUUAAAAUAUUAAUUGUAUUUUACACUGAUAUAAAUGGAUCAUUUCCUAUUUUUAUAUACAUAUAUAAAGUAUUUUUAAAAAUAUAAAUAAAUCCGAAAUAACAUACCAAAAUAAAUACCUUCAAGUAAAUAUGUUUAGAUAUGAGUAAGAUUAAUUUUGCUUCUUUUGAUCAUUAGUUUCAAUUUUCAAAUAUGCUCUUAAAGGGAAAGGAAACAAAAACCUACGAAAUGCCCACAACGGUAAUUAAUAUACAUUGAAUUGUAUUUUAAAUUUUACUGAAAUUUUGGGUUAGAUGAAUGAGUAAUUAAGCUAGGGUUAAAAUUGUAUAACGUAUAAUCAUAAAUUUAACACUUAAUCCUAUAUAUUUAUUUAAUUUUAUCUUUAUUAUAAUCUUUUAUUAGAAAUAAAUUAGAAAACUUUUAAACUGAUGAGACUAAAGGGUUAAAAUGAACUUAAUAAAAAAAUUUAAAAAAUCAAUUAAACCUUUUUAAAAUUUAAAAUUUAUUAAAAAUUCAUAAAAUUUAUGGAAAUGAAAUAUAAAAAAUUUAAAUUUUUUUAUUAAAAAUAACAAUACUAUCCCAGUAAAAUUGAAUUUUUAAAGAAAAAAUUGGGAUUAGAUUUCGAAAAUCUUAUAAACAAUAGAUCAAAAAAUUUUAUAAUCCCAAAUUUUAAUUUUUUUGAAAUAUUUUUUUAGAGCUUAAUUGAUUUUUUUUUAUUUGUUACAGAGGCCUUUUUGACCGUUCAACCUUAUUAGUUUCAAUUUUUUAUAAUUUACUUCAAAUAUAAUAUCAUAAUAGAGAUCAAAUUGAAUAAAUGUGUAGGGUUAAGAUCUACAGUUGUUAUUAUGUCUUAUACAUAAAUACCAAAAUAAAUAUUUAAUAAUGCAAUUUUAACGGUGUGGCUGUUUUGCCCACUUAUCUAACGUACAUAGCCUAACUUGCUCAUUUUUUGCAGUGAAGAUACUAAAAUGUAAUUCAAAAUAUAAUACAUGUGAUUUUAUGAUCAAAUAAGUGGGGCAUUUUUUGCAGUGAAGAUACUAAAAUGUAAUUCAAAAUAUAAUACAUGUGAUUUUAUGAUCAAAUAAGUGGGGCAGAGACUAUUCUAAUAAAGUCUUUUACGUGGUCGAUUCUCUUUGUUUCACCGCAGGUAGGUUGAACUAAUAGUCCUUAAUGAGACUCAUAUCUUAUGAUCAAAUAAGUGAAGUGCGUUGUGACACUUUUAAUUAGCUCGUUUAUGCAAGUAGAGAAGUUAGAAGCCAAUUUUUAAGGAUUGACAAGUAGAAUCUAAGAGUACUAGCUAUUUACAGGAUGUAGCGCAUAGCCCUUUAACGCUUUGCCUUGUAGAAAUCAGAAUGAUUUUGUGGUACGAAAAAAUUACUUCAUGUUUUACUUUUGUUUCAAAAGUUCAAGUUGUAAGUCACUUUUAACUAUGAUCCAAAUAUAAUUUCAAGUUUCUUUAAAAAAAAAAAGGGAUUAUUGUAUAUAACAUAUAAUCAUAUAUAUUAUAUAAAGCAUUUUCAAAUAAAAUAUAUACUACUAAAGUUUUUUAUUAUUUAAAAAAUAUAUAUACAAAUCAUAUAUAUAAUGGAAAAAGGAAGUAAAUAAAAUUGAAAAGAUGUGUCCAUAUGUCAAUUGGCACAACUAUUUACAUAUAUUUUUAAAGAAAAGAUUAUGUCUUUUCAAAUCGACACAUAAAUAACUUUUGGUAUUCUAUAUAUAUGUAAGCAACAAAAACGAGAAUUAAAAAACGAAAUUGAGUUCUAAGAGAAGGAUGUUAUUAAAUUAUUUCUUCAUCGUUCUGCACUUAUUCUUAAAAUAAUUUCUUGAAAAUGUAUUACCAUUAAAAGAUAUCCAUUUCUAAUCACUUUACCUAUAACCAGCUGAUGCUGCUGUUUAUUAUCAUGCACCUUUGAUAGAGCGGCGGAGAGUCACGGCCACCUCCCACUUUCUAUGGUCAUAGGGAGCUGACAAGUGAGUUUGUUGAGCGCGGCCUGCACUCUUUCUGCACUUACUGUUUCAUUUAUACUCUUCAUCUGUAUUUAUUUUAGGCUAAUUAUUUCGUUUAUUCAAAGAAGCAGCGAUUCGGCUAAAAAAGUGCACUAGCACUUAGGGUAGAAAAAUCAAACCGGAAUCAUCUUUUCAUCUCAAAAACCUACAUACUUGUCAUAUAAAUAAAAUAUUGAAUGAAAUUGUGAUUCUAAGUCAUCUUUAUUUCUUCUCAAUAAGAGAAUGACAAAUUAGAUUUUUCUUCCUGAUUUUUAGCUUUUUUUUAGUUGGAUUUGAAUUUUUUAGGAGAAAAAAUUAAAUUUAUCAUAGUUUCAUAUAGUCCCUUCUUUAUAUAUACAUAUAUGGUCAGAUUAUCACCACCAGCAUAAAAUGGUCUUUAAUCUAGCUAGCUAGCUAGAGGGUACUUGCCUUUGCACGUACGUACGAUUAUGUAGUGUAAAAGAUAGUAUUAAUCUAAGAUUUAUGUGUUCAUUUACGGCUAACAAAUUAUGUGAUGUGACUUCUAUCAUUAAAAUUUUAACAAUGUGUGGCUUACUGUGAAUAUAGUGUAUUAAGGUAUUAGUGUUAUGGAUAGGAAAUAUAAGAAAUACAGUAGUUGUUUGAUGGAUUGGUUGGAGAUGGGCAAAUGGAACAUGUAGUGCGGCGUUAGGAAUAAUAUUCAAGCUCAGUUCCUUAGGAGGUGAGAGGGUCAACUCCGAAGGAAGAAGGGUAGGCAACAUGUGUAUAAAGGGGCAGGGGUCCCUCCACCACAGAAAACGAUCGGUCUGCAGCCCUCCGUCUGUUGUUUUGUGGAUUCACCUCCCCCCUUGCCAAAGUCUUCACUCUGCCCUACCACCCAUGAUUUUCUACACAAAAUACAAAUUUAUUCUAUAAUUAAUAGUACUACCACAUAACAUAUUAAAACGUAAUCGUUACAUAAUAAUUAUUUCAUAACUCUAGCGAUAGUAUUAUAGGAAAGAGUAGUCAUCAACAUUUAAAGGAUUAAUUCUCAUAAAAAAAUUUAAUUUAUGCUAAACUUAACAUGCAUUAUUUACCUGAAUAAAGUAUAAAAUAUGGCGAUUGAAAUAUUAAAAUAUUCAAUACAUAUAAACUUACGAAAAUAUGUAAAAUUAUUUAAAUUUAACAUCAAUGUUAAUAGAUGUUUUUAUAUAUAUAUAAAUUUUAGGGUACGGUUUGUGAUCAUACAAUUCAAACUCCCCCGUGAUGAUAACACCACAAUCGUAUCCGUCAACUGCAAUUUGGAACUGAAAAGUGCAGCGAAUAUAUAGAGAUCGCAAUCCGCACGCAAAGAAAGGAUGAAUGGUUGGAGGAGGUUUAAAGGUUGUUGGUUUGGAGUUAACUCUUUUUGAACUUGGAAUUCGGGUGAUGGAUUUGAUUGCUAAUUAUAUUGCUAGCACCAGUAGUCUUAUUCCCGUGUAUGUUAAUUGAAUCAAUUGUGCCAAGUGGCGGCUUCCAUUUAGCUUGUCUUUUUCUUAGAAUACAUGCGGAUGGCACGGGCGCAAUGUCCGACGUGGGAGUUUAACGGCGUCGUAAGGUACACCAACCUUAUGUUAAUGACGGCGUUAGGUGUUACGUCAACAUAAAGGAGCACGUCAGGACAUGCAUCAUCAGACGUGGAAGGUCUUGAACCUGAAAACCACACGUAAAGUCAGCUUGGGUUUAGGGCAGAAGUAGAAGAAAGUGUGUCAUAUGCCGAAAAGAACGUGAAAUUCACACGCGUGGAAAAAGGGAAACUCCCCACAAUUCAAUGCCCAAACUCUCCUCCGCACUUCCAUUAAUUAAUCUAAAGAAAAGAAAAGAAAAAUAUUUUUUUACAAAUUAAUCCACCUUACCGUCGUCCAUUUCCACUUAAUUUCCCUUUUAGAGUUGAAAACAUGAGAAUAUCAUUGCCAUCCCUCCUAUCCUAAUUCCGAUUAGUUUUUGUCAGUUUAGUUAUAUCAUAAUCAUAAUAAUAAUAAAACGAAAGACAACACCAAAAACAUAAGUGCUUAUGUUUAAAAUUGGUAAUAAAUAAGAGUAACUUGUGUCUGGUGCAGGUUGAAACUGGACAGAAUGACAAAAGUUUUGUCUGUCAUGGUCUAAGGUUUUGAUAGUGCCUCCAUGAAGCUGCAAAUUAUGUUAUCGCAGGUUUUCAGCAUAUAUUCCAGUUUUAGGAUACGGCAUUGUUCCUUAAACUUAGGCUUAACAUUAAGAUUAAAAUCAACGGUAAAAUAUUUGUUUAAAUUCAAUCACUGUAGUGAUAGUGAAAUAUCAUAAAAUAAAAAAAAAUAUUGAAACGUGUUGAAAUAUGUGUAUGAUUACAAUAAAAAUUUAAAAAUGGCUGAAAUUAUAUUUGUAAUAUUUAUGUUAAAUAAUUAUUAAAAAUUACACUUGCAUUAGAAAAUUAACUUCAAAAGAAUUAUUAAAAACUAUAUAUUUAUUGAGUAAAGUAAUUUUUUUAUUUAUAUAUUUUUGGUUCAAACAAAUUAUAUUAUUUUAAAUAAUAUUUAAAAAUAUAUUUAUUUUUAAUAUAAUAAAUUAAUAAUUAAAAUUAAAAAAAAAGAGAAGAAGCUGAUGGGGGUAAAAGGGGGAUUACCCCCUUUCAUUGGAGGAUAUUGCACCCAACGUCUCAAUCAGAAAUUUGUACUCUAGGAAGUGAGUUUCCUCCACUGAAGACAUAUUAAAGGCAUUCCCACAAGAGGUGUAAUGAGAUUGAAAAGAAAUACCUUCAAUAACUGUAUUCACCCUUCUGUGCAUCUAAAGAAACCUUUAAUGUACCACGACUUAGAUGCUAAUGUCGCAUAACCUACAUACCCUUCCCUAAUAUUUAAAUAGAAGAAUAAUACGUUUCAGCAUAUUUAAAUUUUACGUUUUCCUACAUUAAUAAUAAUGUCAAUACCAAUCGAAUUAAAACUCAAUUGAUAGAAAUGAGAGUACUUGAUAUAGGCACAAAUUGUAACUUUUAUAAAGUUACUUUAGUUAUUUAGACUUUUUUUAAAUCAUUGUUUGCAAUAUUUUAAAUUUUUGUCUAGAUUAAUUUUAUAAUCAUAAAAUAGAUGUGUGAAAAUCUAGUAAUUAUUAAUAUAUAGAGGUAAAUUAUACUAGUAGUUACUCAACUAUUAGUAAGUAUUUUUUGAUCACUCAACUAUGAAAAAUUAUAAAAUGACCAUUCAAUUAUUAGUAAAUUUUUUUUGGUUACCCAACUAUGAAAAGUUACAAAAUAGCCACCUAACUAUUCAAUUUUGUCUUUUCUGGUCACUAGCUAACUAAUGGUGACAACUUUUAAAAUUGGCAUAAAUAAUGUCAAUUUAGUAUUGAAUUUGGUCUUUUUUUGAAGUUUUUUUUUAUGACAUUGAGGUUUAAUUUUAAAAGAAUGAAAAAAGAUGAAAAUUAUUAUUUUGGAUUUUUUGGGUGUUUUCAUUUUUUAAUCAAAUUUAGCUGCUAAUUGUUUUUAGCUUUUUAGGUGAAAGAAUCACAAAGAAAAGCAAAGAUGCAAAAAAGACCAAAUUACACAAUGUGUAAAUAUUGAGGGUUAAAUUUUUUAGAAUCAAGACUAAAUUAAUGUAAUGUAUAAAUGAUGAGAGUUAAAGUUGCUAUUAUAUAUGUCAAUUUAAAAGCUACCACCGUUAGUUAGUUAGUAACCAAAAAAGAUAAAUUGAACAAUUGAGUAACUAUUUUGUAACUUUUUAUAAUUAAGUGACCAAAAAAGAAAUUUAUUAAUAAUUGAGUAAUCAGAAUAUAUUCAAAUUAUUAAAUUGACAUCAAAGUAAAUAAUAUGACUGAAUUAAUGAAAAAUAUAUUAUAAUUUUGUGAAAUAUUAUUAAACCCAAUCAAAAUUACAAAAAGCAAAAUAAUUAGGUAAUCUUAACUAAAGCUUUUUGGUUUUUAUUUUGUUUUAUAUUUACAUAGGAUUAGGAUUAGUAUUAUGUUGACGGACAAGCAUGUCUAUUUUAAUUUUUAAAAUAUUUUUCAAAACACAUUACAAUGCACCAAAUAAAUUUCUUUUUACCUAACUUUUAAUAAAAAGUUUUGUACUUCUCAAAUUCGUCAAUUUUUUAAAGUUAAUUUUCUACAACAUGUAUAUUAUACGUAAUUAUAUAUUUAAUUAUUUUAUUAUUUAAUAGAAUAAUUUUAUUUUAUGUGAUUAAUUUAAGUAAUAGUCCAUUUCAAUAGAAUAAUAUUAUUACUAUUCCUCCUAUUCCAAUUCGUAUUAGUUUUUGUUAGAUAAUUACAAGUAGUCAGAAUAUUCAUAUAAUAAUUACAAUAAUAAACAAUUAAACCAAAACAACGACAUAAACAAAAACAAGUGUGCUUAUGUGUAAGAUUCGUACAGACAGUUAAGAAAGAAGAGUAACUUGUGUCUUCACUGUCUGGUGGAGGCUGAAACCGCACAGUACAACAGAAGUUGCUGAUUGUCUAAUAGUAAUUAUAAUGUGAUUGGUUAGUUGGCUCUUAAGGUUUCAAUAAUGCCCACGGCGUUGGAAUAUUUUUAAAAUAUAUAUAGUGUUUCAAUAGUUACAAAUCAAAAGUUAUGUUACUUGGUUAUUAACCAAUAGUUAUAAUUAUGCUAAAGAUAUGGCUAUUAUGUCCCUAUAAAGAAACAUAGUAUCUUAUAAAUAGGAGUGACCCAGAACACAUGGAAACAAGUUUCUUUUUGAUCUCCCACCAUCUUUUAUAUUUUUAGAUUGUUCUAUAAAGAAUUACUGCAUACAUUUUUUAUAGAAAUUGAUAUCAUUGCUAUGCUUCGCUCAGUGCUUAGUGGACUAUUUUUGCCAGUGCAAAACAUAUACAGUCAUUGGGCUUCAUUAGAUCCUCAAGAUUCAUUUGCUGGUAACCUUUUUGCACACCAUAAUAUAGGUGGGGGCGAAUAUAACCUUAAAGCAAGUGGCAUUGAUAUAUGCUUUGAAGCCUUCGUUAAUUUCUAAUAAGUUAUUUUUAUCCCCACUCACCAACAAUUUUAAGGUUCUAUUUUUGCAAUUUAUGAGAAAUUAAAGAAGGCUUGUCUGUUCACCACACAUUCAUAUGCCACUACAAGCAUGGUGCUAUGAAGAUGGAUAUCGACAAUUGUGGUUGCAUGAAGAUCAAUGAUCUUGUCAAAUUUUGGUUUAGAAAAAUCUUUCUUACAAGAAAAGGUAUGUCAAUUUUUUUGUUUUACUUUUAUUGCAUAAUUAGAUUUCAAUUGUUAUGUAUUUAUUGAAUUGCAUUAUGCAAAAGAUGUAACGUAUCUCAUGCAUCAAUUACUUGACAAAAAGAAACUCAAAUGCUAGUUCAUUGUAUGCAUGACUUUUUGAGAUGCAUAUAUAUCAUGCAAGAAAGAAAGAAAGAAGAUGGAAUGAAAGUGCACAUUCGGGAAAGGGUUUAUUAAUGAAUCGAAAAGUUACUUUCAUUUUGGAUGGUGAUGACAUUGUUCAAAAAUUAGUUAAACAUGCUUUUAUUCAAUAGAAGCAUUAUGACCAUUCGGGUGAGCCUUCCCAAAUUGAAAAGUUGCGUCAUUAGGUCCAACGAAUACUUUUAAAAGAUUGGGUGAAUGGUUUUUUGAAACCAAAAAAUGCAACUUAAAAAGUGAUAUCUUUUUGAAGAAUCACUUAGGCACCACCUAUCACUGCUUUAUAAAUAGAAAAUAAGUUAGGAGAACUGAAAUAUGACUCGUUCCAUUUAAUUUGUGAGUGAAACUCUUAUUCUUUCUUCUUCUUGAUAUAUAUUUAACUUGAGAUAUUAAAUUAUUUGUUUAUUCAAAUCAUGACAUUAGUAACUAGCAUUUGGAUGAUAUUGAUGAGACAUUAUUUUCAUUGCUAAAAAUGAAAGUUUAUAAAUGAUCAUAUAAUAUAAAUAACUUUGACUGUUAUUUUUGUUAAAUAACCUUGGUUUUGUUUUUUUUAUUCUAUGUUAUAAAGUUUGGACUAGAAGUGGUUUUGACUAGAAAUGGAAUAAGUCAUAUGCAUAUGAAUGAUUGAAUUUUCUAGUCAAGGUAGAAUAGUAGAAAACAUUAGUUGAUAUCACAAAAUCAUUAUUUGGGUAUGCAAUCUUUUAGUGGAAAUGUUGAAAAUUUCACAAUGUGGUAUAGAUAAUUAACAUAGUUAUGUUGAAAAUUUAGACUACAAGCCUAUAAUAUUUGAGUCACCCAUAAUAGAAACUCAACUCAACGCUUGGUAUAACAUCAAGUAUUGAGUUCAAUGAGACAAAGUACAUCAUCAUAUGUGAUUGCUAACACUAUAAAAUAAUAUAUAAUAUAUCAUCCCAAGGUAAAAAGUGUUAGGUACCCGUAAUAAUAAGAGGAAUGAUGAGUAUUAUACUCUUAAUAGAUCCAUAACAUAAAUAUGUUAGAGUGUUAAAAUUACGAGAAUACUUUUGAUAGGAUCUACCUAUGUGAGUGGAAGUGUGGUCGCUUUUAAGAGCUCAAGGGCUUGGCUCUAACAACACUCAUUAAAAGAAAUUACAGACACAUGACCAUAAUAAUGUCAUUGGAUAUUGUGCAUUAACUGGUGUUGAAAUCAUUGUGUGAGAUGUGUUCGAUUAAUCAAAUGGAAUAGUUUGUUCAAAGUAUAGUCUACCAUACAAUUUCUAUUAACUUAAACAUGUUUUCACUAAGUGAAGGUUCAAUCGUAAAACACAUUCAUUUAUGCAAUUGAUUUCCAUAAUUAUCAAAAUAUAGAAUAUUUUGAGAAUGUGGAGAUUGUUGAAACAUUUUCAAAAUAUAUAUAGUUUUUCAAUAGUUACAAAUGAAAAGUUAUAAAUAACCAAAAGUUAUGUUACUUGGUUAUUAACAAAUAGUCAUAAUUAUUCAAUAGAUAUCUAUUAAAUAAUCAUGUUUAUUGCUUAAGAUAUGACUAUCCAUUUGGAUAGUUAUGUCCUUAUGAAGAAAUAUGAGGCCUCCUACAUAUAGAAGUGAAGUUUCAUUUGCAUGACAACCCAAAAAAACAUAAUCCUUGCUAUGCUCCUCUCAGUGCUCAGUGGACUGUUUCCGUAAGUCCAAAAUGUAGACAACCAUUGAGCUUCAUUGUAUCCUUUAGGUUCAUUUUCCAGGAACUAUUUUGCACACCAUAAUAUAGGUGAGGGGCAAAUAGAACCUUAAAAAAAGCAGCAUUGAUACACGCAUUGAAACUUUUGUUAAUUUCUCAUAAGUUUAUUCUUAUCCCCAUGCUCCAACAAAUUAUGGUGUCUUCAAUUGUUGAAAAGAACAAGUAAAGUUUUCAUCAUAUAAUCCGAUUUUUGAAUUCGAAAUUUUAAUAUAAAAAGUUAUUAACUCCACAACUAAUCUAUAAUUUCAUCAUUUUUAUAAUUUUUGUAAGUUGCAUCUUAAAUGUCAAGUAUUUUUCUCCAAAUUUAAAUGUCAUAGAACAAAACCAGCAUAAAAAAAUAUAUGUUGGAAAAAAACAUUAUAAAAUAAUACAUUUAGGACGUGGGUAAAAAUAUUUAUGUAAUAAAAUUAUUAAAAAUUUAUAUAAAAAACAAAUGUGAGUUUAGUUUUUUUUUAAAUGUGGGUUUAAUUGAAAUGGUAAAAUUGAGAUGAUCAAAAUUAUAAUCUUUAGGUUCAAAUUUUAUGAUUUUUUUACUUAUGCAUGUGUUUUUCUAAAUUUAUCAAAAUGUAAAAGACAUAAUUACCCUCAAAAUAAUAUUUAUUAUUUUAUAAAGUGAAGGGAUAUUUAAUAUUUUAUUAAUUGAGUUGAGACUCUAUUGAUGUGUAACACUAACUCAGUCAACUUAGAUAACCACUACCAUACUUAGAAGGCAGCUUUAUAAAUUUUAGCCCUCAACCCUAAGCUAAACUCAUUUUGUGAAAUCUUAGUAAAUCCAAUCAAAAUUAUAUAUAUAUAUAUAUAUAUAUAUAUAUAAUUAUGACUUUUUAUAUCUAGACUAUUAUUUAAAUCCUUAAUUGAGUUGGUGUUACAGGUCAUCUAGAUAUCAACUUGGUCAGAGAAAUUGCUAAAAUAUCCUUUUGUAUUUAAAUAAGUUAAAUUUUUAAAGUUAUCACUCAACAAAAUUUAAUGUUAUUAUAUAUUUUAAUUUUAUUAUGCCCACUUUUAUUACCUAAAUACGAAAUUUAUUUUAAGAAUAUACUUUCAUCCACAUUAUGUGUGUGGAAUUAUGGAAUUAUAGUAUGAAAUUAUAGUUGUGAAUGUAGAUAAUUCAAAUUGAGUAAUAAAGGUGUUCUCCACAAAGUCGUUUGAGAUGUUUUCUACCAUUUAACUUUGUAAUUUUGGGGUGAAAAAGUGAAAGAUGAAAGACGAAAGACGAAAGUGGAGAAUUGAUUUAUUAGUAAAAAAAAUUUAAGAGCAAAGGAAAUAAAAAAUAUGUAAAUUAAUUUAUAUUUUAAUACAUAAAAAUAAAUCAUUUUAAAAAUUAUAUUAUAAAAGUGUAUUUUUAAAAAUAACAUAUAAUAAAUAAUGGAAUGUAACGUUACGCUUAUGCAAUAUAUACAGAAUUAAAAUAAUAAAAAUGAUUUUAAAUUGUGAGUAAAAGAAAAUUUUUAAAUACAUCAUAUUAAUAAUAUUAAAUGCACUUUAAUUACUUAUCAUAUUAUUGUCAUUUUCCUUAAGUUAAUAUCGAGUUGACUUGUGAUAUCAAUUCAAUCAAUGACGUUAUUAAUAUAUAUACAAACAAUUUAGGAGAAAAUUUUGUAGUAACAUUGAAAUGUAUAAAAAUGCUAAAAUAAAAUUUAAAUGUCAACAUUUGAAAUUUUUAUUAUUAUUUUAAUAAUAAAAAGCAAAAGCGCCAUCAUAAUAAUACAACUUAUUUGAAAUAUAUAAAGUUAUUUUAAUAAAUUUUUUAACUGGAUUGACUCGUGGCGUCAACUCAAUUAUAUAUUAACAUAAUGAUAUAAAUAUUUAUUAGAAUAAUCUUUACUCUAUUUUUAACUCUCCAUCAAGUAAUUGAUUGAAGGUUGGUUUUUUUGCAAAAUUUCGAUUUCCCUACCCAUCAAACAAAUGAAAAGAGUUCUCUUUUCCUACUCAUCUCAUUAGAGCAUGAAAAUGAGACAAAAACUACCAAAUCAACAAUGUAAACACAAAUAAAUGCAAUAGCAAUGAAAGUUUAAAAUUUUAAUAUAUUUGUUAAUCGAGUCUUAGUUUGAUUAGUAUCAAUAUUAUUAUCAGGGUAGGAAGAUGUGGAUUCGAGUGCGCUAAAACACAUUAUUUUUCUAUUUUAAGGGUUAGAGAGGAGUUAAUAGAUAAUUCUAGGUAUUGUCUUUAAAAAAAUUAAUAUCUUUAAACUAAAAUUUUAUGUUUUUACUUUUAAAUUAUAUUUUGUUAUGUUUUUUUCUCCUUUUCUUUUAUUUUCCAACUUCACUAAACAUGAAUGAAAAAGUAAAUAUUUUUCUUUUCAUUUGUUGAUCUUUCAUACCAACCGACUUAUAAAAAUGUAAAACAAAUUUUUCAUUUUUUCAAUUUUUUAUUUUAUAAUUUAUUCUCGAUAUUAGUGCAUCCUCCACCACCAUCUUUUGAUAUACGUUAUUAUAUACUAAAAAUUCUCUCUUACAGCCAGGGCUGAGCAAAAAAAACUGAACAAUCAAAAUUUAUACUGCGGUUAUUAGAAAUAAAAUUAAAUUCUAUUUUUCUUAUUUAAUAUAUAAUUAAUUUUAAUUUUCAUGAUAUAAAAAUAAAUAUUUUAUAUUAAAAUAGUCAAAAUAAUUUUAAAGCUCUUCAAAAAUUAUUUUUUAGCGAUAGUUAUAAAAAAGUUAGAAAUUUUGUCAAAUAAUAUUUCAAACCAUAAAAUAAAAUUCAAUUUAUCAAAAUAAGUCUAAAAAUUCAUAUAUUUGCAUUCCCAAAAAAAAUGUAACUUCAAACAUUAAAGAUAACAUUAUUAAAAAAAAACUCCUGCACAUAGAUAUUUUAUAAUAUUUUAUUAUGUUCGAACUUCGAAGAGUUUAAAGAUAAAAAAAAAAAAAAAAGAGGGAGGAGUGGUGCUUGGUAGACAUGAAGAAGGGGGUUAUUUGUGCCAAAGCAGAUACUGAUUUAGGUUCCCGUGUCCCCACAAAACAUCUUGCGUUUAUUAUACAAUUAUAACAACGCUGUUUACCAUCACUUUUUCUCAACAUAAAAGGCCAAAGAUUUUAGAGUUGGGACUUACUUCAACUUUACUUCCCUUCUUAAACCACACAUAUAAGACUAUACUCAAUCAUUUACUACACUCUCUGUCUCAAUGGCCACCAAGACCCAUACGGAUCCAGAGAAACCCAAUGCCGCGGGCACCGCCGAGAACGAAGGCAUGAGUCCGGUGGAGGAGGUUGCCUUGGUGGUGCCGGAAACCGACGACCCUACUCUCCCUGUCCUCACCUUUCGUGCCUGGUUCCUCGGUUUGGUAUCAUGUGUGCUCUUAAUCUUUCUCAACACUUUCUUCACUUACCGUACGCAGCCGCUCACCAUCUCCGCUAUCCUCAUGCAAAUCUCGGUCUUGCCCAUUGGCAAGUUCAUGGCCAGGACUCUACCAACCACCCAGUACAGCCUUCUCGGGUGGCACUUCAGCUUGAAUCCUGGGCCGUUCAACAUCAAGGAGCAUGUCAUCAUCACCAUCUUCGCCAAUUGCGGGGUGUCUUUUGGUGGGGGUGAUGCUUAUUCCAUUGGUGCCAUAACUGUCAUGAAGGCUUACUAUAAACAGAGCUUGAAUUUCCUCUGCGGCGUCCUUAUUGUCUUGACUACCCAGGUUUUUCAUUUAACACUUUCUUUCUGCUCCUACUUUUAUUUAUUUAUUUAUUUUAUUGUUAAAGCUUGUCCCUUUAUUUUAAUUGAACCUCGGGUCUUCUCACUUUCUUUUCUAGUUAUUUAAAAUUAAUUUUGUUAACUGAAUCUUUGACUGUUUGACAGUGAUAAAAGGUUAUCUGAAAUAUGCAUCGAAAGCUGCAAUUAGUGUUAAUACCACUCUUAAAAGUUGGUGCCAUUUAUAACUUUUUGUGUGGGGGAGUUAAAUUGCAGGGAUUUUGAGUUUCUGUUUAAAGCUUUUUCAACCACUAAAAGCUUAGUGUAUGUGGUUCAUCUAAAAAUAACACCGUUGAUGGCGAUCUAUGCAGAUUUUGGGGUAUGGAUGGGCUGGCAUGCUUCGGAGGUACCUGGUUGAUCCUGCAGAAAUGUGGUGGCCUUCAAACUUGGCUCAGGUUUCUUUAUUUAGGUUAGUCUUUCUCCAUCACCUUUUUUUUUUCAUUUUGGCUUUCAUGAUCAUCAUUUGUGCUUGGUCCAUAGGAAUUUUCUUGGAAGGGACAAAGAAGAAAUAGUUGUAAGUUUUAGAUUCUUAAAGACUUUUCGUCCACUGGGUCCCACGAUAACAGACACAAACCUCUCUCCUUUUUCACAUUAGAGACCUCAAUUGUUUCAAUUUACUUGACUUAAACUUGGAAGACUUAAUUACUUAAAAUUUUGGAUAGACCUUCAUUGAGCAAUGAAAGAUAAUGAUGAGACAUAUAUGUGUGGGAAUGGUAUAAUAAUACCAAGUAUUGCCAACUGGAUGCUACAGGAUUUGUUUGUAUUGUGAUUUAAGAUUUUGCAUUUGAUUAUAUUCUGAAGAUGAUGGAUACGUGAUGCCUUAACCUAGUUUUAUUUUUAUUUGAUGUCCAUCCAUAUAAAUUCGAUUAUCACAAACAGUUUUGUGUAUUCUUUGAUUCUCAGAGCACUCCAUGAAAAGGACUCUACAAAGAAAGGAUUGACUCGAAUGCAAUUUUUUCUAGCUGUAAUGGUGGCAAGCUUUGCAUAUUAUGCUCUGCCGGGCUAUUUAUUCCCAAUCUUGACAUUCUUCUCAUGGGUUUGUUGGGCGUGGCCACAUAGCAUCACAGCACAGCAAAUCGGGUCUGGAUACCAUGGACUUGGCAUUGGUGCAUUCACCCUUGACUGGGCUGGGAUCUCAGCUUACCAUGGCAGUCCACUGGUUACCCCUUGGUCCUCCAUUGUCAACGUGGGGAUAGGCUUUGUCAUGUUCGUCUACAUCAUUAUCCCUCUUUGUUAUUGGAAGUUUAACACCUUCGAUGCUCGAAAAUUCCCGAUAUUCUCUAAUCAGCUCUUUACUCACAGUGGCCAUAAAUAUGAUACAACUAAGAUCUUGACACCGCAAUAUGAUCUGAAUAUUUCUGCAUAUAACAGUUAUAGCAAACUCUACCUUAGCCCACUUUUUGCCUUAUCUAUUGGAUCAGGAUUCGCUAGGUUCACAGCAACCCUCACUCAUGUGGCAUUGUUUAAUGGCAGGUAUACUUUAUGUUACUGUUUUUAAGACACCUUUUUUUUUUUUUUGAGUAAUGUCCGUCACAUAAAAAAGUCAAAUAAACAUAUUUUGGGUUACUUUUGUGCAGUGAUAUUCUGAAGCAGAGCAGAUCAGCAAUGAAGAAUGUGAAGCUGGACAUCCAUGCAAAGCUGAUGAAAAAAUACAAACAAGUUCCUGAAUGGUGGUUUUACAUUUUAUUAAUCGGAAGUAUCGUUCUGUCACUUAUGAUGUCCUUUGUAUAUAAGAAGGAGGUACAGCUGCCAUGGUGGGGUAUGCUCCUUGCCUUUGCUUUGGCCUGGAUUGUCACCCUUCCUAUUGGAGUCAUUCAGGCAACUACGAACCAGGUAAAGUACGCUGUGACUUACCUGCAUGCCAUGGUGACUUGAUUACCUGGUUUCUAACAACAUUUCUACCUGUGGAACUUUGCAGCAACCUGGAUAUGACAUUAUAGCCCAGUUCAUAAUUGGUUAUAUCUUGCCCGGAAAGCCCAUUGCAAACCUGCUUUUCAAGAUAUAUGGGCGGAUCAGCACCAUCCAUGCUCUUUCUUUCUUGUCUGAUCUCAAACUUGGGCACUACAUGAAAAUCCCACCACGUUGCAUGUACACUGCUCAGGUACUUUCUGCCUAUGUGCUUUUAGUUAUAAAGAUCUUAGAUAACUUUUGAAACAUUAAUUAAGAAUAGUUGUUUUUAUGUAUCCCAGCUUGUGGGAACUGUAGUUGCAGGUAUCGUCAACCUUGGAGUUGCAUGGUGGAUGUUAGAUGACAUUGACAACAUCUGUGAUGUUGAAGGAAAUCAUCCUGAUAGCCCAUGGACUUGCCCUAAAUACAGGGUCACCUUCGACGCAUCUGUUAUCUGGGGCCUAAUCGGACCAAGGAGACUUUUCGGACCAGGAGGGAUGUACCGUAACUUAGUGUGGUUGUUCCUCAUUGGAGCAUUCUUGCCUGUUCCUGUUUGGGUUUUGAGCAAAAUUUUCCCAGAAAAGAAAUGGAUCCCCUUGAUUAACAUACCGGUCAUAUCUUAUGGUUUUGCCGGAAUGCCACCCGCAACUCCCACCAACAUUGCAAGUUGGCUCAUCACUGGAACCAUCUUCAACUAUUUUGUGUUCAAGUACCACAAGCGGUGGUGGCAGAAAUAUAACUAUGUUCUAUCUGCAGCAUUAGAUGCUGGAACUGCAUUCAUGGGUGUUCUACUGUUCUUUGCUUUGCAAAAUGAAGGCCAUAACCUGAAAUGGUGGGGCACUGAAGUCGAUCACUGUCCUCUCGCAACCUGUCCGACAGCCCCAGGUAUCUCAGUUGACGGAUGUCGAGUUUUUAAAUAGACCAAAUCUACCACACACAACUGAUGGAAGAGUUGGAAGUCAAAGAAGAAAUGGUUUAAUUUUGAGACAAGACAAUUAAGUUAUAGGCGUACCUACGUUGCAGAAUCUUAUGACAAUAAUAUAAUCUAUAUCUUGUAAAGUAAUGCACAUGCUUUUUACGGAUCAUCCUCUUGGUCUCAUCAUUUGAAAAGAGGUAGUUAAUGUUUUUCUUUGUGCCAAUAUAUAGCUGAAAUUUGCUGCUUCAAUGUUUUUUUUUUUUUUUCUGAUAUGGCUGUUGCUUUGCUUGCUAGCCAGCUUGAUGUAUAAUAAGAAGCUAGCAUUAAAUCCUGCUACCUCCCAAUCUAGAGUUUUGCAUAAUCGUGCUUUCAUUUGCAUUUAAAAUGUCAGAACUUGUAAUGUAGUUGUCAAAUAACAGUAGAUUAUUACAGCAAAUUUGCUUCAACACAAAAGAAUCUUUAUUCAAUGAUGGCUGACUGGUUGAGAAUCAAAGAAUUUAUUUUAUGAAUUCUACAAGCAGCAAUUACUGCUUAUUGAGGUCAUGAAUGUUGAAGUACAUAUAGCUCUUUUCGUUGGAGAAUGCCGAUGAGGUUAGCACAGGAGAGAAGCCAGAAUAGUCUCCAUCUUUCUUUGCUAAGCAUAUGUCAACACUGCAUUUUAAGAGCUCAUAUUUCUGGACAAAUGGCUGUGCUGCAUAUUCUUCAAUUGGCAUCCACUGCAUAAAAGUAUAGAGACCCCCCACACCCUUAGUUUAAGAGGGAUAAAAAAAGAUUAUAAGUUUUAACUUCAUUCACUGUUCUGACUUUGACUAAGAGUUACCUUAGCUGCCUCUAUCUCAGAUUCCUGCUUCUGGAUUUCAAAAGAAAGUGGUUCCAACAGGCACAGGAAGAAUAUAUCUGACUUUUCAAAGAAUACCUUGUGGCUUUGCCUGUAAAUGUUGAAAAUGAAAUCAAUGGGAGAAAGAUAAGAAUAUAUAUAUAUAUAUAUAGCCUGUUGAUGCUACUUUGUGGUGCAGAAAGUGCACAGAUUUCAUACCUGAAUGCUAGUACUUGAACAAAUUUUGUAUCAAUCUGAAUCAGCAAAACACCCAAGAUAUAAUUGGUUAAAAUCAUUUAUAAACAGGUCCCAUAUUGACAAGGUUCAAUAACUUGUGUUACAUGUGUUAUGUAUAUAAAACUGAAUAAUUGCUACUUAACACUUACUGCUGUCUCUUCUUUGACUUCUCUAACUGCAGCUGCACAAAGAUCUUCUCCCUAGAGAUGAAAUUGAAAUUAUAUACAGCUCAUGAAGUGUAAAUGCAUGUCAUGGUAUUGAAUCAAGAAUCCCUUGACAGUGACAUACUUACCUCAUUCACAACACCUGUAGGGAACUUCCACACACCUGUCCCUCGUAAUCGUCCGAUGUUCUCUUGGACCACUAGAACCUAAGAUCAAGACACCCGAAUCAAGAUUUGUAAAAGGAUACAAGGUAUGCCAGCUAACAUGGAACUGGGAAAGUACCUCUCUGUUUUUGUUCAUCACAAAUGCGCCGAUCCCCACGCGGUGCGAAGCGUUUGCCGGAAGAGAGUGUGCGCCUUGAGGCAGCCAAUGAACAAGCAUCAAAUAAUUAGGCUCAGCAUGGUGAUACCAAAAUCCUUCCUGAGAAGCAAUACAUAUAGUAUUAACACGAGGCAUUUUCAGUCAUACAUGUGAUUCAAUUUGUAAAUGACAAUAAAUCCACCUUAACAGCAGCUUCAACCAGAUUGACGUGCUGAAUAGGCAAUUUGAUCCACACACCUCUUUUACCCUGCAAAACAUGUUACAUGACAUGAUCCAGCAGAAACAAAAGAGAACAGUGUUGUAAAUAGUGUAAUAAAGGUUAAGAAGAAAACCUGCUGUCGCCACUGUGCCAUUGAAGCACUGAGAACAGAAGCAAAGAGGGCAGAGUCCAUAGGUUGAGUCACUUCAACAAUUACUCCCCCAUACCUAUCGUUGAUUGCAUCAAGAAGUCCUUGUUCUUCAUUUUCAUUGACAUUCAUAGGAGUUGAAGUCUCUGAUGCUGACAUGGCUAUUCCUGAAUCUGGUUGCCUGAAAAAACUCAAACAUAAAUAAAUUUAAUAUGUAGAUGUAGAUUUAGUAAUUAAUUAACAUCAGGCUCAGGGUCAUACCUAUGGAAGUCGAUGGAUGGGGCAGAGCUUUAAGAGCAGGAGAACAAACUGGGUACUGUUGUUUAGGGAAAACGAAAAUCCAACAGAUUGAAAAUAACAAUAAAUUAAUGUUGCAGGGCAGGGUUUGAGAUGAGAAGCUUUAUUAUAUAUAAUGGUGGUGGCAAACCAAAUACGUAAAAUAUUAUUUAUGUUUGUCAGGUUAGACGUGGUCAACAUAGACCCAACUAAAACUUCAAUUUUUGACUUUCAAUGUGAAAUGGGUAUGCCAUGCACAUUACACAUGCAUGUAGAGGCAAGCAUUUGAAUUAGUCAGCAAAGCAAAAUUACCAGGGCGGAAUUCUGAAUAGGCGAGGCGACGAUAAUGCAUGCAACAUGCCGCCGUGUCCGUCGGUCGAUUAUUAAUUUUAAUCUACUUCAGUGAUACGUACGGCAGUAAAUAAACAGUUGCUCUUAAUAAUAUUCUUAAAUAUUUUCUCUUAAAAAGCUACUAUAUCACAAUAUUCGAUUAUAAGAGUCCUAAAUCUUCUAGAGUACCAUCCUAAGAAAAUGAUUAACCUUACGAUAAUUGGUCUCCAAAAUUAUAUUAGACAUAAUUAUACCUUAAUAUUAUUCAUUGUGGAUUAUGAUUAUCUUUUGCCCUACGGCAACACUUGUAAAAGUUCCAUCAGUGAUCACUUUUUAGAAUACAAACCCGAAGAUGAUCGUUCUUCGCUCAUUGGACUUUGACAAAAAUUAUGCUUUGAAUUGUAUACAUUUCAUAGCCGAUUACUUUUAACCAAACCUAAAAACAAGUAUAAGAAUUUUCAUGUUGAUCCAUUUCUCCUGUCGAACCCUCAAGCACUUUUUAGCUUUUCCUUCUAAAAAACACAAAACAUAACAUCCUAAUUUACAGGAAUUUGGUAGUAAAUUUUAGUAGUAAUCUCUUUCCUGUUUACGUCAAGAAAGGAUCAUGGAGCUUCUCAUCUGCCGCCCGGAAGCUUUCCCCAACAAGUGAAUAAAUUUGACGGCUAAGAAGAGGGGCCGCCAAGCUCAUUGCAAAAGUGAGACCCUCUUUCUCGUUGUUUAAGCAGAAGAAACACAUGCACAUACACAGCAACAAUAUGCAAGGACUGAUAAUUUAUUUAUGCACAUGUAAGUGGAAUUCACCUUUUUCUAUUCAAAGUAAUAUUAUAUCAUGUUAACUAAAAAAGUUAAAACUCAAUAUUAAUACAAUAGUAUUCCUACAACUCAGCUGAGGUUGAACUUCAAACCUAAUUAUCCACCCAAAAUGUGAACUUACCAAACAUACACAUGCACAUACACUAUAUUAUUAACUUUAAACUAACCUAAAAGAUAAUGCGAGCCAGGUGUGUUACUCUUUUCUUUAUAUCCUACUAUAUAACCGGAAUGAUCGAGUCAAACCAUAUUCCUCCUCUAACAACACCAACACAAAAGCAUGCUGCUAAUUCUGAUUCUGAUUGGGAAACAAGAGUUAAGUCGAACAGUGCAUAAUCAGUAUCAGUCAUCAUCAAUUUUGAUGCCAUCGGUGGACUUCGACAGCAUGUUCCCCUUCUCAAACUUUUGCAACUCUGACUCCAGACUUUUAGCAAUCUCUGUUUCUUCAGCAGCUGGCUCGGGUAGAUCCACAUGAAAAGAUCCCUGUUUGAUAGGUUGAGCAGGUUCACUGAUCAAGGACUGCUGCUUUAUGUAGUUGUAGAGUUGUUGAUGAAAAGGAUGAUCCAGCGAAAAGCAGUUUUCAUUUUCUGAAUUGCGUGAUGAUCCUGACCCAUCUUUUCUACAGAAAUGUGGUAGUGAUGCAAUAUCCAUUAUCUAUAAAAAUAAAAUAUAAUACACAACCAGCAUUAUCAGUAUUCUUGAAGCAGACAAAGUGACUGCGAAAUGGUGUUUAACAUCAUCAUAUCAUAUCUAAGUGAAUUAGUUAUAUAUCUCCUUGGACUUCUGACAAAGAAACAAGGUCUAAUGAUUUACCAGUGAAGCAAUCAAAAUGAAAGACGAUGGAAAAGAAGAAAAAAACUCAAAACUUGAAUCAUGCUCUUUCUGGGUUUACACUUAGUAUUCUAGCAACAAUGACAACUAUAGAAUAUGACAAGAAAUAAUUGGCAGCCCCAUUACUUCAAACAGAAAGAAUCAGGAAGAGAACUGCAGAAAUUUUAAUAUAUAUUAGAAAUUGCAGCAUCAUUGAAGAAAAGAGUAGUGAGAAUAACACAGGGCUAGAGAAGUUGAUGGAGAAAAAGAACAAAAAUGGAAAAAUUCUUCUAGAACUAGUACUGCCUCAACCUACUUUGAUAUCACAGAGAGGGGGGGAUGGGGGAAGAUCGAGACAGGAAUGAUGAUAUUUUCAGUAGCUAAACAUUUGAAGAGAAAUACUGUAAGAACCCAUGUUUUUAAAUGUUUUAAGACAUAAUGAGAAAAACACCAUACUUUCAAUAGUUCAUCUCGACCGCAACCUGGCAAAACUUGAAUUUUUUUCCUUGUUCUCUCUUGCAAAAGGGGCUUGACAACCUGCUAAGAAUUCAAAGGUUAAAUCAAUCCAUGUCAAAACGAUUUACUGGAUAACAGAUAAAUAUUCAAAGGUUUACCUUCCAACAAGCAGAGAAAAUAUAUGGCGCAUUUACAAUGUAAUAUGUAUUUGUCUUCUCUGGGUAGUUCAAGUCAUCAAUUGUGGAGAUGAUUGUCAGCAACUGCGUUAAAACAAAAAAUUCAAUCAUGAUACUGAUCCAUGAAGUUAAAAUGCAAUCAACCAUUUACAUGUUUGGACUGGUACAAUUAGCCAGUUUAACAUUGAGUUUUUCUUCUUUUCUCUUUGGUAAACCUUUUUCAGCAGCUUAAUUACGUUGCAAAUCCUGCUAUCCAAGUGCUCUAGAACAAAAUACAGAAACCAAACUCGAGAAGAUACCUUUAUUUUGCUCAGUGCUGAAAGCUUCAGGCCAGUCAUAUCUAAUACUUUUAUACAGGUGGUUAUAGGCCGCCCAUGCUUUUUAGACGCGGAAGGCUACAGCAGUGCAUAAAAGUAAAGCAAAUUACUAGGAAAGGCAGGGAACAGAAAACUUCCAAACGCUUAUCACUCACCAGAAUUACACGAUCCCGAUAUUCAUUGAUUUGAAUAUGUGAUUGCACAUAGUAGUGAACCUAUAAUAAUAAAAGAAGCAAUAAAUACCAAAGAUUAGUGUCUUAUGCUCACCAAUGAAAUGCUUUUAUUGCAUAUUACCCUAAAACUUACAGAUGCUUUGUCAAACGUGCUAAGCCCCACACCAAUAGCAAAGACAGGAAGACCCUGGAAAUGGAAAAUUUUAAAUUUAAAUACAUGCCUGAAAGGAAAUGCUAUUCCUAUGAGCACAACUUAGUACGAUUAAAAACAUAAAUACUGUAAACAAGAUUAGAUUUGACAAGUAUGAGCACCUCUCUUGAGUAGCCAGACAUUCCUAUGAGCUGUGAAUCACGCACUGCUCCAUAAAGUUCGAUAGGAACAAUGGGUUUCUGUAGAAAAGGUUUACAUUCAAUACAAAAAAGAACUUAGUGACUCCCCUUGACUCAAUUUUAUGCAUUAGGAUUAAUCAGCAAACAACUCAAUAUAAGACUGAAGCAUGAAAUGGCAGAAACCACAUGGCAGGCAUGAUAUUUUUACAUGUGAUGUGUGAGAGAGGGAUAUUAGGGAUGUGGCUGGGAUUCUUUCUUACAGGGGAGACAGUAAGGUUAGUAUUUAGAAAAAUAAUAAUUAUGUUGUAAAUGUAGCAGCCAAUGACAUGAAUUAAUGAAAAUCAAUUCAAUUAAAACAUUAUAUGGCCUGUCUAGACAUACAUGAUGAUCAUUAAAAACUAUAUCCUUAAGCCAUAUCAAAGAAAUAUCAUUAAAUAAAAGACUGUCCGCAUCCUCCAAUUCGGUUUGCUUGUUUGAAAGGUAAAAUGCUUAGACAAUCAUCAAUAGUCUAUUUAGAAAAGCAAUCAAUUGCAAUUUAGAUGCAACACCUGAGAAUACAUUAACUUACUGCUAAAAUAUCGUCAAUGGUAUUCUGCACCCUCCAAUGCAAGCAGUCCACCAACUGAAACAUGACACACUUAACGAUUUGGUCAUACAAAAAUGACAUUUAUGAUCAAGAUACUGCCACAACAAAAACGACAGUUUUCUUGUUUCCUGCUUUUCAAAAUGAAAAGGGAACCUGGGAUAGAUGUCUUUUGGGUUUAACUCCAAUUAACUAACCAUUUUAUGGGCUUUGGCAACAUUCCAGUCUCUUGCUUUUAGAAACCGCACCAAUGUUUCAGCUCUAAAACCUUGAUGGACAUUCUGCAUGUUGGGAAACAAUUACUAGAAAGGAGAUGAAAAAUUGGUGCACAAUCAUUACCUAGUGAAGCUAAAAAAAAAACAUAUUGUAUUUGUAUCCUAGAGCAUUCUGUCAGCUGUCAUCAAACAGCAGACAAGGAAAGAACAAUCAGCCAUGCAUUAAAACAAAAAAUGCUUUAGUCAUGCCUAAACUUAUAAAGCAUGCCACAAAGCUCCAUAAAUUGCAUCCAAGAGCUUUCAUCGAUAGAUCAUCAAUUCCUUCAUAUCCCUACCAGCCCAUCUUCCUAGUUAAGAGAGGAGGAUAGAUGAAGCAUUUAUUUUUGCUGAAAAAGUUAAGAUCAAUGUGCCCAUAUAGAAAUAAAUAAAUAGAGAAAGGGAAGCUAAGUUCACAUAUGAAGUAGGAGUAAAAAAAUAAGUAGAAUGUAAGGAAACAAAAGGACAAAGAGUAGGCAAGUGGCAAUUAGAUUAAGCAAAAGAGCAGAUCAAAGCAAUUGCAAAUACUAGUAGUUGUAGAAGUAGUAGCAGUAGACAGUAAUAGGAAAAAACCAACACAUAAUUGAAAAAGAACACUAUAAUUUAGCAAAAUUAAAGUAAAAAAAAAAAAGGGAGAGUUGAGAGUGAAGAGUUAAAAUAGCACACAUUCUUUUACUGGCGUUGAAUAUAAGAGAAAGAAAAGAAAGGGUGAAAUGGGCGUACCUGAAAUGUAAUGUUGAGAGGCUCUUCGACUGCCAUGACAUGGAAGUAACCAAGAAAGAAAUCAGAAAUUUUGGGAUCGGUUGAGUUUCGAGUUCCCAAGAAAAAGAGAAAAGAGAAAGCAGACCUGAAUCCAUCAAUGCCUGCAACUCAAGGAUGGCUUCCUGAGAAACGAUCCCCAUUUCGAAGCAGAGAUGAUUGUUGGUGAUUGAUGGUAGAGGUAUUUACACUCCAACUAUUACUCUAGAUUUCUUUCCUUUUCCUACUACUAUAAUUUCACACUUCCUUUUUAAAACAAUCAAAUUAAGUAAGGAUUCUUAGUGAAUUCGUACGGUUAAAAUUCAUAAGCAUGGAUUAACUGAUUAAGGAAGGUAAAUGGUUUUUUUUUUUUCCUUUUUUAUAUAAAUAAAAAAAAUCAUGAUAAUGAGGUGUUUAUGUGAGCAAUAUCUCAAGCAUUAUUCAUUGCUAAGUCACAUCACUUGUCAUAAAUCAUCAUUAAUAUUUUGGAUGUGUGAUUGAUAUUUUUAAGCAUUUUUUAAAAUUGUUCUAUUUUAGAUAAGAUAUCGUGAAUAUUAAAUAAGUCAGAUUGGAUCAAGUAAUUGGAUCUCUUAAAAUAAGGUUAUUGGAUCGUAUCUGCAUUGAAGGCUUAUUUAUGUUAUCUCUACAAGGUCUUGGACUUUAUGAAUAUAUUGUUUAUAAUGUUUUAGUUGCUACUUUGAUGGAGAGAUUGACUGUAAUUGUAAUAUCCCGAAAAUUACUACUAUAAUACCUCAAAAAUUACUACUAUAAUACUUCGAAAAUUACUACAAUAAGAAAGUAGGUAUCUUUGAUAUAGUAAAAUAAGGAAAUAAAGUGAGUUAUGACAACAUUGAGAAGUAUACUAUGAUAUAUUAAUUCAAGAAAGAAUUAAAUCGCAAAAGUGAGAAAACUUUUGUUGAUUAAGAGUAAAUACUCAAAAUUUGAGGGGGUAAAGUGUAAAUAUGAAAAAUUUAAAGGACUAAUAGUGCAAAUAUUUUAAGGGUGGAAUAAUCUAGAAACUAAGAAAAAUGGAUGAAUUAGGACCAAAUUGAAAAGGUAAAUAAUUUUGAGGGACUAAAUCAUAAUUUUACCAAAUUAAGUGAUGACUCAAGGAUGAAAUUUUUAAAGAUUAUAAAGGGCAAAAUGAUCAAUUAGAAGAGAGAGAAAUUUAGAAGGCAAUGAUGAUGUUGGAGAUAUUUUAGAUUAAUUAAAUAAAUAAAUAUUAGUUUAUUAAUAUUUUAAUUUAAUUUUUAAAUAAUAUUUUAUUAUUUUAUUUAGUAUAUAUAUAAGAAAAGGAAGAUGAAGAAUCACCAUCCCACCAUUUUUUCCUACGCACCAACGUGAGAAGAAGAGAGAAAGAAAGAAAGUUUUACUUUCUUUACAAUUUGGUCCUUUCACCAAAAAUUUACUAUUUUCACCUAGAAAUCAAAAGAAUUUCCAUAUCCAUCAAGAGAGAAAGAUAACAAGGAGACUAUGGGGAGCUAGAAUAUCAAGUUAGAUUCAAGAAAGAGAAGCUGGAGGAGAGAGAAAAUCAAGUUAAAGGUUGAAACUAAUAGGACAAUGUAAGAACAUCAAGAUUUCAAUAUAUUUUUAAGUUUGAUAUUAUUGAAAAAGCACAGAAAUGAUGUUAUAGUAGAGUUUUCUUAUAUAAGGUAUUAUGAUCUUGAUAUAUUAGUGAAGGGAAAUAAGUGAAAGUGAUGAGAAAUAUUAUAGAGAAAGGGAAUAAGGGAGUUAUAAACUUAGUAAUCAACAUCUUGCACUAAAACAGUUUUGGACAGCAGCAGUAGGUUAACUUUGAAAAAUCACCAUAAAUUGUGGAGAUCAAAUUAGGGGAUGAGAAAAAUAUGAAAAUAUUAUUGAGUCUAGUUUCUCAUAGAAGAAACCGUGUAAGUAAUGUAAUUGUAAAUCAUGAGAUAUAAUAAAUUUUGUGAGACAAUGUCAGAAUGAAUUCGGGUUCCCCUGUUCUGACUUUGAAAAUCAUCAAAAUUUUGAGAAAAAUAAUUAGGGGCUUAAAUUUAUAUGUUUUAAUCCUUAAUGAGUAUAUUUUCUAUAGAAACAAACGGUAACAUCAUCCGAAUCUUGUACGAGGAGAUAAUUAAUUUUUAGUGAAGAAGGGUUGAAACUGUCAGACAAUAGAAGAGGGAUGAAUUUAAAGAAUAAACUGCACUUAUUGGCUAAACCAUAAAUUCUGAAAAUUUUAUGGUAAGAAGAUAUGUGAGUCUAGUUUCAUAGAAAUUUAGCGGAUCUUAAUUCGGAGUUCUUUAGCUCAAGAUAUAAAUAAUUUAGUAACUAUGACUCAAGUGGACAGUUUUGAAUGAACAUAUAAAUAAAUAGUGAAAUUAUAGAUAAUGUUAUAUAUAAGCAUGUUAUAUACAUUAAGGAUGUGGAAUGGAGAGGAGGAGGAGGAAUAUAUAUAAUUAUUCAACUAGCAUGAGUUUUCAUUAAAAAUGGCUAAUUUGCAUGUUUUAGUAUCAAUGACUAAAUUGAAUAAAAGUAAAAUUUUAAGGGUAAAUUUGUAAAAAUGUCAAAAAGUGACCAAAUUGUAUGAAAUGAAUUGUUUUAUUAUUUAAAUUAAUAAAUUUAAUGAAAUAUUAAUUUAGACCAAGAUUGGGUGAAAAUUCGAGCAAAAUAGAAAAUUACCAAAAUAUCCUUAAAUUUUGGUAUUUCUGCAAUUUAGCCUGGUAAGUUCGUAUGAACUAUAUUCUGUAUAAUUUUAAUUAAAGUGAAUGUUAUUUUGGUGAUGAAUAUUAUAUAAAUAUGUGUUUUAUUAUUGGAAUUGAAUUCUUAUUGGUAAUAUGUAUAAUUAUUAGAUGCAUUGAAAUGAUUAUCGGAAGCUCGAUUGGAUUGGAAGCUUGUCAGAGAUUAUCACACUAUCAAUUGGUUCUAUCAAUAAUUUUGGAUGAUUUGAUUCUGGUUAUAAUGGCAUGAAUAAGUUAAAUUGGCCAACGUUAGCUCAUUAAUGUUUUGAUUUUGAUUGGUUAUAAAUAUGAAUGUUUGAUGAAAUGAAAUGUUUGUAAAUUAAUUUGUAAAUUUCGGUAAUGCUCUAUAACCUUAUUCUGGCGAUGGAUACGGGUUAGGGGUGAUACAAUAAUUGACCUAGUAUGUUAGUAAGUCAAAACUAGUAUAUAUGCUUGAGACUUGUAUAUAUUAUGUACAGAGAGUUUUAAUACUUAUUUGUUUAUUAAGGAACUUGUAAUUAUGGUGCAUUGUGAGUGUAAGUAAAUGUGUUACUUUGUUUACACCCUAAGUUUUCAAAUAGAAAAUUGAGAGGAAAGUGACCUAAAUCUUUAGGCGCAAAUGUGAAGUUGCUAAACCAAUGUGUUUUAGAACUUAAAUCACUUAUUGUACGAGUUUGUAAGAUAGUAGAUUAUCUCUUUGGACAAGACCCCAUAUAACUAUAGAUGUAUGAAACUGAAUUAGAUAAACAACUUGUUUCUAUUUUAUUUUAUCGUAGUUAUACUUUCAGUGGGUACUACUCAUAUCAUUGUUUCUAUUGUUCUUGCAAUUAUCGUGUUAUAAUAAACGCCGAUAAUAGCGGGUAGAACAAUCGCAAAGCAAUAAGAGAAAUUCACUAAUGUUAAAAAAACGAGUGAUACAAGAGAAGUUUCGACUACGUCUAGGGUUGAAUAACUCUGUUCCAAUCAAAGUCAAAUAGAAGAAGUAUAGUUCUAUAUGGACUCAACUUGUGGGGUAUGGCCUGUACAGCGGGGGCUCCACCCCCGCACCCACGGUCGCAACCCUGUUCCAGUUUUAUGCUUAAUGGGGAUCUAUGGCGGGAUACAAUAUUCCUCGCCCUUUUGCUUCCAUAGAUCCCUUUAUUUCGCUACUGUAUUUAUUUCUUCAACAAAUACCGAAAUUCAAAUCACACAAUUUCUAAUAUAUCGUUUCACCUCUUUGGCCGAUAGCUUCCUUAAUGACCUUCUUUAGUUUGGCUGCAAGAACCUUUACAAUGACUUUGGAAAUGUUUCUAAAGUUGAAGCUCCAACAAUCCUUAAUAUAAUAUAAACUCGCAUAUAAAAUAAAAAUUACCAAUUGCAAGAACCUUUCUUGAUCUCAUCUGAAGGUCGAAAGCUUCGACAAAUCUUAAUAUAAUUUAAACUUAUAUAUAAAAUUAAUUUACGAAAUAAAAAAAUCAAGAAGUAAAACUAUUAAAGGUUAAAUUUUGUUAUUAGUGUUUGUAGUUUGUAUAAAGUGCAAAUUUGUUAUACUCUAAUUUCAUCAUUUUUUAUAUUCAUAUUCUUUUAUUUUUGAAAUUUAAUCCUAACUAAAUGGUAAUCCUUAAAUUUUUUUAUUUCUAAAAUAUUAUGUGGCAAAUAUAUAACUUCAUGCAUAAUGCCAUAUCAUUUUAGUUAAGGAAUUUAAUGGUUACCAUUUAAGUUAUGACCAAAGUAGUCAAUCUUAUAGUGAUAGAUGUACAAUUUUUCCAUUGGUACGGGUAUUAAUGUUGAUCUAUUUCAAUGUAUUGUUUCAAAUUUAUCGCUAUUUUUUAAAAUAUUUUAUAUAUGUGGACGUGACAUGGGUUCAAAUCUCACCAUAUGUAAAUUUUAAGAUAAAUACUCAUUAAUUAUAUAAAAUAUUAUUUAAUAAACUUCACAAGUACAAUAUAUCAUUAAACAAACUCAAAAUAAACAAACAAAAAAAAAUUUCACAACUUAAAUAACAAAAUUAUCCAAUACUAUGCAAAAUAAUAAUUCAUAAUUCAACAAAUCCAAGAAAAAAAUUAAAUUUAAAUUUAAAAUAUAUUUUAAUUUUUUUGGUACAAAUAAAUAAUAAAAAUUUAAAAUUAAAUUUUUUGUGAUGAUUGAUAUACCAUAUUUUAGUCGAUACAAGCAAAAUUAACUAAUACGCACUAGUACAAUCAAUACCAAUCGAAAUUGACCUCAAAAUAAAAUCUAAAAUUUAUUUUUCUGAUUUACUACAAAAACAGAAUAUUUUGAUUGAAAUAGACAACACAAAAUGGUACCAACUAUUAUAGUCAUAAUGAAAAUUUUAAAAUUGAAAAAAUAUAUGCGACAAGAAAUAUCAAAAUGGAGAAGACUAAAAGCAGAUAGUAAAUUAAGGGUGGGUUUGGAUGGACGAUUGGGUGCGGUACGGUGCAUUUAACUUACUUUUUGUCUCACGCUACAGUAUCUAAUUCCACCGCCACCGUUGUUUUUACACUAACCGCAGGUAAACGUACCGUCCAUCCAAACUUACCCUAAGUCGAUUUCAUCAGCUGGAUCUUUUUGUUGCAGCGAGUCGAGCGUCGGCAUCGACUUUUAUGUAACACGUGGAGCAUUUGGAAUUACCGAAGUGUGGCCUUAUAGAAACAACGGUACCUGAUUGCUGCGCAUAUUGUUCAACAGGAUGCUUUGUUUCUCAAAAGCUGUCGUACUGCUAUUUAUGCUGUGCAGGAGGGCCCUCGAUAGCCUAUUGUAGGACGGGUUGAUUGUUGGUGCAAGGCUUCACCGGGUAAGCUGAAGUGUAACAUUGACGGUGUUUUUGUGGAUAGUGAUGUUAUCGGAUGGGUUGCUAUAGUUAAGCAUGCUGUGGGUGGCUUUGUAUGCUGCAUUUUGGGCUUUGUAUGGCUGAAGUUUAUGCAGCUCAGGACGCCCUCUCCUCUCAUGGCAUGCUCUCUCAUACCGAACUUCUGAUGCCUCGGAAUUGGGUUGAUUACUUUAAGACUGUUUUCAUCUCAGCUCUUUGUAUCAGUCCUUGUCCUAUUGUUGGAUUCAUAGAUGUUUGACAAGAACAUGUUUUUUUUUUUAUCUUCAUUCUAUUUUUAAUUUUGUAUUUGCUGAUUGUUCUAAACCGGAUAUACUUUGAUUACUUGGAAAUUCGGUAUUGUCUCUCACUUUUCUCCUUUAUCUUUUUUUUAUUUUAAUUAAUGAAGCUUUAUUCUAAAAAGAAAAUGUAAAUUAUAAAAAUAGUCAGUUUUGUUUGCCUCAUAUUACAUACAUUUUAGUCACUUAUGUUAUCGUGUUGUAAUAUUUUAGUUAUUAAGCCGUUAAUUGCCGUUAAUAUUGUAACAGUAAACUGAUGUGAUACAUUAAGUCAUUAUUUUAAACAAAAAUUUUAGGCUAUGUUUUUUUAUUUUGAGCAAUUUAAUUCUGUUAUAGCAAUUAACGACUCAGUGGUUAAAACGUUAUAAUACGAUAACGUAAGUAAUUAAAACGUAAUAUUUUAAACAUAAUGAUAAAAAUAUAAUCUAAAAUAAAUAAAAAUAACUAUUUUCGUAGUUUAUAAAAAAAAAAAAGUGUGAUAUUGAGUUUGUGGUCUGCACACACACACACACAAAAAAAACCAACAACAAGGGCGGCCGAAACCACAAUAGUAAAACAGUCUUUGUAAUUUAAAUAAAAUGUAUUUAUUUAGUUUCGAUUGGGUGGUGAGAUCCUAACCUAUUACAAUUAUAAUAUUUAUUAGGUUAUCAUUGCUAUUUGACAAUUUACUUAUUUUUUAUGGGUAAAUUACACUAAUAUCACUAAACUAUUAAUAAAUUUAUAUUUUAGUCACUUAAUUUUAAAAAGUUAAAAAAGAAUCACUAAACUAUUUCGAAGUUUUCAUUUAAGUUACUGGGCUAUUAAAAUCGUUGAUGUAUAGCCUUCUCUGCUCACACUACCUACACCAAUCAAAAUCUCGCGUUCUCAUCCUCUUCUACAAUUAGAUUUGUUCAUGAAAUAGUUUUAAAAAUCACGAAUCUGCGUACCAAAAGUCAAAUAGUUUUCUUUUUCGAUCUCAAACACUGACUAUCUGAUCAACUUGGAUAUAAGGAAUGUUCUUCUAAUCGUCGAUGAGUAUUGAUCAACUUGGAGCUCGCUAGCCGGACUUUGAAAAAAACUUCGAAUAGUUCAAUGACUUAAAUGAAAACUUUCAAAUAGUUUAUGACCGAUUUGUAGCUUUUGAAAGUUGAGUGACUAAAAUAUAAACUUUCUACUAGUUUAGCAACUUGAGAGUAACUUACCCUUUUAUUUAUUUGUGUUCGCCGCAACGAGUGGAUCGUACAUAGAAAAAUAAUUUUGUUGGGAUGGAUGAUAAUUGCAGUUUGUCCUUAAACAAAAUUGGUCAAGGAAAAACAGUGGAAACAGAAACGCGGACUUGAAAAAACAAACAAUAGUUGCCAACGUUGAAAUAAAAGUAGGCUUUCGUUCUAUUUACUCUACUCCCCUCCUACCUUCUAAAAAUCAAGCAUCACCUCUCUCUCUCUUCUUUUCCCUUUUCAACUUUGUUAGCUGCAAAUCCUGCGAAAUUAAUUUUUUCCCCAAAUUUUGGAUACUUUACAUAUUAUAUAAUAUAUAAAAACAAAAACAAAAAACUGUGUAAUUUGUUUUUCUUGUAAAAUUAUUUGUCUGGGUGAGUUCGGGAGGUGUAUUGUAUUUGUAUUUAUACAAUUAUACCCAACUAAAGAAUAGGCUGCAGUAUUUGUUCUUUAUCUUUGGUAAAUAGUUGAGUUUGAUUGAUUUUUGCUUCUUCUUUUUUAGGAAAAAAAAAAAAAGAUUUUUGCUUGGGAAGUUUGUGUUUAUAUUUCUGUGUUUCUCCUAGAAAUUUAAGAAAUAGAUAUAUAUACUUGGAAUGGAAGGAAAGAAAUACUACUGAACUUUUUUUUUCCCUUGAGGUCUUCUUGAUUAUAGCAUUGAAAAAGACAAUAUUGACUGCGUGUCGGUGGGUGGGUUCUGCAUAAAAUUGAACAUUAUCAAUCAAGGCCAAAAUUUGGACCCUUUUUAUUAGGUUAAGAUUGGAUUGAGGGAAUCUAGAGAAAAAGAAAAAUGAAGCUCAUUGUGGGCGUAAUUGAAGCAAGGAACAUACCAGCCAUGGAUGUAAACGGCUUCAGUGAUCCCUACGUCAAGCUUCAGCUUGGGAAACAGAGGCACAAAACCAAAGUGGUGAAGAAGACGUUGAACCCAAGUUGGGGAGAGGAAUUUAGUUUCAAGGUCGAGGAUUUGAAUGAGGAGCUUCUUAUCACCGUCUUGGAUGAGGAUAAGUAUUUCAAUGAUGACUUUGUGGGUCAGCUUAAAGUCUCCGUUUCCCAGGUUUUCGAUGCUCAUAAUAAAUCUCUUGGCACUGUUUGGUAUUCCCUUCACCCUAGGAAUAAGAAGUUGAAGAACAAGGAGUGUGGUAUGUUCUGUUUUUAGCUUUCUAUUAUUUGCAUCUUUCAUUUCUCAAGCUCUGCAUAUUUGGAGUUGCCUGAUCAUUACUCAUGUGCUGUUUGCAUCUCCUUUUUACUUGGAAUAUUCAACUAGGAUUUUUGUGCCUUUUAGGCCUCAAAAAGGAGCUUAUUUAAGUAGUUUGGAUCUAGGAUUCAAAGAUUCCAGCCUUUGACUACAUGCUUCUAAAUAUCUAUCUGCUUUUCUUUCAACCUUGGCUACAGGUGAAAUACUUCUAAAUAUCUAUUUUUCCCAAAACAAUUCAUACUUGGACUCGACUUAUAAUGGUGAUCAUGCAUCAGCAUUGAGGAAGCAUGAAGACAUGGAUGUUAAGGAUAUUUCUAGGUCUUUUAGUGGUUCAUCAAGCUCCUCUUCUCCGCCGAGACUAGAUGAUAAUGUGUCUUCCAAGGAAGAGAAAUCAAGUGCACAAAAAUCCCUAGCAGGUCGAAUCACUCAAAUGUUUAAUAGAAAUUUUGACAUUGGUCCUACUACAUCCACUAGGGGCAAUGAUUUGAUGGAGAUACCUGAAAUUUCAAGAGCUGAUGUUUUUGAUAACAAGUCUGAUGAUCAGUCAUCGUCUUUUGAGGAAGCGAUGGAAGCAUUGUGUUCCCGAGAUCAGGGAAGUGAAAUUCCGAGUAACUUACCUGGAGGAGUGCUUCUAGAUCAAUUAUAUGUGAUUGCGCCAAAAGAACUAAACUUUCUACUUUUUUCACCUGAUUCAAGUUUUCCUAGGUCAUUAGCAGAGGUGCAGGGAUCUACAGACCCACAAAUUGGGCCUUGGAAAUUUGAGAAUGGUGGUGAGAGUUUGAAAAGAAUUUAUUCUUACGUCAGGGCUCCAACCAAAUUAAUUAAGGCUGUGAAAGCCACUGAGGAGCAAACAUAUAUAAAAGCUGAUGGGAAGACUUUUGCCGUUUUAGCGUCUGUGAGCACUCCGGAUGUUAUGUAUGGGAGCACUUUCAAAGUCGAAGUGCUGUACUGCAUUAGUCCUGGACCUGAGCUCCCAUCUGGAAAAGAAUCUUCCCAUUUGGUGAUUUCAUGGCGGAUGAACUUCUUGCAGAGCACACUGAUGAAAAGUAUGAUAGAAAAUGGAGCCCGGCAGGGUCUGAAGGAAAGCUUUGAGCAAUUCACUACUCUACUAGAGCAGACUAUUAAGCCAGUUGAUUCAAAGGAUUUUGGGUUGAACAAAGAACAGAUUUUGGGAUCAUUGCAGGCUGAACCCCAGUCAGAUUGGAAGUUGGCAGUCCAGUACUUUGCUAAUUUUACUAUGGUUUCUACAGUUUUUAUGAGCUUAUAUGUAAUAGUCCAUAUCUGCCUAGCUGCACCCAGUACAAUUCAAGGACUAGAGUUUUUAGGGCUUGAUUUGCCUGAUUCAAUUGGUGAAUUUAUUGUGUGUGGUAUUUUGGUUCUUCAAGGUGAAAGGGUGUUGCAGUUAAUCUCCCGCUUCAUGCGUGCCAGAGUGCAGAAAGGUAAUAUUUAUAUUUAAUAACAAUUCUGCUCGGCUAGUGAGAAGAGUUGCCAUGUCUUGUUUCUUGUGUCUCAGCCUUUGAUUUCCUUUUCUUAUGUCUCUCUAACACUAGGGAGUGAUCAUGGAGUGAAAGCACAAGGGGAUGGAUGGUUACUAACAGUUGCCUUGAUUGAGGGAAGUAAUUUAGCUGCUGUAGAUUCAAGUGGUUACUGUGAUCCAUAUGUUGUGUUCACUUGCAACGGGAAAACUAGAACCAGCUCAAUCAAGUACCAGAAAUCUGCUCCCCAGUGGAAUGGUGAAUUCAACAUUAUGCUUUGUCUAUGUUUGGAUUCAUUGUACAUGUUUGGUGUUGCACUAGCAUCGUCUUGAAUAAUGAAUCUUACUUAGAAUCGUAUAGCUUUUCUAGUUCAGAAAAGGAAUUCUAUAAUUUGUCAACUUUUUUGAAAAAAAUUUCUAAACUUUAAUAAAUUCUUCCAAAAACUGUGUUCUUUUUGCAGAAAUAUUUGAAUUUGAUGCAAUGAAAGAGCCUCCUUCCGUACUGGAUUUAGAAGUUUUUGAUUUUGAUGGGCCUUUUGAUGAAGCUACAUCUUUGGGACAUGCUGAGGUUAAUUUUGUAAGAUCUAAUAUAUCAGAUCUAGCUGAUGUGUGGGUUCCUCUGCACGGUAAGUUGGCUCAGGCAUGCCAGUCUAAGCUGCACUUGAGAAUUUUUGUGGAAAAUACAAGAGGUGGAAAUGUGGUUACAGAGUACUUAAGAAAGAUGGAGAAAGAAGUGGGGAAGAAGGUAAAUAUAUAGUUAAUUUUAUUUUAGUUCCAAUUGGCCAGGAAUAAAAUAAUGUUGCCCAUUCUUGUUAUUUACUUAUGACCUAAUGAUCUAUUUGCAGAUAAAUGUGAGGUCCCCUCAAACGAAUUCAGCCUUUCAAAAACUCUUUGGGCUUCCACCAGAGGAAUUUCUCAUAAAUGACUUUACCUGUCACUUGAAACGGAAAAUGCCUCUGCAGGUUCUGAUUGUCUGGUUAUAUAAUAUUAUGUAAAGCUCACUUUUGUGAUGUUUUACUCCGAGUAAUUAAUAUGCACUAUUUUCCCCUUUUUGUUAAUUUGAUGUUGCAUCUAUGCAGGGUCGCCUGUUUUUAUCACCAAGAAUAAUUGGGUUUCAUGCCAAUUUAUUUGGCCACAAGACAAAAUUCUUCUUCCUUUGGGAAGACAUUGAAGAUAUUCAAGUUCUUCCACCUACUUUGGCAUCAAUGGGCAGUCCAGUUAUUGUUGUGACUCUCCGUCCAGGAAGAGGGAUGGAUGCUAGACAUGGUGCAAAGACUCGAGAUGAGGAAGGCAGGCUGAAGUUCCAUUAUCAGUCUUUUGUAUCUUUCAAUGUAGCUUAUCGGUAAAAGAGCAAUCUAUCUUCUGUGACUUCUGUUUUUUAUUUUAUUUAUACUUUUUUUUAUCUUUUGAUAUGUUCAUUACUUUUGUUUAAUGUUGAAAGCAUGUCUAACCCAGCUCUUUUUUGGAAUAUUUAAAAAUGAAUGCUAGCAUUAUGACUUCCGUUAUGUUUUUCCAUAUGACCAUUAAAAGUGUGAUGAUGUUCUUUAAGUGGCAAAUGCACUUGCUUUUAAAAUACAUUAAACAACUUAUAUGCUUAGAUCACUUUUGCAUUUGCACCUGUAAUCUGACAUACUAUUGUUUUUCUAAUUAUCGAAAGAUCUUGCUUUAGUUAUACUUUAAUUUUGAGAUAUACCUGAAAAUCAUAGAUUUUACGAUUACUGGUAUCACGACUCUUUUUACUUUUGUUCAAAUUUUUUCUGCUGUCUAAACUCUAUCGUUUAAGCUUCAUGCUUGUUUGUAUGUAUCAACUGUUGCUCUUUCGCAAUCAAAUGAUGAAACUAGUCCUAUGUAUUAAGAAUCUGUGAUGAUAGAAAUGAGGGUAGAUAAAUCCUUGGUGUGUAUGUUCGUGAAAGUAAGAAUGUCCUGAAAGGAGCAAUAAUGGUAAAAUGUCAUAUCUUGAUCUUCAUUUUUUUUUUUUUUUUGACUAGAACAAUCAUGGCUCUGUGGAAAGCCAGAGCCUUGAGCCCAGAACAGAAAGUGCAAAUAGUUGAAGAAGAGUCCGAGGCAAAAAGCCUCCAAAGUGACGAGAGUGGAUCUUUCUUAGGCCUUGAGGAUGUCAGUAUGUCUGAGGUUUAUUCCUGUGCUCUUCCUGUUCCCGUAAGUCAUCUAUCUCUCUUUCUGUGAGCCUAUGGAAUGAGUAUGCUGCAGCAUGCAUCCUGUUAUGAACAUUUAUACUUUCCAUGUUGUGUUGAGGUAUUGCCGGUCCUUAUGUUAAAGUGUAUUAAUGGAGUCUUUGCACGUAAAUUUAGUACGACUAUUCUUAUGGGUGUAUUGUAGAUAUAUUUUCUUUGUAUCAGAUGGUGGUAAUUGUUUUAUUGGUGAUUCAGACUGGUUUCUGCAUGGAGUUAUUUAGUGGUGGUGAAUUGGAGUAUAAAGCUAUGAAGAAAGCUGGCGGUCUUGACUAUUCUUGCACUCCAUGGGAACCAGAAAAUGUUGAUGCAUACGAGAGGCAAAUAUGUUACAAAUUCGAUAAGCGUGUAUCCCGCUAUAGAGGAGAGAUGACUAGUACUCAGCAGAAAUCCCAACUUCCCAAUAAGAAUGGUUGGCAUAUUGAAGAAGUUAUGACUCUCCAAGGUGUUCCACUCGGGGACUAUUUCAAUGUAUGAAUGCCACAAAGAACAUUUUAUUCAUUGCAUCUUCUUGGAUACCACAUCUUCCUCAUUGUUGACCACUGAGUUUAAACUUUCAAUGUUUUGCAGAUUCACCUUAGAUACCAAAUCGAGGACUUGCACUCAAAAGCAGAGGGAUGUCAGGUGCGAGUAUUUUUUGGAAUUGCAUGGUUGAAAAGCACAUGGCAUCAAAAAAGGAUAACCAAAAACAUCAUUUCAAAUCUACAACAACGCUUGAAGGUGAUUUUUGGUGUCGUUGAGAAGGAAUUUAGUAGAAGAUAGUGCACGACUGGCAUUGCUGAUAUAUGAACCAGAUUGGCAGAUGAACGUAAAUCAUCUUCGGAAAGUUAUCACAUUCUUUGGUUGGUAUUCUUUAGUGCUUUUUUAUGUUUAUGGAAUUGAGAUCUAUCCACAUUCCCAUAUAGCUGUGAGCUGCACACGAGUAUCUCACUCAAAAGUAAAAUUCCAAACUUUUGCUUGAAACCGAACCUGAAAAUUGUUGGCUGGCAAGCAGAUUACACGGCUUUAACUUGUUUUUCAAAUGUAGCUGAAUUUGAUGCUUGUAGGGACCGAAGCCCCUCAUUGAAGCAGGCUGCCAAAGUUACAGUCGUUGGGAAAUAUAGGCGUUUUGUGGCUGCUUUAACCAUGUUGGGCCGAAGAUAUGAUCUUUGUUGUUCGUUUGAUUAUUUACUAUCGUUGUAUUCUUGAAAAUUAGAAUAGAGUUGCGAAGUGCAACUGUUGUUUCUUGACUAACUGCUGUGAUCAUAAUUUAAAUGCAAAAAGAAAAAAAGGAAGAAUAAAUGAAAUUUUUACACUGUAAAUUGGUCAAAAGAAACUUGUGUUGAGUUAACCCAACUCAACACAUAUAGUAGCAGUCAUAGUAAUAGAACAGAUUACAGUACUUGGGUAUGGUUAACAUCCAUUUGCAAGGUAUUAUUUGUUUUAGUCUGUUAAAAGAUGACAUGGAUACUUGUACCUUAAAGGGUUUUUGGAUCCAAUGUUUCCAGUUGCACAUCACUUGCUCCCAUUUCAAAUGUAACUUAUAGGGAUGGAACGGGUAAGAUAUCUACAAAUUUUGGAUUAUCCAAAUUCGAAUCCGAAUUAAAUAGCAAUAUCAGUUGGUAUAAAUUUGCAAAAAUUCGAAUUUAGCAUUUUAACUUUAUGUCAGAUAUCUAAAUUUGUAAAAAUCUGAAUUUGAAUCCGCAAAAAUUGACAUUUAUAAAGUAAUGUAAAAUUAAAUAAAAAUUUAUUUAUUUAAAGAAAAUUAAUAAAAAAAUUAUUUUCAUUAAAAAUUGUAUAAAUUAUAAUAUUUUUAAUAUUAUUUAAAUUUUCAUAGAAUAGGAUUUCAAAUUUCAAAUUUUAAAAUAAGUUUUAUUUAUUAUAUUAUUGUUAAUGGGUCUAUUAUGUACUCUCUAUUCUUAUAAUCUUAUAUUAAACUCUAGACUAAGUUGAUGCUAACAAAUAUAAUGUAAAGAUGUUUUUGUCUUUUCAUGUUUUUUAGUAAAAAAAAAAAAUACUAUAACAAGAUUUGAACUUAAGGUUUAAGAUCAUUAAUAUAACAAUGUGCAUUGUAAUAACUUAGUUGUAUAGGGUUACAUAUCAUUACUAAUCUACCUUAAUUAUAUUAUAAUUAUUGAUACACAAUAUCAAUGGAAGUGGAGGAGGAGAGGGGGCGGUGUUAAAGAAAGUCGAUUCACCCAUUCCAGGACCGAGAGUUAAAGAGGACUUCCCCUACUAUGUUGAUCCUUGGGGUUGAGGGUUCCUACCUAAUUAUGUCACUUAAUGGGCUCUGGGUGAGCCCAAUGAAGGGUCCAAUUGGGUCCAAAUUGAGGUAGGGAGAUAAGUAUAACAAUAAUAUACCAUAAGGUUAGCUACACGUUUAGGGUUUAAGAUUAUGUAUCAUUAAUAUAAAAAUGUACAUUAUAAUAACAUAGUUGUAUAUACUAUAUUGGGUUACACAUCAUUACUAAUCUACCUUAAUUAUAUAAUGUUAAUUGUAUAUCCUAUGUUGGAACAUUUUCAAAUACUUAUAGUGUUCCAAUAAUUAUAAAUGAAUGGGUGUAAUUAAUCAAAAGUUAAAUUUUUUGGUCAUUCGUCAAGAGUUAUAUCACUUGAUUUUUGAAAAAGAAUUAUAACUAUUCAAACUAUAUUACUUGAAUAGUUAUAAUAUUAGAUGAAUAAUUAUAUGUCUUUGUAAAGAUGUUAUUAUUCAGAAAAGACACCUAUUAAAAGAUGUCUCUAUGAAGAGACAUGAAAAUUUCUAUAAAUAUGAAUGAGAUUUCAUUUGGAAAUCACACUAUAAAAAAAUUAUUUUUUAUCCUUCUUCAAUUUUCUAAUAUUAUUAGAUUGUUCUAUAAAGACUUCUUGCAGAAUUUCUUUGUAGAAAUUGAGUUUCUUGUUAUACAUUACUUAGUGCUUAGUGGACUAUUAUCGUCAGUGCAAAACGCAAAUAGUCAUCGGCUUCAUUGUAUCCUCAAAGGUAAUUUGCUUGGAACUCUUUUGCACACCGAACAUAAGUAGGGGCAAAUAUAACCUUAAAGAUAGUGACUUCAUACACGCCUUUAAGCCUUGUCAUAUUUCUUCAUUUUCUGCUCGAGUUCCAUUCAUGUGUUCGAGAUUUUCCUCGCUGGAGAUUUGUACUAACAGUUUUAAGGUUAUAUUUCAUGAUGACUACAACACAUGAAAGUGGAACACUAAGGGAGUUGGCUUCCAACUUUGUCAAACUUGAUUGGUUUGAUGGUGACAAUUUCCAACAAUGGCAGAAAAAGAUGCACUUCUUAUUAUCAGCUUUAAAUAUUGUCUAUGUUUUGGAUACUUCAAGACCGAAAGAGAAUGAGAACGAACCUAUUGCUGCAACCUGAGAAAGGCAAAAAUGGGACAAUGUUGAUUACAUGUGCAUAGUCCACAUAUUGGAUGAUUUAUUCGAUGGUUUAUUUGACACCUACCAAAAUGAGGUCACCGUUAAGGAAUUAUGAGACAAAUUGAAGACAAGAUACAUGACUGAAGAUGCUACAAGCAAGAAAUUUCUUGUUAGUCAUUUCAAUAUUUAUCAAAUGGUUGAUGGUCGUUCUGUUAUGGAACAAUUUCGUGAUUUUGAAAAAAUGUUGAAUCAAUUUAAGCAAUAUGAAAUGAAAAUGGAUUAAAUGAUUGUUGUAUCCUCCAUUAUAGACAAACUUCCUCCAUCUUGGAAAGACUUUAAAAGAAGUCUAACACAUAAGAAAGAGGAAAUAUCUUUUGAAGCUUUGGCAAAUCAUCUUCGUAUUGAAGAAGAAUAUCGAAAGCAAGAUCAGAACCUAGAUUCUGAAAAUGCCAAAGUGCAUGUUAUAGAGGAAGUACAGACUAAUAAACCAUCCAAGAGAAAGUUCAAACAUACUGAUAAAGUAUAUAAGUUCAAAAAGAAACAAAAGGGCUCAUGCUAUUAUUGUGGUAAGCUGGGACAUUUCAAGGAUGAAUGUCGAUUUUUAAAGAAGAAAUCAUCUUCUAAGGCUAAUAUAUCACAAGAUGAUAAUGCAUGGUGGAUUGAUACUGGAGCAAUCAAACAUGUGUGCAAAGACAAAAGCAUGUUCAAAAAGUUCACACAAUGUGAAAAUGAGAAUGUCUUGUACAUGGGAAAUUCUUCCACCACAACAAUCAAAGGCAAAGGGUCUAUUGAACUACAAUUCACUUCCGGAAAAGGUUUUAACCUUGAAUGACGUAUAUUAGGUUUUAACCUUGAAUGAUGCAUAUUAUGUAUCAGAAGUUAGGAAGAAUUUAGUGUCUGGAAGUCUAUUUUGAUUGGGUGAUAUCAGUUUGUUUUGAUUGGAUUUUUAGGGCUUUUUGAAGCGUCCAUCAUAAUUCGAUUUAGCUCUGUUUGCUUCUUGAUUUUUCAAUGUUAAUUUUUGGUUUUGAAUUUUUUAACUUUUUUCAAGAACUUUUAAAUUAUUUUCAUGGUUUUAAAUAUAAAAAUUAAAAUUAUUUAUUUAUGAAAAGAAAUAGAAUUCAGUUUAGUUUCGAGUAACCAUAGUUUUUAAACUUGCAUUCCAUAAAACCGUCCAAAUACAUUUAUUCAAAUAAUUGGGUUGAUUAGAUAACAAAAAGAAUAAUCACAAAUCUAGAAUUUAUGUUUUUUUUUAUAUAAUUGUUUAGUUAAGUGUAGGAAUAAAAAAAUAUUUAAAUGAAUAAUUGAAUAAAAUAUAAAGAAGAUAUAUUUUUAAAUAAGGUUUAGGGAUACGUUUUUAUGAUGAAAAAAAUUAAACAUAUUUAAAAUUAUUAUAUUUAUUAUUAAUUAUUAUUUUAAUUUCAAAAAAUAUCUAUAUUAUUUUUAUACAUUAUUUAGUAGUUUGUGUAUAUUAUAAUCAAAAUUAGAGAUUAGUUUUGGUGGCUAGAGUUCAAACCAUGCUAAAAGCAAAAUAAUAAAGAUUUCGUAACAUUUAUUUGAAUUCGAAGUCAGAUUUCAAGGGUUAAAAAUUCAUAUUUACUCCAAAUAUACAACAGAUGAUAUUUUUGUUAUCCGAAUCUGCAGUUUGAAUAGCCAUCCCUAGUAACUCUAAUAUUCAACUGAUGUGAUAUUCAAGGUUUCUCUCUAAAACCGAACAUUCUCCUUCCAACAAGAGCCCACUUCCUCAAUGGCUAGUGGCUACCCCAAAGUGUCAUAAUCCACGCUCUAACCUAUGAAGUAUUAUGGGUUUUAACUUGUUGAGCUUUACGUUCUUGUCCACAAAAGGCAUCUCAAAAGGUGAAAGUGGUGUGAACAUAAAGUAUUGAAAGAAGUUAGCAUUAUAUAAGUGGAUUUAUCAAGUUUUUUUUUUAUUGAUAAAUAUGGAUAGUACCAUUUCGAGUUUAUUGAUAAUAUUUACAUACAAAUAUAAAAUUGUUAAUUAAAUUUAAUAACGUAAUAAAAUAAUUAUAUUUUAACUAUUAAAAUAUACAAAUAAAAUUUUAUACCUACCUGUACAAGUCGACAUGCACAUAGCCUAAGCUUGUAAGCGCUGUGGAUUGAUUGCUUCGUUGUCGAUGUGAAGAGUCACUGUUGUAAGGCAAUGCACGGCGGCAUGGGUUAACCGGGAAAGAUACCAAGGAUGUGUUUAGUAUUGUUUUCUGACAAGUAUUUUUAGGACAAAAAGUACUUUUGAGACAAAAGCAUUACUAAACAAGCUAUUUUUUGAGAAAAAAAUUUUGUUCUCUCAAACCAAAAAUGGGCCCAAAAACAUUUUUUUUAGAAGAUGAAAUUUUUAACUUAAAUAGGCUAAACCUCACUACUUAGGGCCUGUUUAGUAGUGCUUAAAAAAAGUACUUUUGGCUCCAAAAACACUUUUAAAAGAAAAAUUGUGCUAAACAAGCUGCCUUUAGCUGAGAUUUUUGGCUUUUCAAAAAUUCUUUAAGCACUUCUGUAAAAGAGAAACUAAAAUUUUUAGUUUUUCCUCUUCCGAAAGCACUUUUGGUGCUUAAUUAUUUUUUCACCCCUCCAAUAACAUAGUACUUUCCUUUUUUUUUCUUGGUACUUAAUUAGAAAUGUGUUAAAAUCAUUAAUUAAAAAAAUAUUUUUAAAAUAUUAAUUACAAAUAUUUAAUGGUUAUAUUUAAAUAUUUAAAAUAUGGUUUAUAUAUUCUAAUUAAAUUUUAUAAAUAAUUAAUAUUUAUUGCUUAAAAAUAUUUAAAAUUUAUAUUUCAUAUAUUAAAAUAUUAACAACAAGUUAUAAUAAUUUUUUUAUAUUCUUACUAAAAUAUAAUAAUAUUAACUGAUUUAAAUAUUAUUUAAAUGUAUAUUUAUUACUUAAUAUUAAUAAUAACAUGUGUAAAAUGAGCAUUUUAUUUCUCAAAAGCACUUUUUGACAACAAUUCUAAAUACUCAAAUUUUAAACCAAACUUUUUAAAAACACCUCUCAAAAGCUGUAACACCCCUAACCCGUAUCCAUCACCGAAUUAGGGUUACGAGGCAUAACCAAACAAACACAACCAUUUCUUUUAAAAAAAAAAACCAAACUGAUCACAAACAUGGAAAUUAAACCAUUUUCUCAUGGCUAUUUAUAUUUUACAAUCCAAAUCUAACCAAAAUCAUAUUCAAACCUAUACAUGCCAUAAGGUCGAGUUCAAAAUUUUAACAAAAUACCAAAAGAAGUCGAUAGUGUGAUAGACUAUGCUGAUGAUCCCCGAGCUCGUAACGCGUCUCCAAAAUCUAUAAAUCAAAUGGACAAAAACAAUCAAAGUAAGCUUUCAUAGCUUAGUAAGUCUAUAGCAUAUCUAAAAUACAUAUAAAAGAAUGUAUACUUAACUAAUACACAUAAACAGACAUAUGUAUAGACAUUAUAUGCAUAUAAUCAAGUUACCAACAUAAUCAUUAACUGCAUAUACUGAUUUCUAGUGUAUUUUUCGUUCGCACUUCAUCGGAUCCAUUUAUAUAUAAAUUUCCAAAUACAUAUACCAAUAACAUAUUUUUAUACUUAUCAAUUACAAGUGCCGAAUACACUUAUACAAUUAUAAUCCACAUAUGCCGAAUGCGUUCAUAUAUAUAUAUAUAUAUAUAUAUAUAUAUAUAUAUAUAUCUCCAACAAUUUCAUGACAACCAAUAUAUGCACAUACUCAAUAAUCACAAAGAUUCAAACAUUUAUACACUCAUCAAACACAUUGAAACAAAUGUUCAUAUAUUUGUCCAUUACAUAUAAUCAAAAGCAUAUAUAUAUAUAUAUAUAUAUAUAUAUAUAUAUAUAUAUAUAUAUUUAUACCCAAUGCAUAUAAUCACUUAAUUUAAACAGAUUCACUAGCAAUUCAUCUAGAUUCAGUUCACCGGCACUUAGCCUGCUAGGCUUAUAGCCUGAUUUAGUUCACCGGCACUUAGCCUGCUAGGCUUAUAGCCUGAUUCAGUUCACCGGCACUUAGCCUACUAGGCUUAUAGCCUGAUUCAAUUCACCGGCACUUAGCCUGCUAGACAUAUAGUCUGAAUAAUUUCACUAGCAAUAAAUCCGAUUGAUACUGAGCUUUAACAAAAGAAUNNNNNNNNNNNNNNNNNNNNNNNNNNNNNNNNNNNNNNNNNNNNNNNNNNNNNNNNNNNNNNNNNNNNNNNNNNNNNNNNNNNNNNNNNNNNNNNNNNNNNNNNNNNNNNNNNNNNNNNNNNNNNNNNNNNNNNNNNNNNNNNNNNNNNNNNNNNNNNNNNNNNNNNNNNNNNNNNNNNNNNNNNNNNNNNNNNNNNNNNNNNNNNNNNNNNNNNNNNNNNNNNNNNNNNNNNNNNNNNNNNNNNNNNNNNNNNNNNNNNNNNNNNNNNNNNNNNNNNNNNNNNNNNNNNNNNNNNNNNNNNNNNNNNNNNNNNNNNNNNNNNNNNNNNNNNNNNNNNNNNNNNNNNNNNNNNNNNNNNNNNNNNNNNNNNNNNNNNNNNNNNNNNNNNNNNNNNNNNNNNNNNNNNNNNUAUAUAUAAAUAUAGGGUGAGGAAAAUACUCAAUAUAAAUAUUUAUUAAUAAGUAUACAUACUUAUUCACUCCAACUUAUACAACUAUUUUAUACUAAAUUCACACCUUAUUCACACACACAUACAUAUGUUCGAAUAUAUCUCAUACCUUUGUAAUUUCAUACCUAAUUUCAAUACAACAAAUUUUACAUGUAUAUACAUGUAUAUUCGAAUAUAAUUUGUACAUAUAUGUUCAUACCUAAAUUUAUUUCAAAGUCAUUCAUAUGCAUAUUUGCAUAUUCAUAGUCAUUCGAAUCUAGCAUAUAUAUAUAAUUUCAUACUUUCAAUUCCAAUUUUUAUACUUUUAAAAUCAACUCAACACACAUACCAUUGAUAUACAUACUCAUAUGCUGAUUUAAUAAAAUUAAAUAGCUAAUAGACUUACCUCGGACGAUGGAAAAUCAAAAUCGGACGAUUAUUCGACUAAUUUGGCUUUUCCCCGAUCUAACUCUGAUUUCUUUGGUUCUCGAUCUAAAUAUAUUCAAAAUAAGAUAAUUUAUUUAUUAACACGUUCAAUUUAAUCCAAAAACACAUAAUUUGGCAAAUUACUAUUUUGCCCCUAAUAUUUACACCUUUUUGCAAUUUACUCUCUAUUGCAUAAAACACAAUUUAUACAAAAUUUGCCCAUACCACACAAGGGCCGAAUAUUCAUGGUUCUCAUACAAGUCCACACAUUGCAUUUAUUUCACAUUUUAGUCGCCAAAAAUUUAAUUUCACAAUUUAGCCCUAUUUACUUAAUUUCACUAAAAAUUCCAAUACAAAACAUAUUAAUCUAUCACAUAUCUUUCAUUUUUCAUCAUCAGCUAUCACAAAGUCCAAGCAUUCAUCAAUGGCACAUUUCCAAAUCAUCAACAAUUCACAAAAUUAAAACAUGAGUUUUGAAGAACACAAAGUAACGAUCUUAAAAACGUAAAAAUUAUCGAAAACCGAACAAAACACAUACCCGAAUUAAGCUCCCAAAGGUGCCGAAUGUUUAAAGCUUCCAAAGCUUUAUUUUUUCUUCUUAGAAUCGGCCAAGAAAGAUGAACACAUGCAUGGCCAUUAUUUAUUUAUUUAAUACAUAUUAAUAUACAUUUUACAAUUUUAACCUUAAUGAUUUAAUUAGAGUUGUCUAUUUUUGUCCAUGCAUAAUUCUAAUGAUUAAAUUACAACAUAAGGACUCUAUAUAAUAAAAAUCAUAGCAAAUAGGUACCUUUGCAUAUAGCAUGCUAAUUUUGCAUUUUACACGAUUAAAUCCUUUUAAUUAAAUCGAGCACACCAACGAUAAAAUUUUCACACGAAAUUUUCACACAUAUAAAUUAACAUACUGUAGACUAAAAAAAUAAUAUUAAAAUAUUUUUCUGACUCGAAUUUGUGGUCCCGAAAAUACUAUUCUGAUUAGGGUCAAAACCGGGUUGUUACAAAAGCACUUUUCAAAAGCAUUGUCAAACUAGCCCUUAGAUCGUUAGGAUGUAAAUGAAACAUCUAUUCAUAUUAUUUUAUUUAUUUGUGUUGGAUGAAAAUUUUUAAAUUUUAUUUAUUUAUUUAAAAAUAUAUAUUUUUGUAUUCAUUCUUUUAAAUUAAAUGAAUAUGUUCUUGAAUAUUAAACAAAUAUGCUUGAAACAUGCUUAUAAACAUAAAAUAGAAUAUGUUUGCAAACAAUUAAAAAUAUGUACAUGAAUAAUAAACAAAUAAAGCAUAAAUAAACAUAUUUAAUAUAAAAUAAUUAAAUAUUAAUAUUAAUAAUAUGGUAUAAAUAAGAAAACUAAAUAUAAAAUAAUAUUAUUAAUGAUAUAAUAUUGUAAAAUAAAUGAAUUUUUAAAAAAAUUAUUAAACGAACUUUAAGCAAAUAUAAACAAACUCACUCAUGAACAUAAGCGAAUAGAAAUUAAAUAAUUCAUGAACUCUAACCCCCACCUCAACCCUGGAAUGAUUUCUCAAUUUGUCAUGAAAUUUUACCUAAUGUUAAUAUUAUUUUAAUUUUUACAAUAUAAAAAUAUAAAAGUAUUUAUAACAUUAAAAUAUAUGAUAAGAACUCUUAUAAAAUCAAUAAAUUAUAAAUAAAAGGGUAGUCCUUGAAUGAGUUGAUGUCACCCUCAAUCAUGUCACCAAUUCGGUUAGGAAAUUAUAAAAAUAUCUUUCCAUAAUUAAAAAAAGUUAUAUUAUUCGAUGAUAUUUUAAUCUUUUCAUUUUUAACAAAAAUCAAUUAAAAUAUACAUGUAGUGGGAUUCAAACUCGCGCCAAUUGGACUACUAAAACCUUAAAUUUACAACUCAACUAAAACUUUAUUCUAAUAUAUAUUAUACAUUUUUGUUUUAAUGUACAAAAUUUAUUAUCCCUAUCAGUUCUAUAUAUUAAUAAUGUUAUUUGUUGAGUUGAUAUCACAAGUCAACUCAAUACUAAUUCAUAAUUGAUGAAAAAUCAUAAUAAAUAAUUAUAUUGCAUUUAGUAUUUUUAUCUUAUUUAUUUAUGUGUUUAAAUUUCGUUUUACUUAUAAUUUAAUUUAUUUUUUAUUUUAAUAGCUUACAUAUUUUUUAGGUUAUUAUAAUUAAUUAAUUAUUUUCAAAUCAUACAUUUUAUUAUUUAUUGUAUGUUACUUUUAAAUAGACAAAUACGAGAUAAAAUUUCUAGUUUUAAUAAAUAUAUUGUGAUGAACGAAUGAAUUUCAUUUAAACCUAUCCACCUCCAAUUGUAGGGUUAAGUGUUCGAUCAAAUCGAAUGAAAAUUUUUUUAAUUAAUCGAGUCGACGAAUCCUAUUUUAUCAUCCCAACUCGAUUUGAAAUUUUCUCGAAUUGAGUCAAGUGAGAUGGAAUUCGAAUAGAAUCAAAUCGAAUAUAUUUGUUUGAGUUAAAUUAAAAAAAUGACUUUGGGUCCUUGUAGUCAUUGCCACCUACCGUAAUCAAAUUUGUUAUUAAUUUUCAUCAUUCCCUCAUAAUUUAUUUAUUAAUCUUUUAUAUACAAGUUAGAUCCUUUGAUUGCUUAGUUGCUUCAAUUAUCUUCUGAUUCUUGUCAUCAUGUAUUUUGAAAUUAAAAAAAUAUAUUAAAUGUAAAAAAAUGAUUUUUUAAUAAAAUUUAUUUUAAAGAUAAAAUGUGAAAUUGAUACCAACAGAAAAUCUUAACAUGAAUACUUUAUGAUAUCAUCAAUAAUUUAAUUUUAACAAAAAUUGAUAAAGAUUUAACAUGAUUAAACAAUUCAAUAAUAUAAAUAGUACAAAAUGUGAAAUUUAAUUUACUAAUAUAAAUAGAAGACAUAAAUUUGAAAAAAAAAGUUUUGGGGGUUUGGAGGGAAGUAAAGUUUUGAGAGAAAGCAAAAGGAAAAAAAAAAGGGGUUUAGAGGAAGUAACAUUUUUUGGGAGAAAGUAAAAGGAAAAAACUUUUGAGGGUUUGGGGGGGAAGAAAUUUUUUUAGGGGAAGUAAAAAUUUUGAGGGGAAAAUAAAACGAAAAAAGGUAUGGGACUUUGGGGGGAAAGUAAAAGGGUUUGAGUGGGGGGGGGAGGGGGAAGGGAAGUAAAAUGGUUUGAUAUUUGGUUUAUUUGAAUUAGUCGAGUUAUUCGAAUUUGAAAAUUUAACUCAAUUCAAACUCAAAAUUUGAAAAAGUUUCGAGUUGAUUCAAUUAACUUGAUUAAUUCGAUUCAAAUAAUUCAAAUUUUGAAAAAAAAAUUCAAUUUUUUAAGACGAAUCAAAUUUUGCUCACCCCUACCCAAUUGAUUGGGAAAAUUUUUAUAUUGAGAAAACUUAAUCGUUGUGUUGCAAAAAACAAUUUAAAAUAAAAUAAAACAAAAUUAAUUCUAUUAAGAUGAGGAGUGUUAUGAUACUUACUAUUACCGACCCAUAAUCCAAAUGGGUCCAAGUUGGGUUCUACACGAUUCGCACAUUGUGCUCGCGUAUCGAGCUCGCAUGACACUAAGUGUUCAUAGGAGGGGAACUUACACCCUCCCAUAAGAUUACACGUGAAAUCGCACAUGAGACUGUGAGAUGUGGAUUCGCACGUCACUACAUAGGCACCGAUCACCUUGAAAACCGGGGAUCGACUUUUGAAAAUAAAAUGGGAGUCGCCACCGAUCUUUUAUUGAGGUGUGAUCGGAUCACCUUGAAAACGAUUUUAGGUCUACAAACUUUGAGAAAAUAGGUUCGGGAGUCGGUUACGCACGAGGAAGGGUUAGCACCCUUGUAACGCCCAAAAUUGGUACCAAAUUGAUUAUUUAAUGUCUUAGUGUCGAAAUUUUGAAAAGAUUUUAAAAUAUGAUCCUUUGAAAAGAAAAUUUGAAUAAAAUGAAUUGGAUGAUAAGACACUCUUAUCUUAUUUUAAAGAAAUAAAGUGUCACACCCAGUAAGUUAGGGCGCGACAUUUUUAAUCUUCAAAAUUAAGGAUCUUCGGUUAUUUGAGCCAAAUGAAAAAAUCGGAACCCAGUAAGUUAGGGUUCAAUUUCUCAAAAUUCUAAACGCAGAAUAUUGCCUUUAUUUUUUUAGAAAAAUCCUCGUCUCGAGAAAACAACAUGUCAUAUCUAAUGCAUUAGGACACAACGUAUCGAAUUCCUGAGAAUGAGCUUUUUAUUUAUGUUUUAAUUAAAAAGGAUAUUCGGUUUCUUAGAUUCAACGAGGAAGAUUGGAAUCCAGUAAGUUAGGACACAAUCUUUUCGAAGAUCCCAAAUGCCGAAUAUUGCGUUAUUUUGAAAGCUUUGAAUAAAAUGAUUUCGAAGCUUAAACCAUAUUGAACGUAACUUUCUAAGCAAAUAAAGCGCGAUGAAAUAUACAAUGCGAAGUGAUAAUUUAUAAAUGACAUACAUUAAUGAAUAACAAAUAAGCCAUAGACAAAAACUAACAAACAAGGCAACGAUAAUCCCAAUCAUACAACAUCCAAAAAUUAAAUGAAUUACUAAUCAAUUUUUAAAGAUACACUAGAAAAGAAAACAUUAUAAUAGAUAAAUUGUGCCUAUAAAAGUUUUAAAAUAGACAAUAUACAUAUAAGUAGGAAAUGUAUUCAAAAUAGAGUAAAAAAAAUAACACCACAUGAAGUAAUAAUAUUUCGAUUAAUUUUGAAGCAAAUAUUAUAUAAGAAGAAAAUUAAAAUAUAUAAAGUAAUAUACAUAUAACAAUACAUAUGAAACUUGAAAAUAGUAAAAUAUACAAAGUAGGUUUUCCUAAAAGAAAUAAAUUAUAUAUGUAUGUAAAAGAAAAAUGUUGGUUUAAAACAUAUAAAUAUAUUUAAAAGACAACUUUAAGGUAAAUAAUUAUAAUUACAGGAAAUCAAUUAUAUGUAUGUGAGGUAAAAAUAAUUUUAAUGAAAGUUAUAUGUGUAUAAAAAAUAUAGUUUUAAAAUUAAAUAAUAUAUAUUGCAUAUGUACAUAUAUGUAUAAUAAAAACAGUCUAAAAAUAAUAGUAAAUAAUAAAGUAACAUAUAUAUAUAUAGGUAAAUAGAAAUAUAAUCAAAUAUAACAAUAAUAAAAAUAAUAAAUAGUAAUAAAAAAUAAUAAUAGUAAAUUAAUUAAUAGCAAAAAUAUCAACCAGGACUAAAUUGGAAUGCAAACAGAAAUUUUGGGGCCAAUACGCAAUAAAUAAAAAUGAAAAAAGGGCUGGAUCGGGUGCCCGAAUAACUAGGAGGGAGUAAAGCGGAAAAUAUCCCCGCCCUCCCAAAACGUUGCGCAGUAACAUAGGCCAAAAUGAAGCAUGAAAUUCAUAAAUAAAGAAAAAACUGAUAUGAAAACACCACGAAGGAAGGGGGACCUUAUACGCAAAUAGACCAGACGACCAAAAUGUGCUAAUCCUUCCCCGAAUCGGGUCACCGCGCGGGACGGACCUUCUAAACGGCGUCGUUUUCAAAGAUAUUGAGGCAUGCUUAAAACAGUGCCGUUUCUUUCCCAGGAUAUAACUAAAAAUAACCUAAACUUAAAACCUUCAGUCAUUUUUAAGAAAAAAAACCUAAAAGAAACUAAGCCUCCUUGCGCCGCUCCGCAUAACGGCCGUUCAUCAGCCCUCCAAACCUCCGUUCGACCCCGAUUACAACAGAGAGAACAAAGAUCUGGCCUCCAGGUAAUCUCCUCACUUUCUAGUCUUAUUCUUUUUUUUUUAUUUCUACACUAAAAAUGAACAAUAGAACCAAAGAAAAACAGAGAAAAGCGAAGAGAGGAUUUUAAAUCACCUUACGAGUAUUCUGUUUCUUUUUCUUUGAAUCUUUUUUUUUUGUAUUCAAUCUCUGUCAAAAAAGGGAAGGAUUUACAUUGUAGUAUUCGGCUUUAUAUAGCCGGAUCGGAAAAAAGAAAUAAAAAUAAAAUGAAAAUAAAAUCACAUCUAUUUUCUCUACUAUUUUGUUAUUCGAUUUUUUUUUGCUGUCCAUUUCUUUCUCCUGUGUGGUUGUUUGUUUGUUUGCUGCGCAGGUACAACGUACGGAGACCAGCUGUGACAUGGAGGGGACGUGUGGCGGAUAUGGAGGGUACGGAGGGGCACGUGAGAGCAGAUGCGCGUGCGGGGAGCGGCUCGAAGGCGUGGUUCGUGCGAGGGCAGAGCCUGGUUGCGGCGCUGGGGGUUUGCUGCUAGGGUUUCUGCAAUCUCUUUGGUGUUGGGCCAUCGGGUUUAGUAUUCUAGGCAUAUGCAUUUGGGCCUACUUGGAUUUAGGCCUGCUGAUGUAAAGAACUGGACUAUGUUAUUGGUUUUUUUUUUGGACUUUUAAUUUUGGUUUUGGUUUAUUAUUAUUUUUUAUAUUUUUUGUUUAUUUAUUUCUGAUUUGGGCCGGGCAAAUUGGGCCUAUUACACAUGUGUUAAGUUUAGAGUAGGGCACGUGUUGGCAUACAUGGAACCUACCUAGGAUAUCACAUCAAUGAACAAUAACAAUAUCAUAUAAAUAUACAACCUUACCAUAUGGCUGAGCAUUCGAUCGAGUCGAGUCGAAUCGAGUCAAAAAAUUUCAAGUUAGUUGAGUUAACGAAUCAUAUUUUAGCAACCGAACUCAAUUUGAAUUUUUUUCCAAAUCAAAUCGAAUCGAGUAAAAAAUUUUCGAGUCAAGUCAAGUCGAGUUAACAAAUCCUAUUAUUUACACUCAAUGUUGCUUUUACAUGGACGGAUUAUUUAACUAGUAGAUAAAGUGCAAGAUUAUUUAACUACUAGAUGAAGUGUAAGAUUAUUUAACUACAUAAACAAUACAAUAAUUUUGCCUUUUAACUUAAUGGGUAAAUAUUUAUCAAAACGACGUAAUUUUUCCUUUUCUUAUUAGAUUUUUGAAUAACUCAAAUUGUGUAAUUCAUAUUCGAGUUAAAUCGAAAAAAUUGAUUUUUUAUUUGAGUUAAUCCGAAUAACUCAAUUAACUCAAACUAUUUAAUUCAAAAUUUGAAUUUUUAUCGAAUUUUUUGAAUCGAAUUGGAUUUUGCUCACACCUACCUUACCAUCUAAAGAAGAUAGAGAAACACUCAACAAUUUGGUGCGGUGAGCGUGGACAGACUUCCGACUUCUAGAUUUUCAAUCUACAAAAAACCAAUAUGGCUCAACCCAAUGAAAAUUUCCCCACAAAAGUUUUGGCAGGACAAGCUGGAGGUUCUGGCACCGGCAAUCAACCUAGUGAGAUAGAUCCAUUUACUAGAUGGUUUGUUGAUUGACCGAAAAUUUUGGGUAAUUUGACCCAUGCAGAGGCCUCAAAUUCUUUUGAUCUGAAUGUUCCUUUUGGUCAGGGAUUAUAGUUUCCCUCUGAUUAGGAGGCAUCCCAACAACAACUAUUCACCCUUCAAGGGCAAUUGAGGUUGAUGAGGGAGCAGAUGACUUUACAAAGUAGUAGGUUCGAGCAACAACAAACGUUUCAACAAGAAUUGUUAAGACAGAAAGAAGAGUUGAAGAGGAAAGUGCAAUAUGAUAAUUCUGAUAUUCAAGAUGACGCAAUGCUCGCCCAAAAAGAGGAUGUUGGGGCACAUGCAAAACCGUGGCAGAUCGAGAUGCACAUUUUACGUAAAGAUGUACUAGUUUUACAUCCUGAUACUUAGGACAUGGAUUGGUUGUUUUGCUCUAACAAUCCACUGGCUCCUGAAGUGACAACUAUGAGCUUACCAGUCGAAUUUAUAGUUCCGAAAGAAAUGUUCGAAGGAAGAAGGGAUCCUUAAGCACAUCUCAUGUAGUACAAUGAUUAUAUGAAUGUGCUAGGAGCCUUUGACGCUACAAAGUGGAAAGCCUUCUCAACGAACCUUAAGGGAAGUGCAAAAGAUUGAUGUUUGUCUCUCCCGUAGGGUUCCAUCCAGGGCUUCUUGUAGUUGGGUCAAAUGUUCUUGGGAAGAUUUUGUGCUCAUAGAACCAUUAUGAAUACUUCUAUGGGUUUAAUAUUUGUAAAGCAGAGGGAGGGAGAAACCUUGCAGGAUUAUGUUAAACAUUUUCAUACAACGACAUUAAAUACAAAGAAUUUGGAGGAUCAAUGAGUCAUUGAUGUUUUUAUCAUGGGUGUUCAGAAUGAGCACGUGCAGUAUUCUUUUACUGAUAAUAGGCCACAGAGUUUGGAAGAUUUAUAUGUGAGGACCCUCAAAUUUGCUAAAGCAGAAGAGAUUAAGAAAGCUACUCACAAUACAUUUCAAAGAGAUGACAGACAGUUUAGGAACCGAAAAGGAGUUCGAGUUCGCCAAGGCCCGCCUUCUCAAACUUUACAAGUACAAGGCGGGGGAUAGCAAAAAGGUCAUUCGCAGAAUGAAUCAUCGAGAGUAUUCACUCUUUCCAACACAUUCCAUCCAUUCCUCCAUUCGCCAACCUAUACUUUGAUGCUUGAACACCGCAAUGUCCCCUUCGUAAAGCCUAGAGCUUCGCACGUCACGGUUUGCACUCAGCAAAACCAUAUGAUAGUAUCUAACAGAACCAUCUUUUUUUCCCAUUCCUAACUUUGCCUAACCCAUAGUUGGUCAUCCCUACCGUAAUAUGCAUGUUUCAUUCAUACAUACUAUGCAAAAAAUAGUAAACAAUGCACUACACUAGUUAAUCAUUCAUCAAUCACCUAAUAUUAUGUUCAAAAAGAACAUUGACAAUUUCUCAAAAUUGCAUAUAGCUCUAGAGAAUAAAGUGCAGAUACUCACCUUGUUUUCCUCAUCCUGGACAACUUAGCUAAUCCAAACGCUAAAGCCUCCUUUAUCCUGGCGGCUAAGCAUGACAACCAUACUGUGGUUAAACCAAUGGUGAUGAAUUCUUAGAAACCCAAAAUCUUAAAUUAUACUGAAGCUUUGAGAGUUUUAGUCUACUUCUAUCCUUAGUUCCUAAACACAAAGAAAGAUAAAGAAACUUAGCAAUUCCUCAAUUUCUCUAUCACCAGGCCUAGAUUCAUGCCUUUGAUACAACAUGCAGAGCUUCCUUCAUCUGCAUUCCCUUUUUCUUCAGAACAACCGAAGAAGAAAAUGCUUGAUGGAGGUGAAGACUUACAAACAAAAUUAAGAUAAUUCGGUCUCCACUCUCACCCAUAUAUAUACUCAUUGGGCACAAUUUUCAUUGACCCUUUCCACCAUCCAUUUUUAAUCAUUUUGUCUACCACUCUGAAACCAGUCGGUUCCUGUCUAACUGAAUUGGAAUUAGAAUCUAACUAUUCACAAUUUAGUCACUAUGAUUCCCCUAACUUCCCAACGAAGUCCGGCAGUUUACUGGUCUUUUCAAUUUAAUCCUAACUUUCCAAAUUCCCAAGCCAAUUAGGGUAAUCUAGUGUUACAUCAUACACCAAUUUUCUAAGUUUUCUACCAUAGUUAUCUAUCAAAGACUCAACAAUUAAUAAUUCUAGUACUUGGGCUAUAUUUUUCUACUAUUUCAAGCUAAAGGUUUAACAAAAAAGUGAUGGAAGAAGUUCACGUACCUUUCCAAUUGAGCUACAUGUAUGGAGAGAAACUAUAAAGAAAGCUCUCAUUUUUUUUCCCUUUCUCUCAUCAUCGAAUGGAAUGAAUAAAAAAAAUAGAGAAUAAGCUUUCCACUAUCCCAUAUAUAUUACACCACUUAAUUAUUUUCCUUUAAUAAUAACAAAAAUAAUAUCUAAUGGUCAUCUUUUUAUCUCAAAUAAGUUAAUGGAAAUCAAUAGACAUUAUUAUGGUCAUCCACUAACUUAAUUUUGGUUUAAUUGCUAACAUGGUUUGGCCUAAUUAUAGCUCAAGGACUUCUUUAUUUGAUUAAUCUUUCAUGAGAAUGGCCAUUACUUUUUUUUUUUUUGAAAUUAUAAAUUGGAUUGAAAAAUUAAAGAGACCCAAGUUAAGGCCUUUGGGCUACCCAAUACAUCAAAUCCAAUAGCUUAAAGAAC